Molecule: long non-coding RNA, 108217 nt
Filed under: Daucus carota (carrot)
Lineage: Eukaryota; Viridiplantae; Streptophyta; Magnoliopsida; Apiales; Apiaceae
Description: long non-coding RNA (DCAR_LNC002601)
Source: RNAcentral
CUCCAAUCUUUAGAUUUGUCCUCAAAUCAACUGACAGGGGCUAUUCCACCUCAGAUAACUGCACUGACAUUUCUAGAAGUCUUAAACCUCUCGGGAAACCAUCUUAGUGGAGAGAUUCCUCAGAAAGGACAAUUCAGCACAUUCAACAAUGAUUCUUAUAUAGGAAACUCCGCAUUAUGUGGAUCACCAUUGACGAAGACAUGUGCAAACACAGCAUCACCUCCACAAGAAGUCGGAAAUGUUGAUGAAGAUGAUGCGGGUGAUGAAUUGACAUGGGAAGCAAUCUUGAUGGGAUAUGGAUGUGGACUGAUAUGUGGAUUGUCAUCUGCAUACAUUGUUCUCAAACUAGGAAAGCCUUGGUGGUUUGUGAGAUAUCUCGAAGUACUGCAACAGAAGUUGAUGAAAAGAUAUGCAUGAAGAAUGGUACUGGCCGAUCAAGACCAACUUGAAAGUUUGUUGUCCUUGUGCACAUUUCUGAACCAGUAGUGUACUUGCUGCAUAAGUAUUUGGUAUUAUGUAAUAAUCCGUUUGGUCGGGACUCAUAAUGAUUUCUCUUGCUUCAGGGGUAUUAAUAUUAACCUUGCUAUCUUGAUCAAUGUUAAAGCAAAUUAAAUGAAUGAAAAAACAAAAAGUAUGCAUCAAAUCCGCUCCUGCUGUACCAAAAUCCAUUAAAUUGCUUUGGUCUCUUACCUAACAAUUUAACAGCACACUUCCACACUGUUCAUACCUAAUUUGCGUGUAAUAUGAAAACUAAGAGGCAUGGCUUUUGUCUCUAUAAGUCUUUGAGAACUUAUUCUUCCAAGUCUUCUUCGGAGGCCUGCUGCCUCAACAACCUUUCAAAGAUGUAGCAGUUGCUCGAGAGUAACAUAUAUAUUAGAUAAAGACUAUGCAAUAAUCCACGUGACAGAAAAACCAAAGUCCAAUUAGUUUUCCAAGUUCAUAAAAAAUACUAUAGGAUCAUUAGCAUUACAUUAGUAUUCCACUAGCAUACAGCAUAUUAUAAGACAAAAGUAAGCGGAAAUAAACAUAAUUUCAAUAGAUUUAACUUACUCUUCAGAAUCGAUAAGUUUGGAACACGUUGAUUGAGCACAAGACGAAGGCCACACAUGCGCAUCAUCUGAUGCAGCUAUAUAUGGUGCCUUUACAGUUGCUCAUACAUAUAGUGAAACAAUAAGGAUCAACUCCUCCAUUGUACGUACACAUUUUCAUACAAGCUAUAAAGCAUGGUGAUAGAGUCUUUGCAAUCUCGUCAUGACCGGCACAUCCGAUUAUGAUAAACUCUAGCAGGAUCAUCCAAGUAAUAAUUUUCAUAAUGAUAUUAAUUAUCAUUGUGAAUAGUUGCAUUGAGUUAUAUAUGUGUGUGUAUAUAUAUGCAAUGGAUUUUGUGGUUGAGAAUAUCUAUUAGAUUUUGUAUAUCCAUAACAAUUAUUAAAAUUUAAACAAGAAUAUCUAUUAUUGGUUGUGGUUGACUAUUGUAGUAGUCCAAGAAAUCAAUGCAAGUGAAAUCUAUAUUAUAUUUUAAAAGAUUAUACAUGAAAUACAAAAGGUUUUUUUAGGACUGCUGUUAAAAAUUGUUAUGUUGUACGAAAAAAUGCUGAUAAAAAGAGUGUUAUACGAAAAAAUGCUGAUAAAAAAAAUGUCGUAUAAAUCAGAUAUGACAGCUUCCCACAAAAACUAAAAAAAACAGUUUUCCGUAAUAAUAUGGGAGAGGAAAAACUGUUUGUAGAUUUAUAGAACAAUUUUUCGGUAAAAAACUGUUGUUGUUUUCGAGAGUAAUGACAAACAGUGCCGAAAUCAUUUUGCAGGUAGUUAAUCUCACUUCCAUAUAAUAUACUCCUAUAUAUUACCGAAAAAACAUGAAAUGAUGCAAACCUCAUACUAUUGACAACAGCUAAACUCCUUGCAAUACUUUCAGCUGCAAAAUCCAUCAAAUUUUUUGAUUUAUCAUGUAACUGUUUGACAGAGUACUUCCAAGCCUAAGUAUCAAAAAUCACUACCUUACGAAAUAUAUCUCACCCUACCUUCUCUGCUUAACUGUUUCGAGUGCUUUUACCAAGCAUAUUUUCCAUUAAGCGUGAAAGGCACAGAAUAAUUAGGAUCACCGAAUAUCCCAUCAGUGCUGGGGAAUAUGGAACCAUCUUAUCAAUUAACUAGUUUAACAUUUCUUGCGGUCUUGAACCUCUCAGAAAACCAUCUUAUCCUAAUGUGCCGACUUCCUUUGACGGAGAAAUGGUGAUGCUGAUGCUAAUGAUAAUGAACUCAACUGGGGAGUGAUCCUUAUGGGAUACGGAUGUGGAUUGAUAUGCGGAUUUUCUUUGGGGUUUAUAUUUUGUGGUUUGUGAGAUACAUUGAAGUACUGCAGCUGGAGUUGAUCAUUAUAAAGAACAUAGGCAAGUUAAUCGCUUAUUGAAAUUAGUAAUUGUCAAAAGUAAAAUGUUGAAAUUACUUUUUUCGAUUGAAAUCAUUGAAAAAAAGUCUCUGUCGAAAUUGAUCUGCCAAAAUUAUGUUUAAUAUCUACGGCCAAGAUUAUCUGUCGAAUAUAUUUCCCGACAAUUUUAAAAGACAAAUUUUUCGCCUCUCAGCUGUGAGCGGGAACAGAUAUUUUCGACAGAAUUCCAUUGAAAUUAGCUAAUUUCAACAUAAAUUUUCUAUCGAAAUUACUUGAGUUCUUUGUAGCUUGUUUUCACAAAUACGCUGAUAGCCUUUGGGGACGGGUAUAUUGUUUUCACAAAGCCCUGGUGGUAUGUGAGAUGCUUCGAAGGACUGCAACUGAAGUCGAUAAGAACAUGCAGAAAGAAAACCGAUCCAUCUUGAUAAACUUGAAAAAUGUUGUCAUAUGGUGAUAUAUACUCCCUGGCCCCAGUCUCUUGGAAAGAACUUGGUUGAUUUUUUUUUUUCAGUAUUGUUGGAGCUGUCAUACUAGUGCUAGUGUGCCGACUAGCACUAGUAUGACAGCUCCAACAAGUAUCCAUCCCUAAUAAUUGCAGCAAAUUAAAAAAUAUAGCUAUAUCUUUUUAGCAAUGGUGCAAUUUGGAAAGCUUUCUCAUCAUCUUCUUCUUUUCUUUAUCUCAUUACUCUCAUCUAGUUCCACUGUCCUAUCUGCAACAAUUCGCGAAGGAGAAGCUCUUGUGGAAUGGAAGAACAGCCUAUCCCCGAAUUCAUUUCUUGGUUCUUGGUCACUAAUUAAUCUCACUUAUCUUUGUAAUUAAGUGGACUGGCAUUGUAUGCAACUCUGCAGGUUCAGUCAGUCAGAUUAAUCUUCAAGAACUCACACUUGCUAACCUCCGUUUCUUUUCGUUUCCAAAUCUCACCAAUCUCAACAUUACACAUAACAACUUCACUGGUCCAAUACCACCCGAGACUUUAGCUAUAGUAAUCUCAAUGGUACCCUUCCAUACCAGGUCAGCCAUCUUCAGAGGUCGGUCGUCUUAGGCCUCUAAUUUAAUCACUUGAAAGCUCUAAGCUUGUCCAAUUUUUCCCCCAUGCCUAUACUGGUUGGUCGCGGUCUUGGUGGUAAUAAGCUGGCGUCAAUUUUUCCAGAAUUCAUAUCUAAUUGCUAUAACAUGAUUAACCUUGAUCUUUCAUUUAACAUGUUAACUGGUGAUCCCUUCAACAACUUGCGAAUCUUGGAUCUCUUCGACAAUGAAUUCACUGGUUACUUGCCAAUCCAAUAUUUUAAUAAUAUGAAACCAGUUAAUACCGUGAUUGAUUAUUACAACAUAACAGUGAAUCAUGAUUAUCAAGCAUGUCUUGUUAACAUUUUGCACUCGUAUUAAUUGUCUUAUAUAUGACUAACUCAUCUUGCACUCGUAUUAAUUGUCUUAUAUAAUACUAAUAACAAAAAUAUGAGGCGGUGCUUAGUCAGAUGAUUUUAGUUGUUAAAAUAUUUUUGUGUUAUUUAUAGAUAGUGAAACAUGUCUAAUAUUUUAUCAAUUUUGUUUCGUUUCUUGAGAUUUCCAAAUAUUUAUUGGGACAUUGUACCAUGGUGUAUUUCACAUAUUCGCAAUUUUAAUUAUUUUGUAUUUUUAUUUUAAAGAUAUGAUAAAGUUUAUUUAUUUAUUUGUUUUUAUCUUAAAAGCGAUUUUCGAGUGUUGCUUAAACCUCGAAGAUUCCAAUCGAGUUUUAUUCUCGGAUCUGUUUCGGAAUUGAGCUUGGCCUUGAUUGUUUUCUGAAUAAAUCAGAUCUUUUGAAAUCAAAGGUUCGAUUGUGUUUUCCCGUCUCGCCUUUUGGCGUGUGUUGAUUUAGUACCCAAUUUUUGGGUGAUUCUGCGUUGUUAUAUUUGUGGUUGUUAUGUCUUUCUGUGUUAUCAAUGAGAAUGAUUGGGAUGGAGUUUUGGGAGAUUUGGCUUAUCGCAUCAUUACAUCUUUCGGCAUGUCUAUAGCUGGCUCCCGGCAUGUAGAUAGCUGGGGUAUGCUUGGAACGGUGGCGAUCGCAUGUGCUCACCUGUCACAAAUUAUAGUUGUUCAUUAUUCGAGGGCUCUUGUUCCUCGUUGCUUAGUUUUUACAACUGAGUCGUCUGAACACCGCAACAGCCAUGGAACUAUUGUGAAGGUCAAUUGUGAAGCUAUCAUUUUCGAGAUUGAUGUAGGCUGGAUUACUCGAGAAGCUUUUGUAUUCAUUUUCAGUUUCAAGAAUUCUUGAAUUCAGUGUGUUAAGCAGUCUGGAAACAAUGCGGCUAUUUGAUUAGCUCGUUUUAUUGUUUAUCAACCUGAUUGCAUUGUCAGUUGGGGAUUUGUCCCGAUUAAACUUGUUUUAAUAUAAUGGAAUGAAUUUGCAUUUUGUCAAAAAAAAAAAAAAAAAGCGAUUUUGAGUUGUUUGAGUUAGAUAUAUACUCCUACUGUGGUUCAACUAGUUUUGCCAUAAGUGAAUAACUUCCGGUCAAUAUUUUGAAAUUUGUCGUUAUCUUCUAAUUAAAAUAAAGGGUUAAAUAGCUACUUCAUCAUUAAUAUCGUUGAAAAUUUGCAGCUGAGUCAUGUUGUUGAAAAGACUUUCAAACUGCAUCAUUAAGUAAUUAAAAAAUUUCAAAAACACCACUCUCCGUCAGUUAUGUUAAACAAUUAACGGAAAGUUCGAAAAAAAAUAAAGAAAAGACAAAAAAACAUUAAAAAAAUUUGAAAAAAAAACCCGAAAAAAUGUGAAUAAACUAUGAUAUUUUUUUUCUUUUUUUGAAAAAUGUGAAUAAAAUCAAAAAAUCAAAAAAAAUGGGAAACCAAAAGUGGCAAGCUUUUUUUUUUUUUGUUCCUUUCAAAUUUUCUAAAAUCUGGGGAAAAAAGAACUUGCCAACUAAUUUUUUCCAAAUUUUUUCAAAUUCUUUUCAGAUUUUUGAAUUUUUUUCCAAUUUUUUCCUCACUUUUUUUCUGUUUUUUUUUGAAUUUAUUAAGAUUUUUUUUGUUUUUUCUGCUUAUUCUGAAUUUUUUAAGAUUUAUUCGCAUUUUUAAAAAAUAUUUUUGAAUUAUCCGUUAAGUAAUUAAUGGAACUGACGGAGAGUGAUGCUUUUGAAAGUUUUUAAUUACUUGAUAAUGCGUUUGAAAAUUUUUUCAACAACAUGACUCAGUUGCAAGUUUCCGGCGAGGUUAGUAAUGAAUUAGUUAUUUAACUCUUAAUAAAAAUCUAUCUAAACAAUAUUAUAAAUAUAAUGUUAUGGGUUCGAUGAGUCGUGUAAAACAUGGAAGAAGUUUAGGUGGGGUAAAAAGAGCCUAGCUGUGUGAUUUCCAUUCUGUUAUACGUGAUAUACUGUAGUUGAUCAUCUCCUUUGUCCGCUUCAUCCUGUGCAACCUUAACCUUUAAGGAAAAACUUAUGAGAUUCUCUAGUGCAUCUAAAUUCUUGUGUGAAGAAUGUGAAGAAAAAUGUUAGUCUCAGAUUAUUUUUCCUAAAAUGCUUGCAUGUUACAUUUUAUAUGUAUGUCCUGACUUUAAGUAUAAUUUAGCAUUUUUAUUUAGUAUUGUGUAAAAAUAAUAUAUUUUAUUCAGUCUUAUUAAAAAUAUAAUCAUGUUAUACUGUAAAAGUAUUUGUGAAUUUCUUUGUUACAUAUGUGUUUAAAUUAUUUUAUUUAUAUAUGUUUUACAAUUUUUUACAAAUAUAUAGGUUGAGUAUUGCAUAGGAAUAUAAUUACACGUUAGCAAAUAUGAUUAUGUGUAAACUGUUCUGCGUGCAUGUAUAUUGCUGCUAAGUUUUAAACUUCUUACUAACCGGAAUAAUUUUGACAGAUGUGUGGAACUUGAUUAAUUUAGUUGCACUAUAAGAGAAAGCGUUUUUGUCAAUAAAAAUUGUUAAGGAAAUUAGUCCGUUGGUAGUUCUCAACGGAUUUGUAACAAUUUGACUGGUCAAUGUUCUGUCAACCAAUUCGUAAUGAAAUACCCACACUUAUUUACAACGAGAUGUUCUAUUAGGAAAUAUAGCCACACAAUGGAAUAAUAACAAAAGACCAAGGAAUGAGCAACAGACUAGCAACGAAAGUAUCUGUUAUUACAUUCGUUGAUAUUCCCUUGAUAAAUACUAGACUUUUUAGCACUUUGGUGGCUUGUACUAUUUCAAAUUUGCACGUUAGUGGCCGACCUUUAAAAGUCAUCAAUUGUGUUGCUGAACUUAUUUUUUUUUAACACAUUAGGGGCUCCGCAUCAUAUCCGUUAAAUCGAAGUAACGGCGUCAAAUGAUCAAUACAUAUCUCCUCCUCCUCUUAUUUCCCUCCAAAUUAAAAAACGAAACGGCUACCCUCUUUUCCGAAGCAAGAACGACGACGAAUUCCUGCUUACAGAGAUGAGUUGGUUCCGGCGUCUUAAAGAGGAUGCUGAUGUGUAUUAGCCUCGACAGUGCCCCGAUUACUGUAGUAAGCUCUUCAACUUUUCUUCUUUGUAGCAUAUGAAAUGAGUUUAAUUGACCAUUAUUUCAGUGUUUGUUGUUGUUAGUGGCUAGUUGUUUAGUAUUAUGGACCUGCAAUUGCUUUAUACUAUUAAAAUGAAAGAUUCUGCUUGUGGGUUUUUAAAAAUUAAGGCUUUUACAUAGUCCAAGAUUCGGUCAUUAUAAAAUCAAUUUAUGCCUGUUUUAGUAUAGUGCUUGUUGUUAGUGGCUAUUUGUUAAGUAUAGUGUUGUUUAUUGUAAAUAAAACUGUUGCUUUGCACUCUACAUUUGCAGAACCUGGUGAUUUUACCCUAAAAAUAUAUCAUGGGGCCGAUUGGGUAGAUAACCCUAGGGCAUAUGUGGGAGGUACAGUAGAUUUCUUUGACUUCUGUAAUGCUGAUCAGAUCAGCAUAAUUGAGAUAUAUAGUAUGUUGAAAGAGGUUGAUGAGUUUGGGUUUCACCAACUGUGGUAUAAGCUACCUGGCACUACAUUCGAUAGAGCUUUUGUACUAAAUAAUGAUGAGGAGCUAAUGACCAUGUGUGAGCUUAUAUCUGAUGUGGAUAAGUAUAUGGAGAUUUAUGUCACCACUAUGGCACAUCUAAGUAUAGUGCCCUAUAGAGAUUUAGAGGUUGAAUUUGUUGAACCAACUCCUAAAGAAGCACCUGAAAAGAACAAUCCAUCACCUGAAAAGAUCAAUCCAGCACCUGAAAAGAUCAAUCCAGCACCUGCAAAGAUGUAUCCAGCACCUGCAAAGAGCAUUCCAACUGUGGGAAAUGAUGAUGAUCAGGAAGAGUUUGAGUUUGAUUUUGACAAUACACGGUUUUGGGAUACCACCCAAAAUGAAAUUGAAAUUGUGCAACAAGUUAGGGAAAUGGAGGGGUUGGAAGAGGAAUUUUCAGACACAGAUUCUGAUGAUGAGGAUUUUGUGCCAGAAGAAAAGGAAAGUAGUGAUGAGACCUUCCACUGUGAUAGUUCCAAUCAAGAUAAUUCUGAUGAUGAUUUGUUGUUUGAUGAUGAUUACUACCAUCCUUACCAGCAGAUGGAAACCAACAAAGAAAAAUAUACAACAACAACAACACAGCAAGAAUUUUCCAGUUCCUUGCUUGCUUCUGCGCCUCGGAUAGUUCUUCACUGUAGAAAUCCUUGUACUCAUCUUUGGCCUUAAUCAUUUCAGCAAAACAUUCAUCGUCCUUGUUCUUCAAACGCCUUAUCAGUCCAUUGAUUACACUCUUGCUGCGCGCAUCAAACUCGGGUUCAACCCACUUGAAGAAAUUGCACCUUCCAUUCACGCAAGUCAAGAAUCUUCUACCCGGAUUGUACUCCGUCCACGAUGUCUUCUCCACUGCCCAGCUUCCACACAUACAUUGUUGAUUCAUCUUUGCAGAGCUUUUUGGUUUGGAUGAGAGAUUUAGGUUUGAAUAUGCUCAAUUACACACAGCAGAAACGUAUAUAUAUACACAGCAUAUAGCCGUUGCAAAAAUAUUUUCCUGAAAUACCCCUGACGACCGUUACUUCGAUUUAAUGGAUAUGAUGCGGAGCCCCUAAUGUGUUAAAAAAAAAAUAAGUUCAGCAACACAAUUGAUGACUUUUAAAGGUCGGUCACUAACGUGCAAAUUUGAAAUAAUACAAGCCAUCAAAGUGCCAAAAAGUCUAAAUACUAACAGUUUCGUUAGUAAUUGAUUAUUAGUUUUACAUGGACAAUUGAUAUACACCACAUGAGCACAUACACGGAUACAAUGCCAGGCUCUUAGUUGAAAUGUGUGUACUGCUAAAGCUCAAGGAGAUUUAGUUGACUAAAUUGAUUUGAGUUGUAGAAAAAGGUUUAAUAAUAUAAUGGACUUUGAUAUAUGUAUUGUAGAUAUUAAGUAAUUCUCUUGAAUUUAUAUAUGUAACAUAAUUGUUAAUUGGCUCAUCCUUAACUAGAUAUUUUAUAUUACAUUCUUAACUACAGAUUUUGUAUUUAAAAUUUUUUUAAAAAAUUAACCUUUAUUUGGUAUGUGGAUUUUGUAGUCAAAUGUGGUCAAUUUACUUAGCCUUCGAUCGAAUACCUACCCAAAACAUAAAAAUAUUUUUUAAUCAUUUAUUUUCGACGAUCCAACUAUACGGAUAUUAUUGUAAUGUGAUAAUAUUGUUUACAAAUUUUUUUUAAAAAAAUUAGCCUUUUAUUUGGUAUGCGCAUUUUGUAGUCAAAUGCAAUUAAAUUACUUAGUCUUUAGUGGAAUCUUUACCCGAAACAUAAAACUUUUUUUUAAAAAAAAAUUUGGACAAUCCAACCGUACAGAUGUUAUUGUAACGUGUUAAUAUUGGUUAAAAUAAAUUUUGAGAAAAUAUGUCUUUUAUUUGGUGUGUGGAUUUUGUGGUCAAAUGCGGUCAAAUUACUUAGCAUUUAAUCGAAUACUUACCCAAAACAUGAAACUAUUUUUUUUAAAAAAUAAUUUCGGACGAUCCAACCGUACGGGGGUAUUGUAACACAAUAAUAUUGAUUAAUUUUUUUAUAGGAAAAUUAUAGCCUUUUAUUUGUUGUGUGGAUUUUGUUGUCAAAUGCAGUCAAAUUACUUAGCCUUUAAUGAAAUACUUACAUUAAACAUGAAUUUAUUUUUUUUUAAAAAUCAUUUGGAUGAUCCAAUCGUACGGAUGUUAUUAUGACAUGUUAAUUGAUUAAAAAAAUAUUUAAAAAAAAUGCCUUUUAUUUAGUAUGUGGAUUUUGUAGUAAAUGCUACUUAGCCUUUAAUCGAAUACUUACCCGAAACAUGAAACUAUUUUUCUAAAAAUCAUUUUGGACAAUCCAACCGUACGGAUGUUAUUGUAACAUGAUAAUAUUGAUUGUUUUUUUAUAUAAUAACCUUUUAUUUGGUGUGUGGAUUUUGUAGUAAAAUGCGGUCAAAUUACUUAGCUUUUAAUCGAAUACUUACCUGAAACAUGAAACUAUUUUUAAUAAAAUUAUUUUAGAUGAUCCAACCAUACAGAUGCUAUUGUAACGUGAUAAUUGAUUAUUUUUUAAAAAAAUUAGCCUUUAAUAUGGUGUAUGGAUUUUAUAGUAAAAUGAGGUCAAAUUACUUAGUCUUUAAUGGAAUAUUUAUUAGAAAUAUAUUUUAAAAAAUUAUUUUGGACGAUCCAAACUGUAUGAAUGUUAUUUUAACAUGUUAAUAUUGAUUAAAAUUGUUUUUAAAAAAAAAUUAGUUGUAUUUUAUGUGUGAAUUUUUAGUCAAAUACGAUAAAAUAUUUAUUUAGCUUGUAAUGAAAUAUUAAAACCCUACUUCAAAAGAAACUUGUCUAAAACUACCUAUAAGUGUUAGAGAAUCAUCGAUUUAGUUAUCAAAUUAGUUAUCAUAAGGGUUUUACUCCGCUUUUCUCUGGUAUGAUGUUGAUUUUUGGGGUUUGAUUGGUCGAUUUUCAUGUUUUAUAAGUUAUGUGAGUUCGAUUUUGAUGUUUUUACAAUUAGGUUUAUGUAUGUUCUUAUACAGGUUUCAUGUUCAUGUUUUGAUUUGUUGAUUUCCUAUUUUUCAUAUUUUGUUGAUUAGUUAUUUGUGUGGGUUUUGAACUUUGAUGAGUGUGUAUGUAAUCUCCUGUUUUUUUUUUUCAUUUUUCUGGUUCGAACACUUCGAUUAGUAGCUGGAAAAACAGCUGAUGCGGCAGUAGCGGCUAGUGAGAUGGAUAACAAGAAAAGGAUGAUUUCGAGGUCAUCUCGUGCAAGUCUUCAGAUAUAGUUUUGUUCCUUUAUGUUUUUAAUUGACAUAAAUUUUCACAUUUGAUGAUUAUAUUAUGGGGGAUUCUGGGUAUACUUGUAUAUAAUCUAGCAAGUUAUUAUAAUUCUGGACGGGGGGCUUAUUGUGAAAUUAAAUUGAGGGAUAAGUUGUGUUAUUGGUUCUAGUGGAUUAAAUUUAUGUUGACACUUGAUAUAUGCAUUGAUGUCGUAAAAUAAGUUGCACAUCAAACUAUUUGGCUUGUUUAAGUUGUAUGGAGUAAGGCUGUACGCGGAUCGGAUCGGUUCGGUUGGAGGGUAAUAACCAAACCAAACCGCAACUUACGGUUUUCUAAAAUCUCAAACCGCGACCAUACUGUUGGUUAAAAAAACCCAACCAAAUCCAUCCACGUAAUUGCGGUUGGUUGCGGUUCAACUGCUAAAAUAGUUAUAACAAAGAAAAUAUAUAAGUUAUUGCUUAAAAUCUUGCAUAAAGUACAGACUUUAACUCAAAAAUAUAUAAUUUAUCACUUAAAAUCUUGAAUAAAGUUAAUACAAUAAAUCUGAUUACAUAUUACAAAAGCAAACUACUCCGGAAAUAUAUAACUUGAAGCAGAGCUUCAAGUUAAUGGUUAUUAAAAAUUUCAUCCGCGACUGCCCACAUUUUACGGUUAUCCAUAAUACACGGAUCGGUUGCAGGUGGUUGUUGCGGUUAAUGCGGUGGAGCGGAUUGAACGUACAGCCCUAUGAAGUAUGGUUGCCAAGCAUUGGUUGGUUGUACACGUGUAAACAAAAUGAUAUUUUAAUAUUUAAACAAAACAAUACAGUCAUAAACAGAUCGUGUCGGGCUGGACUGAUUGUGAUUUUCCUUUUUGGAACUCGUACUCGGCAUCUUCCAAGCGAAUGAUAUUUAGAAGUUUGUUGCUAGUAUACUCCAUGUCAUAAUAAGAGUUCUUUAGAUUUUUUAUAUGUAAUUCGAAGUAUAAAAAACAUAUUUUAACAUAUUAUUUUUAAAUUUUUUAUACAUAAAAAUAUAACAUCUAUAUUUUUAUUUAGAAAAAAAUUUGAAAUAUAAUAUAUAGAUGCAUGUCUUUUUUAUACGUGAAAUUACAUGUAAAAAAUUAAAAGACUCUUAUUUUGAGUAAGAGAGAAUAUGAUGUACCAUAAAGUCAUCGAUCUUUUGUUAUCAAAUAAAUGUGAUAUUUAAUUAUUUAAGAGCAAGUCCAAAAGUAUCUUAGUUAAAGUCCUAAAUAUAAUAUAAAAUAUUACGUUCUGGUGAUUUAGGAUAUAUUUUACUAACUUGGACUCCAACAAUGUGUCUUAUUCUCAUAAGAAGUUUAAUAUUUUAUUAUUAAAGACUCUCUUUCAUCAUUAAAGCAUAAUAUAAAAGUAGAGAGAGAAAAAGAGUGUUGAUAAGAAUUAAUAAUAAAAUAUGGGAUAGGGUUAGGAGAGAUGUGCCUCAAAAAUAGGGUUUGAGGAGUUUCAUUAGGUGUGGACACGGAGACCAAGAAGUAAAAGAUGAGUACAGUUAAAUGAAGAUGUGGUAAAAUAAUGUGACCCAUUUAUAUUUAAUAAUACAUUUGAAAUAGUGGAGGAAAGUAACGAGUGUAAUAACGUUUAUAUUAUUAUAGCAUAUAGAUAGCAGAAGAAAGCAAUGGGUAUAAAAGUGUAUUAUAUUAUUAAAGUUUUGAAAUGUUUAGAAAUAAUGGGGCAAUCAAAAAGAAAACUGUAUAAAAAUGGACGAGAGAAUACAAUUCAAGAAGUAAUAUAUCUCAAUUCAAACUAGGUAAUAUAUUUAUGAAUUAUAUUAAAAAAAAUUUGACAUUCAAAUAUAAAAAUUUAUUUUAUCAUCUUAACAAUGGAAUAUUCGAUUAUUAACUUUCGUAAAUAACAUUAAUUUUUCAUUAUAAUAUACUCUAAACUUUUAUUUUAUGUGCCUGUUUGUUUACAAGAAGCUGGAGUCCUACUUCUCUUGACUCGUUUGUGUAAAAACGUAAAAAGUGCUUUUAAAAAGUACUGAGAAGGAAAUGGAAGUAGAAAAUGCUAGUUUUUCUUUAUAAUAUCUAUUUCUUUUCUAGACACUUUAAUAAUUUAUAUAUAUUAAUUUAUUUCUCACUUAUACUCCAUUUUUUUAUAGAGAACUUCUUUUAAACUAAUCGGCUCCUAUAAUCAGUAGUUUCUCAAUUUUAAUAGGAAUAAGAGCAUGUUUAUCUGAGCUUAAAGCCCGGGGUUUAUAUCAUCUCUGGCUUUAAGCUGAAAAAUGUAUGUUUGUGUAUUAAGUCGGAAGUCGGCUUAAAGUCGGAAAUAAGUCAAAAAUUGACCUAAAACCAGAAGUUAGUUUGAGAUACUUUUCUCGGUGACUAAUUUUUUUUUUAGCCAUUUUUUGAUAAAAAUUAUUCCUAAAUCACAAAUUACUCAUAAAUUACUUUUAUUAUUAUUAUUAUUAUAUUUUUAAUAACUUAUAAAUUAUUAAUAAAUCAAAAUUAAUCAAACAAAUAUUUUAAGUUCUCAUAUUAUGAGAUAACUAACGUUAAGUCAUGAAUCAACUGAACGGGAUGUAAGUCUUCUUCUCCCCGAGUCAUCAGCAGACUUUUUCCAUGUCUUCUGAGCCCCCAUUGGCUCACAAUUGGCCCAAAAAAUAUUUGGUUAUGCAUUGCUAUUCACACACUUAGACAUCAAAAUUUAUCAUCCGACAGGCGACAGCUAACUGCACACUAUUUUUCCCACAAGCUGAAAAAUCAACGAUCAAUUAAUUUUUCUUAUCAAUUAAUAAAGUUAUGAUUUCACGUACACGGCAGGCAAAAUGCUAAUAAAUAGACGAGUGCAGUAUAGUAUGGGUUCAUGAUCACCUUGAGAUUUAAUUGAAAAAUAUUAUGGUGAUAUAGAUUAAAUUAAAUUAUAAUAUCUUGAAAAGUUAUAAAUAAUUUUAAUUACUAAUAAUAUUUAUUUGUACAUUUAAAUAUUUUUAUAAAAACACAAAAAUAGCAUUAUACUCAUUUAAGUUUCUCGUAUCCGCCUCUCUUCUUGGAGAUUGUGGAUUUGCGAUAUUUAUAUUGAUUAUUAUAGGAAAAUGUUAUUUCCAGAGCAAACAUUUUUAUUUCCGGAGCAAAUUCAAACAAAUUUUUCCAAAUUGUUCUGGAAAUUAAAAUAUUGAUAUGGAUAUAACAAUUCCCUUAUUAUAUCCUAUGUAUAUUACAUUAAUGCAAUUAACAUGGUUGAUUGUUUUAGUAUAUAAUCAUAUUACUGUGACCUUUUAGUAUAUAAUUAUAUUAUUUUUGUUAUAUUUUAUGCAUCUAGAAACAAUUUUUUUAUGAUAUUUAUUAUAUUAAUUAUAGUAAAAGAUAUAAUUUUGUUUAAAAAAUUGAAUAAAACUAAGAGGGAUAGCCUACGUCUCUCCGAGUCUUCGAGGACUCAUUCCAAGUCCGAGAGGACCACAGCCUCAACCUUUAAGAGAUGUGAAAGUAGCUUGAGAGUGAUAUAAAUUUAUUUUUGACAAUAAAAUUUAAUAAUCAAAUAAAUUAAAUUAAAUUAAACUAGUUUAUAAUCGAUUAAAAAUAUAUAAAUCAAAAUUAUUCCCGAAUUAUGAUAACAAUUAAAAUCAUUUUAAAAGUUGCAUAAAUCAAAUCCAAAUCGAACAAAUUCCCCUAACACUAAAAUGUAGUUGCUUUAUUGUAGAUAAAAACAGUAUAAUAAUAGUAUUGAUGAAAAAUCAAAUUCAUCAAAUAAGUUUAUAAAAAAUACAUGAUUUUAAUUUUAAAAAAAAAACAUGAUUUUAGUGUGUUGUAUUAGUAGUGUGUCCACGCAUUUAUAUAUUAAAAUCUAUCCUCUAAAAACUAUCGAUCUAUUUACACAACUAUUGAUCUGUCGUGCAACAAAUUCCAGGGCGAAGUUCCAAAGAGAGCUUAAAUGGCUUGCAUUGCUCAAUCUAUCUCAUAAUAGUCUUAACGACAUAUGUUCUGAAUUAUUAUUAUGAUUUCAACAAUAUUUUCAAACAUUUCUUAAUAUGUAUUUUCAAAGAAUUCUCAAGCACUUGAACAUUUGGACCGGUUCUUUCGAAGCCAGGCAAUGCACAAAAAUGUCCAAAAAUGAAUAAAUUAAGAGAGAGUAGCUCACCCUUUCAAAGCCUUCCAGGACUCAUUCCAAGUCUUCGGAGGACCACUGCCUCCCCCUUUCAAAGAUGUGAUAGUAGCUCGAGAGUGAUAUAAAUUAUUUUCCCGACAUUAAAAAUAAAAAAUCAGAUUAAAUUAAUCAAUAAUAACUUAAGGAUGAAAUCCAAAUUAAUCCUAAAUUUUGAUAAUAUAUAAAAAUUAUAAUUAUAAAUUAUAUAACCAAAUCAGAAUUGAAUUAACUUACUUGGCACUAGAAUUGCUAAAGACAGUAUAAUAAUUUAAUUGAUGAAAAGUCAAAGUCUUCUAAUAAAUCCAUAAAGAAUAUGAUAAUAUGAAAAUUAUAAUUGAAAAAUCAAAAUCAAUAGUGUAUUGGAAUAGUGUUCACACACUUAUAUAUCAAAAUUUGUGGUCCAAAAACUAUAGCACAAUAUCCUAAAUACAUCACAUUAAAUAAUAGCACAAAAAUAUUCAAUAAAUAAUUGAUUUCAUUCAUAAAUUUGUUAUUUUAAAAACUAAUAAUUUGGUUGAUGUUAACCUAUAUUUUAUAUAUAAUUUCGUCUUAUUUUAUUUUACUAGAAACAAUAUUUUUAUAAUAUUUAUUACAUUAAAUAUAUUAAAAGAUAUAAUUUUAUUAAAAAAAUUGAAUAAAAUUAAAAGGAUAAGUCUCGGCCUCUCCAAGUCUACAAGACUCAUUUCAAGUCCACCGAGGGCCUCAACCAUUGAGAGAUGUGAAAGUAGCUUGAGAGUGAUAUAAAUUAAUUAAAUUAGUUAAUAAUGAAUCAAGACUAAUCAUGAAUUAUGAUAAUAAUUAAAUAAAUUAUAAAAUUAAAUUAUACAAAUAACACUAAACCUUAGUUACUUUAUUGGUAAAUAAAUAUAAUAUAAUAAUCAAAUUGAUGAAAAAUCAAAAUCAUUUAAUAAAUUCACAAAAAAUAUAUGAUCAUUAGUAUGUUAUAUUAGUAUCCACACACUUAUAUUUCAAAAUCUAUCCUCCAAACUUAUCAUCUCUGUAAACUAGCCACAUAAAAUAAAAAUUUAAAGAUAUUAGAUAUUUAGUUAUUUUCAUUAUAUAAUUUUUCCACACGAAAUAACAAAAUAUCUUUAUCAAAUUAUUAUUUAUGAGUUAAAUAUUCAAUUUAUAAAUCCAGUAUGCAGCGUAUAAAUAGAAGUGUGCAGUAUGAUAUCAGAUUCACAUAACCCAGUUGAUGAGGAGAAACAUGGCAUACUCUGCAAAGCCUUCUCACCUUCUUCUCUUUGUUUUCUUUCUCUCAUCACUUGAAUCCAUUCUUGCAACAACACGAGAGGGAGAAGCUCUUGUGAAGUGGAAGAAUAGCCUAGCCCCUUCUUCUUUUCUCGACUCUUGGUCACUCACCAAUCUCGAUAAUCUUUGUAACUGGACUGGCAUUACUUGUAACUCUGCAGGUUCAGUCUCUGAGAUUAACCUUAGUGAGAAACAACUUGAUGGAAUGCUGUCCGAGUUUGGUUUCACUUCAUUUCCAAAUCUCAACAAUCUCACCCUCGCAUACAACUUCUUCUCGGGUCCAAUACCGCCAGCCAUUGAGAAUUUAACACAGCUUCAAUACCUUGAUUUAAGCUUUAAUUAUCUCGAUGGUCCCAUUCCGUUCCAGGUUAGCCAUCUUCAGAGGUUGCUCAUCUUAAACCUGUCACAGAAUGCAUUGCAAGCUCCAAAUUGGUCCCAUUUCUCUCCCAUGCCUUUCUUGCGCAUCCUCGACCUUAAUAGCAAUCAUCUUGCGUCGAACUUCCCAGAAUUUAUAUCCAAUUCUCAUAGCUUGGCUAUCCUUGACCUUGGAUAUAACAACUUUACAGGUGACCUUGUGCGUGAAUUUACUAAUCUACAAAAUCUUGAAACCCUCUACCUAGAUGAAAAUUCUUUUGAGGGGCCAUUUCCGCCGGAUGUAUUCAGGCUUUCCAAAUUAAAACAUCUUCGCCUGUCAGGUAACAAAUUCUCAGGUUCAAUUCCCAAUGACAUAAGGUUGCUUUGUGAUCUUGAAUCCCUAUAUUUAAGCAACAAUUCCUUUAAAGGACCCCUUCCAUCAAAUAUAUUCAAGCUUUCAAAAAUAAAACAUCUUGUUCUUUGGAGUAAUAAGUUUUCUGGUUCUGUUUCCAAUGAUAUAGGUUUACUUUCUGAGCUUGAAACCCUCGAUCUUAACUCUAAUUUUUUUGAGGGGCCGCUUCCGUCAAAUAUAUUCAAGCUCUCCAAACUAAGGUAUCUUUCCCUUUGGGGUAAUAACGUUUCAGGUUCUAUUUCCAAUGAUAUAGGUUUGCUUUCUGAGCUUGAAACCCUCGAUCUUAACUCUAAUAUUUUUGUGGGGCCGCUUCCGCCAAAUUUAUUCAAGCUCUCCAAACUAAAGAUUCUUUCCCUUUAUAAAAAUAACUUUUCAGGUUUUAUUUCUAAGGAUAUAGGUUUGCUUUUUGAACUUGAAACCCUCUAUCUUGGCUCUAAUUUUUUUGAGGGGCCGCUUCCCCCACAUGUAUUUAGGCUCUCCAAAUUAAGAGAUUUGGGUCUCAGAGACAAUAGAAAUUUAUUUCAAGGAAGUAUUCCUAUUGGACUGGGACUCUUGACUAAUCUCAGGUACUUGAGUCUAUUUUCCAAUGAUCUCAGUGGCUAUAUUCCAUCUGAGAUUGGAAACCUGAAGCUACUAAAAGUUCUUGAACUCGGUUCUAAUCAAUUGACAGGACCGCUUUUAAAGAUAGUUUCUAAUCUCAAAAAUCUUAUAUAUCUUGGUGUAAGUGGUAAUAGUCUUAGUGGAAAUAUUCAGAGUGACUUGUGGAAAUAUAACGAUCAUCCAACUUUGGAAUACAUCAAUUUAAGUGGGAACCAUUUUACGGGUAUAGUUUCUCUCUAUAGAUCUUUGUCAUAUGUAACUAAGCUAGUAAUCUGAUUAUUGCCUUUUCACCAAAGUUUCAACAAUCUUGACAGGUGAGCUUCCAACAACAAUUUGCAAUGUCACAUCCCUUUUGCUUCUUGAUUUGUCAAAUAAUGAAUUAAGUGGUGCACUUCCAAACUGUUUCGGAAAUCUUGCUGAUAGAUUGCUUUACGUUAAUCUUGCUAAUAAUCAGUUUCGAGGAACAAUACCAACUACUUUCUCCAGGAGUUGUCAGCUGAAAUAUCUAAACAUGGAUAAUAAUGAGUUUGAAGGAUUGUUGCCCCCGUCUUUGGAAAACUGUAAGCACUUGAGAAUUCUUGAUAUUGGCAAUAAUAAAAUAGGUGGUACAUUUCCGUCAUGGCUUUAUGUACUUGGAGAGCUAGAAGUCCUUGUCUUGCAAUCAAAUAAACUCUAUGGUACAAUAAGUGGAAGGAGCAUAGAAGAUCCCUUCCGCAAGUUGCGGAUUGUGGAUCUGUCCAACAACCACUUCACAGGCCAUUUGCCAAUUCAAUACUUUAAGAAUAUGAAAUCAACUGAUAAUUUGUAUAGUUAUCAGCUUUCCACAGCAGUUUUUUCUUUCCAUUAUGAAGCAGCAGUCUCAUUAAUUGUGAAGGGAACAGAGUAUGAAGUAGCAAAUAACCUUCAUAUUUACACAGCCAUUGAUCUGUCGUGCAACAAAUUUCAGGGAGAAAUUCCAAAGGUUACUGGAGAGCUUAAAUGGCUGGCAUUGCUCAACUUAUCUCAUAAUAGUCUAACAGGACCUAUCCCGUCAUUGCUGAGAAAUAUGAAAGAACUCCAAUCUUUAGAUUUGUCCUCAAAUCAACUGACGGGGGCUAUUCCACCUCAGUUAACUGCGCUGACAUUUCUAGAGGUCUUAAACCUCUCGGGAAACCAUCUUAGUGGAGAGAUUCCUCAGAAAGGACAAUUCAGCACAUUCAACAAUGAUUCGUAUCUAGGAAACUCCGCUUUAUGUGGAUCACCAUUGACGAAGAAAUGUGCAAACACAGCAUCACCUCCACAAGAAGUCGGAAAUGUUGAUGAAGAUUAUGCGGGUGAUGAAUUGACAUGGGAAGCAAUCAUGAUCGGAUAUGGAUGUCGACUGAUAUGUGGAUUGUCAUCUGCAUACAUUGUUCUCAAACUAGGAAAGCCUUGGUAGUUUGUGAGAUAUGUCGAAGUACUGCAACAGAAGUUGAUGAAAAGAUGCUUGAAGAAAGGUACUGGUCGACCAAUAAGAACUUGAAAGUUGUUGUCCUGGUAGACAUUUCUGAACCAGUAGUAUUUGGUAUUAUGUGAUAUUCUGUUUGGUCCGGACUCAUAACGAUUUCGCUUGCUUCAGGAGUAUUAAUAUUAACCUUCCUAUCUUGAUCAAUGUUAAUGCAAAUUAAAAUGAAAAGGCAAAAAAUAUGCAUCAAAUCCCCUCCUGUUGUACCAAGAUUCAUUAAUUAAGAGGCAUGGCUUUUGUCUCUCCAAGUCUUCGAGAAAUUAUUCCAAGUCUUCUUUGGAGGCCUACUGCCUCAACAACCUUUCAAAGAUGUAGCAGUUGCUCGACAGUGAUAUAUAUAUUAGAUAAAGACUAUGCAACAACCAACGUGACAGAAAAAUCAAAAUAGGACAAAAUCCGUACGAAUCAAAAUAGUUUAUUUCUAAGGGGAAUAGCUGAAUUAAAUUGUAAGAGAAGUAAAACAGAUUCUUUUAUAUUUUGGAAUAUAACUGAAAAAGAUUUUGAGAUAAUUUUCAGAAAUCAAACCAGUCAAAUAAAUAUUCGCUGAAGGAACAGAGUAAAGAUACAACGAAUAUAACAAGUUGUAAGAUGAAUAUCGCUGAAUCAAACAGGGUAGAACCCGUACAAAAACGCCAAACAGAAAGGAUCAAAACAGAGUAAUCAAAUUUACCUAACACUAAUAGAAGUAGUGCUGAAUAAAAGAGAACGAAAUCUGUACCUUAAAAAUAGCAAACGCAAACACUAACCAACCUCACAAGGGACCAUCUAAACUCCCUAACCCCGACUUUAUCUUAAACUCCAAAUAUCUCCCUGACUCCAAUAUGCCCAGAACAAUAAACGAAUGUUUUGACCUUCUAAACGAUGUUUUCUGGAAUAACGCAAAACACGAAAAUCGUAGAGAACGAAAAGACCUUUCCGAAAAGGUAAGGCUCGUCAAGAACGGAGUCAUAACGAAUCGGGAAUUAAAUAAAACGUCCGCUGAUUCAGAACUCAAAGCGAGAACAGGAUCUGAUUAAGUUUUGUAAUUUUGAGAACAGUUUGAAACAUAAUCUGAGAAAACAUUAUAAACGAAAGUAUAUGAGAUUGAAAGAGCUUUCCGAAACAUCAAGAAUCAUCAAAUUCCGAUAAGAAUUGAAUUUUCUACGAAUUUUACAAGACAGCUGAUUUGUGAGAAUAAAGCCCUACGAAUUUUUGUCAUAAAAAUGAAGAGAAGGUUGAGUAGCUCUCAAAAGUAUAUAAAAAGAAUGAGAGAACAAAUCAAUAUACUCCCUUUGUCCCUCUCGUUUAUUUACAGUGUUUGACACGCAUUUUAAAGCGCAUAUAAAACAUAGUUCUAUGAUUUAUUUUCAAAAUUUUUCUUUUUUGUAUAAAAAUUUAAACAUCAAAUUUUUAUCUAGAAAAAAAGGAAGUUCAAAAUAAUUUAUUGAACUACGUUUUACGAGAGCAUUAGAAUGCGUGCCGAGCCCCCGUCCCCCAAUGUAAACAAAUGAGAGGGACGGAAGGAGUAUAUAUACAGAGUCUUGAGACCCUAAUUCUAAACCUAUCCAUUAUCUGAAUGCAAGGCUGAUCUAUAUUUUAAGUACACUAUCCUAAUUCAAUUUUAAAUCCUAUUCAUAAUCUAAUUUUAAUCCUUUAUUAUUAUUACUAACCAAUUAAUAUUAUUUUAAAAAAAUACUGGAUAUUACAUUCCUGAUCAGACUAGUGAUCGGAUUGCAACCGCAAAGCAGCCUAUAUAUAGUGACAAUUAAAUACACAACAAAACAACUUCUUUCUUCUCUCUUGGGUUAUAAUACUCAGACGGACAAGCUAUAUCUGAGGCGAUUUUCUGGGCGAUUAAACACACAAUAAAAGCAGCUUCUUCUUCUUCAAUUAAGGUUUAUUCUACACCCAAUCACAUACACACACACACUUUAAUAUGACUAGUGAGUUCAAUUUUUGGUGGUAUUAUAUGAUUAUCAUGUUCUCUUUUUAAAUAUUAGUAACGUUAUUUUCGGAGUGGACUCUGUUGAUGUUUAAAUUUGAUAUAGAUAUUGUAAUUGAAAAUUUAUGUUGAUUUGUUGUUCAGAUUUCAAGUAUUAAUUUGUGUGUGAUCAAAAUUUUGCUUCUACAUCGAUUAUCAGGAGGAAAUAUGAGGCCGAUCUUGAUCAAAGGACACGAAAGGCCAUUAACAUAUCUAAAGUAUAACAAGGAGGGUGACCUCCUCUUCUCCUGCGCAUUAGACAGAAACCCCGCUGUUUGGUACGCUGAUAAGGGAGAGCUUUUAGGCACUUACCGUGGGCACAUUGGUUCUGUUUGGGGUUGUGAUGUUUCUAGGGAUUCAAAACUUUUAAUAACUGCAAGUGCGGAUCAAACAGCAAAGGUAUGGGAUGUUCAAACUGGGUCUGAGCUGUUCACGUUUGAAUUUAAGUCCACUGUGAAAUCAGUAGAAUUUGGUGUCGGAGACAAGCUUGCUGUCAUUGCAACAGACUCCUUUCGUGACAUGUCUUCUGCAAUUCAUGUCAAACACAUAGCCAGAGAUCCUAGUGAACAGUGCGGUGAUUCUGUGAUUGAAUUCUCACCUGGAGGAAGAAUCAAUAGAGCUGUUUGGGGACCUUUAAAUAGGACCAUAAUAAGUGGUGGUGAACAAGGCGUUGUUCGUGUGUGGGACGUUGAGACAAAGAAAGUGAUUUAUGAGUCAGACAAGGAUACUGGUCAUCAGAAGGCCAUUACAUCACUUGCAAAAUCAAGAGACGGUUCACAUUUACUUACUGCUUCCAUUGACAAAUCAGCUAAGCUUUGGGACAUCAGAUCAAUGAAACUUCUCAGGACAUACAAGGCUGAAGCCCCAGUUAAUGCAGUUGCACUCUCUCCACUACUUGAUCAUGUCGUGCUCGGAGGUGGUCAAGAUGCAUCGACUGUUACAAACGAUCCUCGUGCUGGCAAGUUUGAGGCCAAAUUUUAUUCCAAGGUCCUUGAAGAAGAAAUUGGAUCUGUGAAAGGACACUUUGGUCCGAUAAAUGCAUUGGCAUUCAACCCUGAUGGAAAAAGUUUCGCAAGUGGAGGUGAAGAUGGUUAUUUGCGAUUACAUCACUUUGAUCAUGACUACUUCAACAUGGCGAUUUAAUUCGAAUUACUUACAUUGCUACGUCUUUUUUUUUUUUUUUCCGGUUUUAUUCAAGUUAUUUUCUGGUUUUUAUGUUGAUCUUAUGUUCUUUGUUAUAAAUAGAAGUGUGGUUCCUUUUAAAACUAUUUACAUAAGUUUUUGGCUUUUCAUGUAAUUUAAUCAAAGUAAAUGCCAUGAGAUCCUGAAUAUAUCUACUUAUCUAUCUAUCUACUUAUUAAAGCAGAAUCAGGGGAAAAAUAUACCAGAAAUUGGAUGAAAAAUUUACAUACACACCCUCAAUUAUUCAUCAAUUCCGAAAUUGGCCUGUAGUUUAGCUGUUAACUUGCAGGAUUUUUGUAAAAGUAGGAAUCAGCGAUUCUUAGGUACCCCAGUGACCCCGAAUCGGUUUCUCAGAUUCUUGGAAAUCCUCGGUCAGUUGAUUUAGAUUGUGGGCAUAUAUACACCUAUAGUCAGCCUCCGGCGGUGCAAUCUUUUGGUGGUGUUUUUCAGCCUUUUCUGCUAUAGCGAUUCUUGUUAAAACAUUCAGGUGCUAGGGUUGUUUUGUUGGUAAAGGGAAUUGGAUUGUUGUAUCUGCGGUUGUGGCAAAGGUAAUUUUCUUGCCCUUGCUAUUCUUUUGGGAUGUCUGAUUAUAAAUAGCCCUUCUAACUUUGUUCACCUGUUCUGUAUGAUGUGUGUCAUUUGUGAUUGAGUCGAGCAGUAUAUCAUUUUGAUGCAUAUUGUUAAUUUCACUCUGGGAAAUUUUUAUGCUGAUGUUUGGGCAAUUAAUUCUGGUUAUUUCGUUGAUUUUGUUUGUGGUUUGUUUCCACCUGCCAUUAGAACUGUAAAGUAAAGUGUAUUUAUUGAUCAUGAUUCAAGUGUUUGUAGAUAAUCGAUGUGGGUGACAAAGAAGCUGCAAAUGAUGAUGGUUCUUCACAAAUUUUAUCUGCUUUGCUUCCUUUUGUUGUGGCUCUCACCAUGGUUGUCAAGUCGACGACUGCUGUUGCUGCUCUUGCUCAGCCCUCAACUUUCACCUGGUAACAACUUUUGUAUGUUUGGUAAAAUAUUUUGAUUUUUUUUUUUUUGUAAGGGUAAAAUAUUUUGAUUGUGAUAAGCUAAUUUAUUGUUUUUUAAUGAUUCCAACACUACAACAGAUUUAGCAUCACACAACGGUUUUUGCCCGUUGUCUGAGACCACGGAAAACCGUGGUCUAUCGAGACGCCGUCUGAUAUGCGUAUCAGACAACGGUGCGCACCGUUGUGUGAUAGUGCUAAACACGAUGGUUUACGUUAAAAAAAUUGUUGUGCAACACCCAGAACCAACAACGUUUACUCUUAAACGUGGUGUUGUUAGAAACACUCCUUAACAAUAGUCGAUUUCAAAAAUGGUGUUGUUAGAGAGACUAUCCACAACAGUUUUAUUAGCUCGCAAGACUUGUUGGAAAGAUGAUCAUACAACAGUAGUUGAAAUAGAGAAGCUCGUUCUUUCCUCUCUUGUACAACGGGUUUCGAACACCAAGCCACUUGUGUAAGGCCCCUUCUAACAAUGUUUUAAUUAGUGAGGUUGUUGUGUUUAGUUACGUCAGACAAUGGUUUUCUUUCAUAGUUGGUUGUCGUUUACAUGUUUUAACAAUUGUUUCUGUUUCAUCAUUAUUGCAAGUCAUUUGUUUGGACAAUGGUUUUGUGACAAUAAAUCAUUGUUUCCAGUUUUAUGAGACAAUGUUUUUAAUGAAUAAUGAUUAUUGUAUCAUGUUCAGUAUGACAAUGGCCCUGUAUUAUCCCAUUACCUAAAUACAUAAUAGACAAUGAUUAACAUAACUCGAUUAAACUAAGCUAGAGAAUGUAAUUAAAAAGCCAAAAAUUUGUAAACAAAAAAUUUCAUUAUGCACUAAUAACCAUUGUUACAACCAAAUCAUAUAUACCAUCCAAUAUCCAGAAAUAUUUCCCCCGAGGAUGGCAAAUCUCAAAAAUAUAAAUACCUACAAUAAAUGGUAGCAUCUAGAGAGGCAUAUGUGACUACAAGAGUCUUUUGUGAGCUUUUCAACUACCCAGCCCAGGAACAAUCCUCUGAUUGCAUUCUUUUGAUUCGGAUGGAGCCCUCCUGCUAUCUCUUUUGGAAGUGACUCUACUGCAACCACCUGUAAUACAUAAAAAAGUUCUUGAUAUGCUUUUCGUACAAAGAAAUUAAUGUGGUUGAGGAGUAUGUUUCGAGUUCAAAAUAUACCAGUGUGCCAUCUUCCAUGGUUUCACGUCAUUCAUACACAAUAAAUUGUAGCAAUUGUGAGCCCUAUCAACAUACCAGUCUUUCUGUAUUUAGAGUUGGAGCAGCUAAGCCAAAAUCAGACAAAUGGGGAUUGAGUUCAUCAAGUAAAAUAUUUGCUGACUUUAAGGUACUAUUAACAACAUAAGGAACAACAUCAGCAUCUUGCUUCUAUCAUCAGUGAAGUAUAAAAACUCUUGCAAGCUACUAUUUGCAAUAUAAUCAUGGACCAGAAGACGUACCAUGUUCAGCGGAAUAUCAUUCAAAUCUCUGGCAUGGUUGUUGUGAUGGAUAAAAAUAAGUUCCUUUAUGACCUGAAUUAAACAUUAAAAGAUACCAAAUUAACCGAAAUGCGUAGAGAUGCACAAAAAGUCCAGGCCCGAAAAUAUGGUCAUAGAGAUUUAAAAAAAGUCGAAAAUAAAGACAAACCAUGUGAGUAAAAAGCAGAGUAAGGAGGAUUGAUGGUAGUGUUUGAUAUAGAUGCCAUGUGGGUAGAUCCAUAUGAGCUGCUGGAAGCAGAGAGAUUUCUUCCAAACUCUCUUACAUUAUUGACAACAUUUGUGUUAACAUAUAUGUGUUGUAUAUGAAAUUUUAAAGAUUAGAUACAUAAAUAUAAUAUUAUUCGGAAAAUAUAACAUACCAUCUCGAGUCAUUUUCUUGCUUGGUCAUUAAAAUAACCUACAGCAAGUAAUGUACCCUCACUCUAUAAGAAGAAGAUGGACAAAAAGAAGUCAGUUGUAUGGAUGCCUCGGAAUAUAUACAAGAAUGUCCCAGGGAUAUUUAUUCAGUUGAUGAAGCAUGUAUAUCUAGAAAUUAACAAACCUCAUCAGCCAAAACAAAUAUAAAAUUAAUAAAAUCAUCUGUCUCCAAACACACAGAUUAAAAUCAAAGCACAAAUGUUAUCACACAAAACCAAGACAACACAAGAUCCAUCACUAAAACACACAACUACUACUAAAAUCAAACACACAAACAAAAAUCUCAUAUAGAUUCAAACUUUAUCCCCAAAAUCAAGUAUAAUUACACAGUAAAAAGCAUUCGUUUACCUCUUCAUAAGGUGAAUUGUUGUUAAACUAAUCAGCACGGUCAACACCGGCAUCAAAAACUUGAAUGGCCUUUGGGGUUAUCGCCGACAGAACAGAUCUGAGUAAGCUUUGUAGAAAAUGAGAUAGAGACGGGGGAGGGAGGGGAGAGUUCAGAGGAGGGUGAGGGAGAGACAGAGGGCGAGAGGGAGGGGAGGGGCGAGAUGCUUUAACAAAUCAAUUGCGGCAAGAGUGGGGAAGACACAGCCGCACCAGAAGAGGAAGAGAUAGAUUCAGAAGAAGAGAGAUUUACUCUCACUUACAAAUUUUAGGUCAAAAUAGAGGGGGGGAAAUGAAAAUUUGGAUAAACAAGUAGAGAGGGAAUUGAAAAUUUUUGUAAGGUGGAAAUCAUUCGUUCAUCCCGUGUAAAUAACAAAAUCAAUGUAUUAUAAUAUCCAUAUAGUUGAAUUAUAAAUAAAUGAAUUUUUUAAAUUAUAUUUUUGUAUUUGAUUACAAAUAUUUCAUAUUAAAUAAAUUUUAAAAACAAUUUUAAUGUAGAUGUCAAUAUCUAAUUAUUUUAGUUAUUUGUGAAAAUCUUCAAAAAAUUAAAAAUUAAUCUGGUAAAUCUUUUUGACAAAAUAUAGUUGAAAUACAACUAUUUAAUAAAAAAUUAAUAAUUCUUUAAAAGUUAAAAUUCUCAUUUUCUCGAUGUAUUCCGUUUUUGUACUCUUUGUCUAAAUAAAAUAUACACAAAUUUUUAUUAUUCAUUUGUAAUAAGAAGAUAUUUGUGUGGUUCAAAUGUCAAUAUUAGUAUAAAUUUCAUAUUUACAAUAUAGGAUGUACUUAAUAGAAGUUUUGUGAUCUAUAUGAUUAACCCCGUAUUAAUUUUGAAAUAUUUUCGAUCAUCCAAACAUAUAAAGAUCUUAAUAUCUAUCAAUAUUAGUCAUGUAUAAUAUUUUUAAAUUUUUCUAUAUUUAUUUAUAUCUUGUUGUAACAAAACUAGUGAUGAUCGUUGUUUUUAUGUCAUUUCUUAUUUUUGUACUUUUUAUCAAAAAAUUAUAUUUAUAUUAUGCAUAUGUCCAAAUUUGUAUUAUUCAUUUGUAAUUGGAAGAUAAUUUUGUUGUUCGGACCUGAGUAUUACUAUGUGUUUUAUGUUCACAAUUUAGGAAGCACUAGAUAGAAUUUUUGUUAUCUACAAAAUUUGCUCUGAAUUAAUUUAUAAAUAUUUUUUUCGAUGAUAUAACCGUACGGAUGUUAAUAACUAACAAUAUUAGUCAUGCAUAAAAAAAUUAGAUUUUUUUAUGCUUAUUUUAUAUGCUUUUUUUACAAAACUAGUCAAUUGUAAAUUUUGUCUUAUUGUAAAAAGGUAAUUUUUGUCUUGUAGUGUCCAACAGACAACGGUACUUAUAGGCACGUGUGUUGUAUGAGUUAAAAUGACACAACUGUUAUGGACAUUAUACAGUCAUAACAAAAUCUAUUGUCUAAAAUAGGCUCAAACAAUGUUUCGGGAAAAACUCGUUGUGUGUAAGUAGUGUAGACAAUGGUUUCUGGGAGGCAAACCGUUGUAUAAUAAAUUUUCAUUUUUAAGAGUUAGAAAUUCACAUUUUCUUGAUUAGUUCUUGUUUUUGUACUCUUUGUCUUAACAAAUAUACUUAUAUUAUGUAUAUAUGCAAAUAUCAAUUGUCAUUUGUACUAUGAAGAUAAUUUUGUAGUUCGAACAUGAGUAUUGGUAUGUGUUUUAUAUUUACAAUUUAGAAAGUACUGAAUAGGAUCUUUGCUAUAUAUAAGAUUAGCUCCGUAUUAUUUUAUAAAUAUUGAUUUUGAUGAUCUAACCGUACGGAUGUCGAAAACUAACAAUAUUAGUCAUGUAUAAAAAAAAUCAAUUUUUUAUGUUUAUUUUGUAUGUUUUUUUUAACAAUACUAGUCAAUUGUAAAUUUUGUCUUACUGUAAAAAGGUAUUUUUUGUCAUGUAGUGUCUAACAUACAAUGGUUUUUAUAUGCACCUAUGUUGUAUAAUUGAAAAUGAUACAACUGUUACAGAAGUAUACCGUUCUAAGAAAAUCUAUUGUCUAAAUUAGGCUCAAACAACGGUUCACGGAAAAUCCGUUGUAAAAAAGUAGUGUAGACAACAGUUUAUGGGAAGGAAACCGUUGUAUAAUAAAUUUUCAUUUUUAUGAGUUAAAAAUUCGCAUUUCCUUGAUCAAUUCUUGAUCUAAUGCAAGAAAAACAUAUGACUAUCAAGAAAUUGAUUGUUUUGUUAUAACUUUGGUUAGGACUUUGAAUCUUUGCACUCUCUUAUGUACAUCCAUUUUCUUAAAAUUCAUUCAAUCAUACAACAUUUUAUUAGUUAGUAGAGGCUUGUCUAUAAUGCCAUGCUACAAUGCUAACAAAAACACUUGUAUGUUAGCUUCCCAGUCACACAACACUAUAUAAAACCCUUGUUUGAACUCCUCGUAAACAACACAACAAAUAAAACACUUGUCUAAUUACAACGACGGUUUCUUGAACUAUUGUCUGAAGUUUCUUCACACAUCGGCUCUCAAAACAGUUGUCUAACAUGCAUCAUUACACAAUACCACAGUUAAGAAACCAUUGUCUAAUUGAAUUUACUAGACAACAAUUUUUUAACCGUUGUAGGUCGUAGAUGUUAGACAAUAGUUUUUCGAGGCCGAAAAGAAAGUGUUGUGUCUUUUUUCCAAACAACGCUUUUUUCACCGUGCGUUGUCUGAUCAGUGUUGUCUAAUGGUGUUAUUGUUGUAGUGCAAGUUGGAUUUAUUUAAUGCUAAUAGGUACUUGUUCAAGUGAGGAGAUUUAACUGAGAUUCAGGUUCUGGCAUUUGUCUUGUGUUGUUAUUUGUUUAUGUACCGGUUUUGAGAGUCAUUAGAGAUAUGUAAGGUAUUUAUUCCUAUUUUUUAUUAUUAGUAUUACAUCGUUUUCGGGUAAAAUAAUCGAUGAUUGUUUGUUUUAACUGUGUAAUAGCCUUAUGAUCUGCCAACUUAUGUAGACAUGUGAUAAACAUGUUGACUGUGGUCAAUAUUUUAGAUGAGGUAGUGUGUUUGUUGUUAUUGCAAGACUUUUUGGAAUAAUCAUUGUCAAAAAGAACUAACGAUGAAUGGAAAUGAAGUUCUGAAGAAGUGAUGAUACAAUGUUAAAGAGAUUGCUUUUUGUUGAAUUUUUCUGACUCUGGAAUUAAACUGCGUUAGUAUCUUCUUCUCUGAUUUUCCUUAUUUGGUAGACCUACUACUUUCAGAAGAUACAUGUGGUAUUUGUUUGGUUGAUUAAUUUUGGUAAGAUACAGUUUCCGUUUGGAAUCAGACUAUCCAUUGAACAAUCAGACUAUCCAUUGAAGAUUUUAUGCUCGCUCUUAAAUGGUUGAUCCACUGAUCUUAUUCUUACUUCAUAUGAGCUAAAGCCAGCUCUAGGGGUGUUUCUCGCAUACAAAAAAAUUAAAAAAAAUAUUAUGAAACUAUACUUUGCAGGAGUCUCAAAAUAAAUAAGUGUAAACGAUAAACUUAAACACCUAACUUCUUAAACACCUAGCAUAACACGGGUGAGCAUAUGGUCAAUCAUACCAAAUUGAAUAAAUCGAAAUUAAAAUUUAAAUAUUUUUAGACUGGACCAAACUGAAAUAUUUUGUCCGAUCCAGUUCAGUAUGAUCGAAAAGAAUUGAUUCUUUUGGAAAAAGUAACUUAAUAUUAUAAAUAAAAUUAAGAUUUAUAAUUUAUUUAAAAACUAUCAAUGAAUCAUCAACACUUCUUCAAAAAUAGAUACAUUUGAAUUUAUACAUUAGAUAUUAUAACUUCUAAAAAGUAUAUAAAAAUAUAUAAUAUAAAUAUAAAUUUAUAGUAUAAUUUUUUUGACUAUUUAGAAUAUAUUUUUAACCCAAAUAUUUUUUUUUAAAAUCAAAUUUUAUUUCGAUGAACUUUUCUAGAAAAUUAAGAUAGAAACGAAACUCAUUCCUACAGUAAGGUUUCAGUUUUUCGGCUGCAAUACGGUUUUGCUCAUCAUUAGCAUAAAUGGAGUAUGUAGUAAAUAUGAAUGAAUGGCAUGGGAAUUCUUGGAAUGGUAUCAAGAAUUAAGAUUAAAGCACAUUAGAAGUUUAGAACCAUGAAUGUUAUUUUUGAAAAUAGUAAUCCCUCCGUUUCUUAUCACGUUUCUCGUUUGAUAUGUCGGAACGGUUCAUAAUAUGAGACAAAUUAGUAAUUUAUGUCCAAUUUAUAAAAUUAAAUAUAGUCAUGAGUGAUCUUGUUGGAUUCGUAUCUAUGAGUACUUUAAUAAGAUGAAAUUUUUAUAUUUAAUGUUAAUACAAAAUUAAAAUAUAUUAAUUAAAAAUAUAUAUUGACAAACGUGAUAAAAACAAACAGCAAAAAUAUUAAGAAACGAAGCGAGGGAGUAAUAAAUAUGCUUUAUGCUGAACUGAAUUGAGUGCGUGGAAGCUUGGGGAGGCAGCUUACUACAGUAUCUACGUGUAUCUGUAUAUGCAAUAAAGACACAAAUACUCACAGGAGAUUAUUUUUCAAACACUUAAUUUCCCCCUUUCCUUCUCGUAAUAUUCAACUCAAUUCAUCACAUCAUCUUCUUCAGACAAACAACUAUACUCACUUCAGAUCAUCACAUCAUCUUCUUCUUGACUUCAGAUCCACAUUUCAAACCCUAAUCAUUCGCUUGGUCCCCUCCCUCUCUGUAAUAAUACAAUUCUUUCUACACACAAACAAUAACAUCAUCAUCAUCGAGUGAAGCUUCAUAUCCACAUUCCAAGACCUAAUUACUCGCCAAACCACUCUCGCUCUCAUGGAGGAGGCCUUAGAAAUGGCGAGAUCGAAUGAUACCAAGAAGCGAAGGGCGGGAGUGGAUCGGCUGCAACAGCUUCUUGAAGAUUCAAGAAAGUGCUUGUCAUCGUCGGAAGUGACGGCGCUAGUCGACACGUGUCUUGAGCUUUUGAAGGACACGUGUGUUGCUGUCGUCGGCCGCGGAGUUGUUUAAGUUGCAUUCUGAUAGAAUUAUGACGGCGGUUGUUGAUAGGUUGUGGGAUGGGGAGCAGCGGGUUCGAGACUCGGCGAGGAGGCUGUUGAUUACCCUUAUGGAGGUAAUUUAUUAAUUUUCUUGGGGAAUGCCAGUUGAUUUUAUGGAAUGUGAUAUAGUAUAGUUUCUAUCAAUCGAGUAUCUUAAAUUGAUGACUACAACAAGUAUUAUCGUUUUGCACGCAAGUGGCUAAACUUUUAUGCAUGCCAAAUUGCCAAUCGGGUUUCAAUUUCAGAUCUCUGCCUUCACUUGCAUACGAACACAUUUGAGUUUAAAAAGAUGAAUCACCUCAUAAAUAUCAUUAAUAAUUAGUUGGUGUUAAUAGUGCACUGAAAAAUGGGAGAGAAUGACAAGACUAUAGACAGUAGUAGGGCUGAGCGAGAUGUUAAUUGAGUACUUAUAUGAUGCUUCACUAUGUUCAGGGAGUUAGUUUAUUGCUUCUUUCCUACACUUUCACUUGAAUUAGUACUAAUUAAUAAUUCCUUCUCUAUCUUGUAAAAUUUCUCCUUCAUUGCUAAGCAUAUCUACUCUGAUUAAUUUUCAAACAAACUUUACUACUGAGAUAGGAUUGUUUGCUGGGUAGGAGCACCAUAGAAUGAGUAGCUCUAUUGCUAUAUACUGAAGGGUGCGGUGGCAUCCUCGGUUAUAUUUUAAGUGCUACUUCGAAUUUAGUUGUUGGCUUUUGCAAUUUAUUUUCAUUCACAAUGUUUUAAUAAUGAUACCCCAUAUUAGGUGAGAGAUAUUAGUGCCAGGCUGGAGCAGAUUCAGAUUCAACCAGCAACUUCCGUCUCUUCCAUCUCUGAAGGACUUAAUAGUAAUCUUCUCCACCAUGCACCUGAUUUAGAAGUAUAAUGUAUUAAUGUGAACUUUUUAUUUAUAUUUAUUUCCAUGUGUAGUAAAACGAUCACAUCUUUUAAGAGCUUAGUACAAUGUUAUGUACAAUGUGUAAUUAAUUAAGAGGUUUGUACAUAGUUUAGUAUGAAAUGGAAAAAGUUUGUACAGAAGUUUAUUUGUUCACAUUACAGCUGAGACGAGCAAGCAAAAACCAUCAGAGAAUUCAAAGGAUAAUGAUAAAGGAAUUGAGCCCCUACUGGAACUGCCGGAAGAUAUUAUCUUUCUACAAAUUCUGCCUAAGUUGAACAGCCUAGAUGUUCUUCCCCUGGUUUUGGUGGCUAGGAGUUGGGCCUCCUUUCUUUUGCAUGAGGGACCCAGACUGAUGUUAUUCAACCCACCUAAAAAUCCUACACCUAAACACACUUCAAUUUUAUUUGAUGUAAGCCCGAUUCCGUACUCUGUUUCAGUUUUGUUAUCCCCAGAGAGCCGCCAACUGUGUCAGUCUAGGUGUAUAAUUGUUCCAAUCUUGAAUUCUGGUAUAAAACAUGCUGUUCCAAUUUUCACUGACUACCCAGAUUUUUUAAAGCAGGGGGAAGUCCCAACUGUAGUGGGAUCUUCCAGUGGUAUUAUAUGCCUCUAUAUCACCAGUUCUCCCUCUAGAUACAUCCUGCUAAACCCCUUAACAAAACAUUAUAAAGAGGUUGGGGCCCCUUAUAUUUUUGUACCAGAUUGUGAGCAAGCUUCUGUAACUUCUGGAUUCUUUUAUGAUGAAUGGACUGAUGACUUAAAGAUCGUACAAUUGUUGAGAUGGGAUCAAAGGCUUACGAGCUUGGAUGCUCCGGGACCCAAAAAGAUACAUGCGCUUCGCGUUUGUUCUGUAAAUUCUGCAAAUUGGGAAGUUGUUGACUUGGGGCCAAUGAAAGUCUCCGAUCGUCUUGGUGGUGUGUUAUUUUUGCCGAAAGCUCUCGUCACAUUUGUAGAUGCGUUUGCUACAGAGCCGGAGAUUAACUUUUGGUUGGAUUUUCGUGAUUGCCGUCUAAAGGCAGUUCCGGAAUUAGAAGGGGCUGAACUCAGUAUGAAAUCGGUUUGGUGGAAUAACCAGGUUGGUGUUAUUGUUGGAACUGACAGCAUUUAUGUCCUUGAUGAGGAGUUUGCAGCCUGGUAUUACUGCACAGUGCUUCCGGACGUGGGAAAUUGUGUAUUCUGUUUAGAUGAGAACAAAAUUGUGGGGAUGGGGGCUGGGGAAAGCGGAAGCGUAAAUGAUUACAAUAUUCUUAAUUCCACAAGCGGCGAAAUCCAACAUAUAAUCUCGUUGCCUUCUUGCAGGGUUUUUCCGUAUGUUCCUACAUUCUACUAUAUCGAGGGAAUGGCUAAUUUUUAGACUUUUGCAAGUCACAAUGUAAUAAAAGAAUGUAAACAGUACAUAGCAGCAAUACCUCUCUAUAGCAUAUAGUUUCAGAUACAACAUGUAUUGUGAUGCCAGCUUGUAGAGUACAAGUAUUAUUCUAGGUGAUUGAUUGUUGAGAAUAAUAGAGGCAACCGGUUGCAUGAUGGUAUCCUUGAAACUUUCAUAAUUACUAAUAUCGAACUCAGAUAGCAUGCAAUUUUUCCGGAGAUCAUAUUCUUUAGCUAUCAACUAACUCUACAUUAUAUAUUAUGUCCCAGAUCAAUGAGUUUGUUUGCUAUAAUGUCCUAUUUUAUAUGUGAUUUAGGAAUAUGUUCCAUUAACUUGUUAUCACCCUCAAAUCUAAAAUCUAAGACUACCAUGUCCUUAGUUUAUUUUGUUUAAUAUUUGUGAAUAGACUCUAAUCUGAUCAUAUCAAUUAUAUUUUAGUAACAGAUGUUUAAAUGCAUAUGUUUUUGUUAUCUAGUUAUUUCAAUGAUGAUGGGAUUAAAUUUUUUUAUUCUUGUAAUAUGUACAAUGAUUGGUUUAGCUUUAAUAUUUAUUUUUAUUUUUAUUUACCAAUUUUAAUGUAGGUAAAGUUUUAUCAGCAAAUUUUAUUUUUUGUAUGCAGUAAUCUGUUCUAAUAUCAAAUUUUGAUUUAGAUCGAGUAUUAGUAUGUUGAAUUUGCAUUCAUCUAGUUAGAUGAGUGAAACUGGCUAAUUAAUGGAAAAUCAUAAGUACCUGAGUUGUUUUCAAAUUUUUUUCCCAAAUUUUAAUUGUUUGAUUGGUUUCUUCAAAUUAAUAUUAAUGGAAUCAUGAACGCACAUAAAUAAUUUAAUUAAAAAUUAUUUAUUUAUGUGUCAUUUAGAAAAAAUUGGGGACAAAAUUUGGGAUAGUAAUGGGGACGAAAUAUGUGUUAGCGUUAAUGGUUUAGCGGCAGUGGAGAACGCAAUUUAAGAGCAAAUCCAAUAGUGUCCUAAACUAGUAUCCUAAAUUAAAAAUUAAGGUAUUUAUAUAAAUGAGUGCUCCACCUAAUGAGUGCUCCACCAAUGUCCAGUGAUACCUUAAAAUACUAGGAAAUCCAUCAAGCGUCUCGUUUUUAAGACAUCACUAGGCAUGCCCUAUUUCACUUCUAUCAAUAAAAUAUAUCUUUCCCUCGUUUUUUACAGAUCUCUUCUCUCUCAUUUUUUCCAUUUAUGCCCAAUUAUAAUUCAAAUAUAAUACACCUUCAGUCCCUUUUUAGUUGUGAAAUUUACAAAAAUAAUUUGUCCUUAAAUAAUAUUCUCAUCCUUGUUCCAAUACAUAUUUAUACAUAUUUUUUCAUGUUUACCCCUUGAUUGUUGGUUCAAAUGUUUGACUGUACUACUAAUAUAUACAGUUUUGACUUAGUAUUUAAUAUAAUAAAUAAGGGCAUGCGUGGAAACAACUUACAACAUUUAAUUUUCUUUAAUAUAUGUAUUUUUGCAAAUGUGACAACUAAAAAGGAACAGAGAGAGUAUUAUUUUAAUCAUAAAACAUAUUGUUGGAGUUAAUAUAAAAAAAUCAUGUCUUAAAUCAUAAGAUUACUAUAUUUAAUUAUAUUUAUAAGGCAUCUAAUAGUACAAUAUUGGAUUUGCUCUGAUCACAGAUCAAUCAAAUGAUCGGCAACUUAAGCGAUCAAAUGAGAUGACUCGCAUAGUCCACGCUAAUCGAUAUCCUUAAGAGGAUGUUUGCCUGGGCUUAAAGCCCUUGCUUUAAGCCAUCUUUGGCUUUAAGCUGAAAAAUGUCUGUUUGUGUAAUAAGUCAGAAGCCAGCCUAAAGUCAGAAAUAAGCCAGAAGCUGACUUAAAGCCAGAAGUUAAUUUGAGGUACUUUUUUCAGUGGCUAAAUUUUUUUGAACUUUUUUUUUGAUAAAAAUUACUCCUAAAUCAUAAGUUUCUUAUAAAUCACUUUUAUUUUUAUUAUUAUAUUUUUAAUAACUCAUAAGUCAUUCAUAAGCCAAAAUUACCCAAACAGACAUUUUAAGCUAUCAGCUUAUCAGAUAAGACACGUUAAGUCACAAGUCACAUUAAGUCAUAAGCCAUAAGCUCAGCCAAACGGGCAAGUUUUCUAAGAGACAUUCCUGCUUAGUGCAUUUUUAAUAGGGUUGCCUAAAUCGUUGACGAAAUUGGACAUGUGAGACAUUAUAUAAAAUUUGUUAAACAUGUAAGUGAUUGUGUUUCAAUAAUGUUAACUACAUUGAUAGAUUAUAACUUAAAAAUAGUAUGUUAUUAAUAUUUAGAUUGUUAUAAAAAAAUAUAUGAGUUUAAUAUGAUAGGAAAUGAUGUGUAAAUUACCCCGAUUAUAUAUAUAUAUAAAUAAUAAUAUAUUUAUAUAUAUUAUACUAAAUAUAUUAUUAAAAAUAGAUAAAUUUUAUAAUAUAAUCAAAAGUAAAAAAUAAUCUUUAUUUUUAUUGAUUGAUUAUAAAUAUAUUGUAAUAUAAUAUAUUUUAUAAUUUUAAAUUGUUGUUUAUUUAUAUUAUAAAUCAAUUUUAAUAUGAUUUGAGGUUGAAAAUAUAAGAUAAUAUUAUUUUAUUAUUAUAUUAGGAGUUUGUAGUUUGUUUUUUAAUUAAAAAAAUAUAUUAUAUAUUAUAAAAUUAUUAUGUUUUUAUUAAAAAAUAAAAUUCCCCGAAACCCCGCGGGGAUCCCCGUUCCCCGUUCGGGGCGGGGAUCGGGGCGGAAAAUAAUCCCCGUUCGAGGUUCGGGGCGGGGUCGGGUAGGGCCGUAGGGGUAUUGAAUUCGGGGAUCGGGGUCGGGGAUAGCACUCCCCGCCCUCGAAGUCUCCCCGUGCCCAUCCCUAGUCGAACCUCUAGAGGUCCGUAAAAAAUCUCCAAGAAGAUUACACUAUGUAAUCUUCUUGGAGAUUUUUUACGGACCUCUAGAGGUUCGACAAAUAUAGUGGCCGGUAGGAUGUUGGUUAAAAUUAUAGAUAAGUGGUGUCUAUGGUUGAGUGUGAUUUUUUUGAAUAGAAUGGCUAUAUAUUUUAUUUUUGGGAUGCCAACUCAAUUUUUAAACUAAGGACUUCUCAUAUUUGGAGAUGCUAUAUGAUGGCAAAUCCCGCAAAUCUUCAAUUUUGACAUAUAUUAUCCUAAAUUCUCUUUCAACAAUGAUUGAUUCAAAUUUGGAUCAAGAUUGUUGGAUCCCGCUGACGUGGCAGUGACGUCAUGUUGACGUGGCGCCCUGGGGUGGACCCCGGUGCUGACGUGGCAGAUGACGCGGCGGUGACAUGGCGCCUGGUUGGGGUCCCAUUACUAACGUGGCAUUUGGGUAGAAAGUAUAAAUUACGGAAAAUUGAUGACAAACUGAGAGGUGCAUAUUAUAAGUUUUAAAAAGUAUGAGGAGAUAUUUGAUCAGUUUAAAACUAGUUUUUAGGUUUUUAGGCUAACCGUGGUUUGUAUAUUCGAGCAUCCCCGUGUAUAUUGACAUAUAGGUAAACUCCUUGCAAUACUUUGAGCUGCAAAAUCCAUCAAAAUUUUGAUUUAUCAUGUAACUGUUUGACAGAGUACUUCCAACUUUCAAGCGUAAGUAUCAAAAUCACUACCUUCAUAUGUUCCAUUAAGCGUGAAAGGUACAGAAUAAGAAGUGAAAGAAAUCCUUUAUAUUUACACGGCCAUUGAUCUUAUAGGAUCACCUAGCCCAUCAGUGCUAGGGAAUACGGAACCAUCUUAUCAAUUAACGAAGAAAUGUAUGCAUGCAGUGUCACCACCACAAGUCAGAAAUGGUGAUGAUGCUAAUGAUAAUGAACUCAAUUGGGAGUGAUCCUAAUGGGAUAUGGAUGUGGAUUGGUAUGCGGAUUCUUUGGGGUUUAUUGUUCUUACAAUGGGAAAGCCUUGGUGGUUUAUGAGAUACAUUGAAGUAAGUUGAUAAUGACAUGCACGGCUUAAUUAAGAUUAAUUAAGACAAACACCUUGACAAAAUGUUGUCUUAGAAUGAUAUGUAUUCUGAUUUUUCCUAAUUUAAAAUCAAAUUUAUUACAAUUAAAGUUAAAAUCUGCGUAGCACAUACUAUACUUUGAUUAAAUUUUUAUUGAAGUUGUCCAUAUUAACCUAGUGGCCGAAAGUGAAUAAAUUAAAUUAGUGGGGUCUAAUAUAAAAAUUGCAUUAAUUAAAAUUUGUAAUGUAUAGAUUAUGCUAAAGCUAUUCAUUAUAAAGAACAUAGGAAUGUUAAUCUCUUUAUAUGUUUGCAUGCGGAUAGUCUCUCGGGAGUGUGGUAUAUUGUCAUGGCUGGAAAAACGGCUAAUUUCUACGGUUUUUUUUUGACAGAAAUUAAUUUUGACGGAAUACUGUCGAAAUAUCGAAAGUCGAAAAUAAGCCGCAAAAUUACUUUUUUCAAUUUUCAAUUGAAAACUGUCAAAAAAGUCUCUGGCAAAAUUAUAUUUAUUUCUACAGAUAAUGUCGAAAAUAUUUUCCUGCAAAUUUCCCGCACCUUAGUUGUGAGCGGAAAUAGAUAGUUUGGACAGAAUUCCGUCGAAAUUACGCGAGUUCUUUGUAGUGUGUUUUCACACAUACGCUGAUAAUCUUUGGGGACUGGGGUAUAUUGUUUUCGCAAAGCACUGGUAGUUUGUGAGCUUGUCCAAUUUUUCCCCCCAUGCCUAUACUGGUUGGUCUCAGUCUUAGUGGUAAUAAGCUGGCGUCAAAUUUUCCAGAAUUCAUAUAUAAUUGCUAUAACAUGAUCCGAUGCCUGAAUCAGCAGCUAACAAUUUACGUAAUCUUGAAGAACUAUAUCUUGGUGCCAAUUCUUUCGAGGGCUCAUUUCCAACGAAUAUAUUCAAGCUUUCCAAAUUAAGGGUUCUUGACCUAUCUGUGAAUAAUUUUUCAGGUUCCAUUCCCAAUGGUAUAGAGAUGCUUCCCGAUCUUGGAAUAAAUCGUAUUUAUAAUAAUUCAUUUGAAGGAAUUAUUCCUUCUUCAAUUAGUCUACUUAAAGAUCUUCAACACCUAGACUUCGGUGACGACAACCUUGUGGUUUCAAGUAUAAUGUCUUACGGGUCCAAUCUAACCGAUCAUUACAGGCAACCCCAUUGGAGAUGCUCUUAAUAACAUUUUAACUAGAGAGUAUUUUCUAUCAAUUGCAUUUGUAUUAAAUUUGAUUUAGAUGAAGAGAAACAGAAUACAUAUGAUCCCGAGACAACAUUUUGUCAAUGUUUUCGUCUUGAUUGAACAGUCUUCUUCAUGCGUGUCCUUGUCAACUUCAGUUGCAGUAAUUCAAUGUAUCUCAGGAACCACCUUGGCUUUCCCAUUUUGAUAACAAGUAUCCUGAAGAUAAUCCGCAUAUCAAUCCACAUCCGCGCGUAUCCCAGUUGAUUUAUUAAUUUAUUCAUGAAGUGUUGCGAACGACAUUCCUGCAAAAGUAAAAGUCAGUGGAAUUUGUAUGAUAGCAUGAUGAAUAUUUAAAGUUUCAGUUAAAAUUUCACCAAGUAUUUUAUUUCUGGCUUAAGUCCCGGAUUGACGAAUUCUGCUGAUCACAUUUCUAAUCGACCAAUUCUGGUCGAAUAAAUUAAAUGGCACACUUCCUGAGUUGGUGGUAGGGGCGUUCUUCUUGUGUUUCUUUCUUUUCAUUAUUGACAUUGUUAUCCAGGCCCUUGCUUCUGGGCUUUUGUAAAGCACCCAUUUACGCCAUUGUCAUGAUCAUAGCUAGUCUUCCAUAUCCAAGAUACGCGCAUUAUAGUGGAUUUAUCUUUAUUAGUGAUUUCUGUGGAAAUGCAUAAUCUUAAUUAUAAGCUCCAAUAUUAUAAAAUAAACCUAACUUAUUAGAGUUAACAGGGCAUUUGUGUUGAUAAUUUGCGCAAUGUUAAUGGGGAUCGCUCCCAAGUCUUGGACGGACUCUUUCCAAGUCUUCUGAGGACCCAUCUGCACACUAAUUUGUCCGCCAACUAAAAAUUUAUAUAUAUUUUUCCAUAGAAUAUAAAUAGUUGGGGGUACUAACAGAACCUCUAGUAAAAUUAAUUAAUACCGUUAUGAUUUCGCAAACACAGCAGACAGCAGGCAUAAGGCUUAUAAAUAGAAGUGUCGUAUUUGGUUGAUGGUCAAGUUGAGUGGAAAUAUGGCACACUUUGUAAAGCCUUGUUAUCCUCUUCUCUUUGUUUUCUUUCUCUCAUUACUUCAAUCCAUUCUAACAACACAAGAGGGAGAAGCUCUUGUGAAAUGGAAGAAUAGCCUAGCCCCUUCUUCUUUUCUCGACUCUUGGUCACUCACCAAUCUCGAUAAUCUUUGCAACUGGACUGGCAUUACUUGUAACUCUGCAGGUUCAGUCUCUGAGAUUAACCUUAGUGAGAAACAACUUGAUGGAAUGCUGUCCGAGUUUGGUUUCACUUCAUUUCCAAAUCUCAACAAUCUCACCCUCGCAAUUAACUACUUCUCGGGUCCAAUACCACCAGCCAUUGAGAAUUUAACACAGCUUCAAUAUCUUGAGUUGAGCAAUAAUUAUCUAGAUGGUCCCAUUCCUUUCCAGGUUAGCAAUCUUCAGAGGUUGCUCAUCUUAAACCUGUCAGAGAAUGAACUGCAAGCUCCAAAUUGGUCCAAUUUUUCCCCCAUGCCUUUUUUGACCAUCCUCGACCUUUAUAAAAAUAAUCUUUUGUCAGAAUUUCCCGAAUUUAUAUCUAACUCGUGUAACCUUACGUACCUUGACCUCUCAUCCAACAAGUUUAGAGGGGAUCUUGCGCGAGAAUCAGUAUUAACCAAUCUAGGUGAUCUUGAAACCCUCUAUCUUAUUAGAAAUUCUUUCAAGGGGUCAUUUCCGUCAGAUUUAUUCAAGCUUUCUAAAUUAAAACGUCUUCACCUGUCGAGCAACAAAUUUUCAGGUUCAAUUCCUAAUGCCAUAAGGUUGCUUUGUGAUCUUGAAUUCCUAUAUUUAGGCAACAAUUCCUUUGAAGGACUGCUUCCACCAAAUAUAUUUAAGCUUUCAAAAUUAAAACAUCUUGUUCUUCGGAGUAAUAAGUUUUCAGGAUCUGUUUCCAAUGAUAUAAAUUUGCUUCCUGAACUUGAAUAUCUCGAUCUUAAUUCUAAUUUUUUUGACGGGCCGCUUCCUCCAGAUGUAUUCAAGCUCUCCAAACUAAGGUUUCUUUACCUCUCGGGUAAUACCUUUUCACGUUCUGUUUCCAAUGAUAUAGGUUUGCUUUCUGAGCUUGAAACCCUCGAUCUUAACUCUAAUUUUUUGAGGGUCCGCUUCCGUCAAAUAUAUUCAAGCUCAAAUUAAAAAUUCUAGACCUCUCAAACAAUAGAAAUUUAUUUCAAAGAAGUUUUCCUAUUGGACUGGAACUCUUGAGUAACCUCAGCUACUUAGGUCUAAGUUCCAGUAAUCUCAGUGGCAAUAUUCCAUCUUACAUUGGAAACCUGAAGCUACUAAUAUCUCUUGAUCUCAGUUCUAAUCAAUUGACUGGACCGCUUUCAAAGCUCGUUUCUAAUGUCACAAAUCUUAUAUUUCUUGAUUUAAGAGAUAAUAGUCUUAGUGGAAAUAUUCAGACUGACUUGUGGAAAUAUAACGAUCAUCCAACUCUGGAAUACAUCAAUUUGAGUGGGAACUAUUUUACGGGUAUAGUUUUUCUCUAUAGAUCUUUUCUUUUGUCAUAUGUAACUAAGCUAGUAAUCUGAUUAAUUGCAGUUUUACCAAAGUUUCAACAAUCUUGACAGGUGAGCUUCCAACAACAAUUUGCAAUGUCACUUCCCUUUCGGUUCUUGAUUUGUCAAAUAAUAACUUAAGUGGUGCACUUCCAAAAUGUUACGGGAAUCUUGCUGAUGGAUUGCUUUACAUUAAUCUUGCGAAUAAUCACUUUCGAGGAACAAUACCCACUACUUUCUCCAGGAGUUGUCAGCUGAUAUAUCUGAACAUGGAUGAUAAUGAGUUUGAAGGAUUGAUGCCCCCAUCUUUGGCGAACUGUAAGCACUUGAAAAUUUUUGAUAUUGGCAAUAAUAAAAUAGGUGGUACAUUUCCGUCAUGGCUUUAUGCACUUGGAGAGCUAGAAGUCCUUGUCUUGCGAUCAAAUAAACUCUAUGGUACAAUAAGUGGAAGGAGCAUAGAAGAUCCCUUCCCCAAGUUGCGGAUUGUGGAUCUGUCCAACAAUCAAUUCACAGGCCAUUUGCCAAUUCAAUACUUUAAGAAUAUGAAAUCAACUGAUAAUUUGUAUCGUUAUCAGAAUGACACAGGAGUUUUUUCUUUCCAUUAUGAAGCAUCUGUCUCAUUAACUGUGAAGGGAACAGAGUAUGAAGUGAAAAAUAUCCUUCAUAUUUACACAACCAUUGAUCUGUCCUGCAACAAGUUUCAAGGAGAAAUUCCUGACGUUAUUGGAGAGCUUAGAUGGCUUGCAUUGCUGAACUUAUCUCAUAAUAGUCUAACAGGACAUAUCCCAUCAUUGCUGAGAAAUAUGAAAGGACUCCAAUCUUUAGAUUUGUCUUCAAAUCAACUGAAAGGGGCUAUUCCACUUCAGUUAACUGCAUUGACAUUUCUAGAGGUCUUGAACCUCUCGGGAAACCAUCUUAGUGGAGAGAUUCCUCAGAAAGGGCAGUUCAGCACAUUUAACAUUGAUUCUUAUCUAGGAAACUCCGCGUUAUGUGGUUCACCUUUGAUGAAGAAAUGUGCAAACACAGCAUCACCUCCACAAGAAGCCGGAAAUGGUGAUGAAGAUGAAGCUGGUGAUGAAUUGACAUGGGAAGCAAUCGUGAUGGGAUAUGGAUGUGGACUGAUAUGUGGAUUGUCAUCUGCAUACAUUGUUCUCAAACUAGGAAAGCCUUGGUGGUUUGUGAGAUAUAUCGAAGUACUGCAACAGAAGUUGAUGAAAAGAUAUGCAUGAAGAAAGGUACUGGUAGAUCAAGAUGAACUUGAAAGUUGUUGUCGUGGUAGACAUUUGUGAACCAGUAGUGUACUAGCUGCAUAAGUAUUUGGUAUUAUGUAAUAAUCCGUUUGGUCGGGACUCAAAAUGAUUUCUCUUGCUUCAGGGGUAUUAAUAUUAACCUUGCUAUCUUGAUCAAUGUUAGGGCAAAUUAAAAAGAAUAUAAAAGCAAAAAAUUUGCAUCAAACACCUGUUGUACCAACAUGCAUCCAUUAAUUUGCUUUCAUCUAUUAAGUAACAAUUUAAGAGCGCUUCCACUCUGUUUAAGCAUGGAGAUAACACAAAGAAGGCAAGUCCAUGGACUAAUAUAUUAACACGUAGUCCACAUCUAUGGUAUGAACAAUUCAUAUUGCUCUUCUAUCUGUUCAACAGUCUCCCGAAGAUAGGCCAAAAAUGUCAUCUGUGGUUCUUAUGUUUGUCAGUGAAGGAGAAUCUCUGAUGCCUACACAACCUGGUGUUUUUACAGAAAGGAAUGUAGGUGAAACCAGGGGCGUAAAAUGAAUCAGGACUAAAAUCUGCUAAAAUGAUAAUUAUUUACUCAUCAUUCAAGAUUAGUCGGGCUCAAAGAUUUAUAUGGAUUUUAAGAACAAACUAUGACUAAAUAUGAAAAAAUCAUUAAUUUUUCCGACUCAAUAUUUUUUAGCCUCCCCCGGCCCUGGGUGAAACCAUAAGCUUCUCUGGUGCACAUCCAAAUCAUUCAGUUGGUUCUACUUUCAGCUCACCCACAGGAACAUCAUUCUGCAGGUACUCUUUUAUCUGUACUUUCUUAUAUUGUAUGCCAGUAAAUUUUAUAUCGACAAACUGCACAAUACACCUCGAUCUCAUAUUAUUGACAGGUGAGCUCCUCUCAUAAUGCUCACAGGCGAACCCCUGCAUAUAUACUUUGUGAUGUCAUUGAUGAUCGAUAGACUUGAAAAAAAAUUAUGACAAAGAUUCAUAAAAUAUCUACUUCCAUCCUAAUUCAGUAUUCAAUAUUAUUCAUUCGUAUCAUCAUCCAAUCAAUUCUAAUAGUUCUUCUUUAAAUCAGUACAAAUAUUGUUAAAUACCUGGAUGAUGGUUGUCUUUCCGCGAACCAAUCAUGAAAUUACCUCUGUAUAAAUCCAUCGGAAAUAAGACAGUUAAUAUCCCAAUCGAAUACACCCCGUCAGUUGUCAAACUCCUCGAAACGUAUUAAUCACUUUAGAAAAUUUGUUCCACUGGCGCUAGUCAGUCCCAGAGUUGGUGGUGGGUGCUUCUGGGCUUUCGAAAAGCACCCAUUUACUCCAUUGUUUAGAGAAGUAAAACCCCACCUUCCGCUCAUUUGAUUGAUCAGCUGAAUUAGGCAGAGUUUACAUGGUCAUGAUCAUAGUCUCCCAUNUUAAUAGUCUGACAGGACCUAUCCCAACAUUGCUGAGAAAUAUGAAAUAACUCCAUUACUCCAAUCUUAGAUUUGUCCUCAAAUCAACUGACAGGGGCUAUUCCACCUCUGUUAACUGCAUUGACAUUACUUUUCUCUUUAUAUUCUUUCCUUUUGUAUGUACCUAUGCUAAUUAUCUGAUUAUUAAAAUUAUAACAAAGCUUCAAGAUUUUUAACAGGUGAGCUUCCACUAAAAAUUUGCAAAGUCACUUCCCUUUCGCGUCUCAUUAUGUUAGAUAAUGGGUCAAGUGGUGCACUUCCACAGUGUUUGGGGAACCUUUCUUUGCUUGGUUUCAAUAAUCUUGCUAAUUAUCAAUUUCAAGGACCAAUACCAACGACUGUCCAAGACUUGUCUGUGCAUAUCUAAACAUCCAUAACAAUCACUUUGAAGGUUUGUUGCUCCAAUCUUUGGCAAACUGUAAACACUUACAAAUUCUUGAUAUUGGAAACAACGUUGGAGAGCUAGAUGUCCCAGUUAGGGCGGUAAUUCGACUAGAGCAAACCGAGUUUUGAGCGGAGCCAAAUUCGAGCCAAGUUUAAUCGAGUCGAGCCGAGUCGGCUCGUUUAGCUAAUCGAGCCUAAAACUUAGCCCGAACUCGACUCAUUUAAUUUCACGAGUCGAGUCGAGCCAACUCGUUUAGCUAAAUGAGCUGAUUUUAACAAGUCGAGCGAGCGAGCUCGUAUAAUUUUAACUUAGUCGAGCCUGAAUCUCUACCCAAACUAUUGGCUCGUGUAAUUUCGCGAGUCGAAUCGAGCCGGCUCGUUUUAUUAAACAAGCCGAAAUUUUUGCCCGAAUUUGCUCGUUUAACAAGCCGAUCUGAGCCUAGUUAAAUGAGUUCGAGUUAGUCGAGCUCGCGAGCUGCGAGCUCACCUGCCAGCUCUAGUCCUAGUCUUGCAAUCAAAUAGGUUUAACGGUAUAGAAAGUGGAAGGAGCACAAGGCAUCCAUUCCCCAAGGCUAUUUACCAAUUCAGUACUUUGAGGAUACAAAAUCAUUCUGCAGGUACUCUUGUAUCUGUACUUUCUUGUACUGUAUGCCACUUUGACAGUAGAGUAAAAUUUAUAUCGACAAACUGCAUAUGUUCUGAACUACUCCUCUAUCCCAAAUUAGAUGAGCUAGUUGACUUUGAGCACGUAACUUAAGGUACAUUGACCAACUAGUUCCGAUAUUUAUUUUUUUAAUUUUUCUUUUGUAAAUGAAAAUUUCAUAUUUAAAUUUUUAUUUGCAAAACUAAAAUUUAAAAAUAUGUAAUGUGGCUAUGCGGUCAAUGUCAACGAGCUCAUCUAAUUUGGGAUUGGGAUGCAGGGAGUAUUACGUACUAUGUUAUGCAAGCUGUUUACAACUUUCAUCAAAAUUUUCAAACAUUUCUGAAUAUGUAUUUUCAAAGAAUUCUCGGGCACUCUUAAGGCCUAUAAUUAUUGGAACUCUCACGUUAUGGACCAGAGGACCACUAUGUAUUUUACAAGCACGACGAAUCAUGUGGUCAUUAUGGACUCCCCAAGCCUUAGAGGACUCAUUCCAGGUUUUAGGAGGACCACUGCCUAGCUCACCCUUUCGGAGUGAUGUAAAUUAGUUUCCAGACACUAAAAAUAAGUAAUCAGAUUAAUCAUUACAAAAUUUUGAUAUAAAAUCAGAAUAAAUCCUAAACUUUGAUGAUACAAAAAAAAUUAUAAUUGUAAAUUAUACAAUCAAAUUAAGAUCGAAUUAACUUCCCUCACACUUAAAAUUUAUAGCGAUCAAAUCAAAAUCGAAUUAACUUUCCUAUUACUAAAAUUUAAUUACAAUAUUAUUAGAUAAAGAGAAUAUAUAAUAAUCAAGAGAAAAUAGAUUUUUUUUUGCCACUCAACUUAUUGUGUUUUAAGAAACUUACCACCCAACUAAAUUUUUUUCCUUUUGCUCACUAAUGUUAGGUUUGGAUUUGUUUUUAGCCACCAAAUAAGGUUCGGAUUUGAUUACCAGCAUUAUGAUAAUUUUUUUUGUCACUAAACUUAUUGCGUCUUUAGAAACUAACCACUGAACUAAAUUUUUUUUAUUUUACUCACUAAUGUUAGAUUUAGUUUUUUUUGUCACUAUAGUUAGGUUCAGAUUUGAUUAUUAGCAUUACAUUAAUUCUGUGUAGCAUUUUUAAAAUAUGGUAGUAGUCUGUGAUAUUUAGAUGAUUUGAUAUAUGUCUGUAUUUUUAUAUAUAGUAUAUUUUAUGUCCCCAAGGUCGUUUACCUUGGGUCAUAAAAAUUUUACACUCAUUUUAUGACUUUUAAAAGAUGUAGUUUCAUAAAUAAUUUUAUUUUUUUCUUUCGAAUUAAAAUUCAGCAUUUGAAUUUUACACACAAAAAAAUCGCAAGAAUAAGAUAUGAAACUAUGCUUUACAAGAGUCUUAAAAUACGUGCUAAACGGUAGAAAAAACUGUAAACUAAUGAGAGGUACAUAGGGAGUAAUAAUAACAUAAAAUGAUGCACAAUCAUCGAAUUAAGUUUUCCUCUCUCUAUAUAUUUAUUUUGUAAAUUUUAAUAAGAUAAAGUUAUUAAAAUUUAUGAUAUAAAUUUAAGAGAUAUCUUAGAUUGAGUGGCAAAAAUUUAGUUGGGUGGUAAGUUUCUAAAAACACAAUAAAUUGAGUGGGAACAAAAUCUAUUUUCCCAAUAAUGAGUGGGAAUAAAAUCUAUUUUCCCAAUAAUCAAAGUGACGAAAAAUCAAAGUCAUCUAAUAAGUCCAGAAAAAAUAUGACCAUUAGUAUAUUGAAAUAAUAUUCACGCAUUUAUAUACGAGAAUAUAUGGUCCACAAGUUAGUGCACAAUGUCCAAGAAUCUUUAUCAAAUAACACGGCAAGCAUGCAGCAUAUAAAUAAGAGUGGGCAGUAUGGUAUUGCAUUCAUAACCCACUUGAGCAGAAAUAUGGCACACUUCCUAAAGCCUUCUCACCUUCUUCUCUUUGUUUUCUUUCUCUCGUUACUUCAAUCCAUUCUACCAACAAGACCAGAGGGAGAAGCUCUUGUGAAAUGGAAGAAUAGCCUAGCCCCGUCUUCUUUUCUCGAUUCUUGGUCACUAACCAAUCUCGAUAAUCUUUGUAACUGGACUGGCAUUACUUGUAACUCUGCAGGUUCAGUCUCUGGGAUUAACCUUUAUGAGAAACAACUUGAUGGAAUGCUGUCCGAGUUUGGCUUCACUUCAUUUCCGAAUCUCAACAAUCUCACCCUCGCAUACAACUUCUUCUCGGGUCCAAUACCACCAGCCAUUGAGAAUUUAACACAGCUUCAAUAUCUUGAUUUAAGCAUCAAUAGUCUCGAUGGUCCCAUUCCUUUCCAGGUUAGCCAUCUUCAGAGGUUGCUCGUCCUAAACCUGUCACAGAAUGCAUUGCAAGCUCCAAAUUGGUCCCAUUUCUCUUCCAUGCCUUUUUUGCGCAUCCUCAAGCUCAGUAGGAAUCAUCUUGUAUCGAAAUUUCCAGAAUUUAUAUCCAAUUCUCAUAGCUUGGCUAUCCUUGACCUUGGCCAGAACAACUUUACAGGUGAUCUUGUGCGUGAAUUUACCAAUCUACAAAAUCUUGAAACCCUCUGGCUUUAUCGUAAUUCUUUUGAGGGGCCAUUUCCGCCGGAUAUAGUCCAGCUUUCCAAACUAAAAGAUCUUGCCCUGUCAAGUAACAAAUUUUCAGGUUCAGUUCCCAAUAACAUAAGGUUGCUUUGUGAUCUUGAAUACCUAUAUUUAGGCAACAAUUCCUUUAAGGGGCCACUUCCACCAAAUAUAUUUAAGCUUUCAAAAUUAAAACAUCUUGUUCUUUGGAGUAAUAAGUUUUCAGGUUCUGUUUCCAAUGAUAUAGGUUUGCUUCAUGAGCUUGUAACCCUCAAUCUUAACUCUAAUUUUUUUGAGGGGCCGCUUCCGCCAAAUGUAUUCAAGCUCUCCAAACUAAAGUUUUUUGCCCUUCAUGAGAAUAACUUUUCAGGUUUUAUUUCUAAGGAUAUAGGUUUGCUUUCCGAACUUGAAAUCCUCUAUUUUGGCUCUAAUUUUUUUGAGGGGCCGCUUCCUCCACAUGUAUUUAGGCUCUCCAAAUUAAGAGGUCUGGACCUCUCACACAAUAGAAAUUUAUUUGAAGGAAGUAUUCCUAUUGGACUGGGACUCUUGACUAACCUCAGGUACUUAGAUCUACAUUCCAAUAAUCUCGGUGGCUAUAUUCCAUCUGACAUUGGAAACCUGAAGCUACUAGUACUUCUUGAUCUCGGUUCUAAUCAAUUGACUGGACCGCUUUCAAAGAUCGUUUCUAAUCUCACAAAUCUUAUAUGUCUUGAUGUAAGUCAUAAUAGUCUUAGUGGAAAUAUUCAGAGUGACUUGUGGAAAUAUAACGAUCAUCCAACUUUGGAAUACAUCAAUUUAAGUGGGAACCAUUUUACGGGUAUAGUUUUUCUCUAUAGAUCUUUUCCUUUUCUCAUAUGUAACUAAGCUAGUAAUCUGAUUAUUGCAGUUUCACCAAAGUUUCAACAAUCUUGACAGGUGAGCUUCCAACAACAAUUUGCAAUGUCACUUCCCUUUCGGUUCUUGAUUUGUCAAAUAAUGAAUUAAGUGGUGCACUUCCAAACUCUUUGGGGAAUCUUGCUGAUGGAAUGCUUUACCUUAAUCUUGCUAAUAAUCAGUUUCGAGGAACAAUACCAACUACUUUCUCCAGGAGUUGUCGGUUGACAUAUCUAAACAUGGAUAAUAAUGAGUUUGAAGGAUUGUUGCCCCCAUCUUUGGCGAACUGUAAGCACUUGAAAAUUCUUGAUAUAGGCAAUAAUAAAAUAGGUGGUACAUUUCCGUCAUGGCUUUAUGCACUUGGAGAGCUAGAAGUUCUUGUCUUGCGAUCAAAUAAACUCUAUGGUACAAUAAGUGGAAGGAGCAUAGAAGAUCCCUUCCCCAAGUUGCGGAUUGUGGAUCUGUCCCACAAUCAAUUGACAGGCUAUUUGCCAAUUCAAUACUUUAAGAAUAUGAAAUCAACUGAUAAUUUGUAUCGUUAUCAGAAUGACACAGGAGUUUUUUCUUUCCAUUAUGAAGCAUCUGUCUCAUUAACUGUGAAGGGAACAGAGUAUGAAGUGAAAAAUAUCCUUCAUAUUUACACAACCAUUGAUCUGUCCUGCAACAAGUUUCAAGGAGAAAUUCCUGACGUUAUUGGAGAGCUUAGAUGGCUUGCAUUGCUGAACUUAUCUCAUAAUAGUCUAACAGGACAUAUCCCAUCAUUGCUGAGAAAUAUGAAAGGACUCCAAUCUUUAGAUUUGUCUUCAAAUCAACUGAAAGGGGCUAUUCCACUUCAGUUAACUGCAUUGACAUUUCUAGAGGUCUUGAACCUCUCGGGAAACCAUCUUAGUGGAGAGAUUCCUCAGAAAGGGCAGUUCAGCACAUUUAACAUUGAUUCUUAUCUAGGAAACUCCGCGUUAUGUGGUUCACCUUUGAUGAAGAAAUGUGCAAACACAGCAUCACCUCCACAAGAAGCCGGAAAUGGUGAUGAAGAUGAAGCUGGUGAUGAAUUGACAUGGGAAGCAAUCGUGAUGGGAUAUGGAUGUGGACUGAUAUGUGGAUUGUCAUCUGCAUACAUUGUUCUCAAACUAGGAAAGCCUUGGUGGUUUGUGAGAUAUAUCGAAGUACUGCAACAGAAGUUGAUGAAAAGAUAUGCAUGAAGAAAGGUACUGGUAGAUCAAGAUGAACUUGAAAGUUGUUGUCGUGGUAGACAUUUGUGAACCAGUAGUGUACUAGCUGCAUAAGUAUUUGGUAUUAUGUAAUAAUCCGUUUGGUCGGGACUCAAAAUGAUUUCUCUUGCUUCAGGGGUAUUAAUAUUAACCUUGCUAUCUUGAUCAAUGUUAGGGCAAAUUAAAAAGAAUAUAAAAGCAAAAAAUUUGCAUCAAACACCUGUUGUACCAACAUGCAUCCAUUAAUUUGCUUUCAUCUAUUAAGUAACAAUUUAAGAGCGCUUCCACUCUGUUUAAGCAUGGAGAUAACACAAAGAAGGCAAGUCCAUGGACUAAUAUAUUAACACGUAGUCCACAUCUAUGGUAUGAACAAUUCAUAUUGCUCUUCUAUCUGUUCAACAGUCUCCCGAAGAUAGGCCAAAAAUGUCAUCUGUGGUUCUUAUGUUUGUCAGUGAAGGAGAAUCUCUGAUGCCUACACAACCUGGUGUUUUUACAGAAAGGAAUGUAGGUGAAACCAGGGGCGUAAAAUGAAUCAGGACUAAAAUCUGCUAAAAUGAUAAUUAUUUACUCAUCAUUCAAGAUUAGUCGGGCUCAAAGAUUUAUAUGGAUUUUAAGAACAAACUAUGACUAAAUAUGAAAAAAUCAUUAAUUUUUCCGACUCAAUAUUUUUUAGCCUCCCCCGGCCCUGGGUGAAACCAUAAGCUUCUCUGGUGCACAUCCAAAUCAUUCAGUUGGUUCUACUUUCAGCUCACCCACAGGAACAUCAUUCUGCAGGUACUCUUUUAUCUGUACUUUCUUAUAUUGUAUGCCAGUAAAUUUUAUAUCGACAAACUGCACAAUACACCUCGAUCUCAUAUUAUUGACAGGUGAGCUCCUCUCAUAAUGCUCACAGGCGAACCCCUGCAUAUAUACUUUGUGAUGUCAUUGAUGAUCGAUAGACUUGAAAAAAAAUUAUGACAAAGAUUCAUAAAAUAUCUACUUCCAUCCUAAUUCAGUAUUCAAUAUUAUUCAUUCGUAUCAUCAUCCAAUCAAUUCUAAUAGUUCUUCUUUAAAUCAGUACAAAUAUUGUUAAAUACCUGGAUGAUGGUUGUCUUUCCGCGAACCAAUCAUGAAAUUACCUCUGUAUAAAUCCAUCGGAAAUAAGACAGUUAAUAUCCCAAUCGAAUACACCCCGUCAGUUGUCAAACUCCUCGAAACGUAUUAAUCACUUUAGAAAAUUUGUUCCACUGGCGCUAGUCAGUCCCAGAGUUGGUGGUGGGUGCUUCUGGGCUUUCGAAAAGCACCCAUUUACUCCAUUGUUUAGAGAAGUAAAACCCCACCUUCCGCUCAUUUGAUUGAUCAGCUGAAUUAGGCAGAGUUUACAUGGUCAUGAUCAUAGUCUCCCAUAUAUCCCUGAUACGCACAUUAUAGUGGAUUUAUCUUUAUCAGUGAUUUCUGUGGAGAUGCAUAAUCAUUAUAAGCUCCAAUAUAAAAUUUUAAAGUUAGUAUGGGAAUUUGUGUUGAUAAUUUGCGCAAUGUUAACAGGAUUGCUCCCAAGUCUUGGACGGACUCUUUCAAAGUCUUCUCAGGACCCAUCUGCACACUAAUUUGUCUGCCAACUAAAAAAUCAACAAUAUGUUACUCCCUCCGUUUUUCUUAAACUGAGGUUAAAAUUUUUGACACAAGAUGGGUUGACAGUAUAAAAUUAAAAUAUUUGUGAAUAAAAAUUUUGGUUAUAUUUUUUAUUUAAAAAGAAAAUCUUGAAAAUAAUAUUAUUAACUACCAGUCAGAUCACUUAAGUGUAUGUCCAAAAUUAAAGCGGCAUAUAAAAAAAAGGGAGGAAGCAUGUACUAACUGUUUCCAUAACAGUUUACAAGUAUAAGCUAUACCCCCUCUCUAUUUUUUUCUAUGACAGCUUUGAUUUUGGGCACACAUUCUUAAGUGUUUUGACCGGAUAGUUAAAAAUUUAUCUUCUAAAAUUUUUAAAAAAAGUAAAAUCGCAAAAAAAAUUAGAAAGCUGGUAUUUUUGAUAAAUUUCCAAAUAUGUAAUCAAGAAAAAUAACUUUUACUAUCCAAUCAACUCAUUUAAAGAUGUGUGUCAAAAAUCAAAAUAUCAUACAAAAAAUAGGUAUACAUUUUUUUAAUAGAUUAUACUCCCUCUGUUCCAAAAUAAGUGUCAGCUGGGGGUAAUAACAAGACCUUAGUCAACCCAAGCACAGCAGACAGCAGGCAUAAGGCAUCAGGAAUUUCACAGGACCAUUAUCUUUCUCUUAUUAACUGUGAAGGGAACAGCGUAUGAAGUAGCAAGAACCUUCAUAUUUACACAGCCAUUGAUCUGUCGUGCAACAAAUUUCAGGGAGAAAUUCCAAAGGUUACCGGAGAGCUUAGAUGGCUUGCAUUGCUCAAUUUAUCGCAUAAUUAAUAGUCUGACAGGACCUAUCCCAACAUUGCUGAGAAAUAUGAAAUAACUCCAUUACUCCAAUCUUAGAUUUGUCCUCAAAUCAACUGACAGGGGCUAUUCCACCUCUGUUAACUGCAUUGACAUUACUUUUCUCUUUAUAUUCUUUCCUUUUGUAUGUACCUAUGCUAAUUAUCUGAUUAUUAAAAUUAUAACAAAGCUUCAAGAUUUUUAACAGGUGAGCUUCCACUAAAAAUUUGCAAAGUCACUUCCCUUUCGCGUCUCAUUAUGUUAGAUAAUGGGUCAAGUGGUGCACUUCCACAGUGUUUGGGGAACCUUUCUUUGCUUGGUUUCAAUAAUCUUGCUAAUUAUCAAUUUCAAGGACCAAUACCAACGACUGUCCAAGACUUGUCUGUGCAUAUCUAAACAUCCAUAACAAUCACUUUGAAGGUUUGUUGCUCCAAUCUUUGGCAAACUGUAAACACUUACAAAUUCUUGAUAUUGGAAACAACGUUGGAGAGCUAGAUGUCCCAGUUAGGGCGGUAAUUCGACUAGAGCAAACCGAGUUUUGAGCGGAGCCAAAUUCGAGCCAAGUUUAAUCGAGUCGAGCCGAGUCGGCUCGUUUAGCUAAUCGAGCCUAAAACUUAGCCCGAACUCGACUCAUUUAAUUUCACGAGUCGAGUCGAGCCAACUCGUUUAGCUAAAUGAGCUGAUUUUAACAAGUCGAGCGAGCGAGCUCGUAUAAUUUUAACUUAGUCGAGCCUGAAUCUCUACCCAAACUAUUGGCUCGUGUAAUUUCGCGAGUCGAAUCGAGCCGGCUCGUUUUAUUAAACAAGCCGAAAUUUUUGCCCGAAUUUGCUCGUUUAACAAGCCGAUCUGAGCCUAGUUAAAUGAGUUCGAGUUAGUCGAGCUCGCGAGCUGCGAGCUCACCUGCCAGCUCUAGUCCUAGUCUUGCAAUCAAAUAGGUUUAACGGUAUAGAAAGUGGAAGGAGCACAAGGCAUCCAUUCCCCAAGGCUAUUUACCAAUUCAGUACUUUGAGGAUACAAAAUCAUUCUGCAGGUACUCUUGUAUCUGUACUUUCUUGUACUGUAUGCCACUUUGACAGUAGAGUAAAAUUUAUAUCGACAAACUGCAUAUGUUCUGAACUACUCCUCUAUCCCAAAUUAGAUGAGCUAGUUGACUUUGAGCACGUAACUUAAGGUACAUUGACCAACUAGUUCCGAUAUUUAUUUUUUUAAUUUUUCUUUUGUAAAUGAAAAUUUCAUAUUUAAAUUUUUAUUUGCAAAACUAAAAUUUAAAAAUAUGUAAUGUGGCUAUGCGGUCAAUGUCAACGAGCUCAUCUAAUUUGGGAUUGGGAUGCAGGGAGUAUUACGUACUAUGUUAUGCAAGCUGUUUACAACUUUCAUCAAAAUUUUCAAACAUUUCUGAAUAUGUAUUUUCAAAGAAUUCUCGGGCACUCUUAAGGCCUAUAAUUAUUGGAACUCUCACGUUAUGGACCAGAGGACCACUAUGUAUUUUACAAGCACGACGAAUCAUGUGGUCAUUAUGGACUCCCCAAGCCUUAGAGGACUCAUUCCAGGUUUUAGGAGGACCACUGCCUAGCUCACCCUUUCGGAGUGAUGUAAAUUAGUUUCCAGACACUAAAAAUAAGUAAUCAGAUUAAUCAUUACAAAAUUUUGAUAUAAAAUCAGAAUAAAUCCUAAACUUUGAUGAUACAAAAAAAAUUAUAAUUGUAAAUUAUACAAUCAAAUUAAGAUCGAAUUAACUUCCCUCACACUUAAAAUUUAUAGCGAUCAAAUCAAAAUCGAAUUAACUUUCCUAUUACUAAAAUUUAAUUACAAUAUUAUUAGAUAAAGAGAAUAUAUAAUAAUCAAGAGAAAAUAGAUUUUUUUUUGCCACUCAACUUAUUGUGUUUUAAGAAACUUACCACCCAACUAAAUUUUUUUCCUUUUGCUCACUAAUGUUAGGUUUGGAUUUGUUUUUAGCCACCAAAUAAGGUUCGGAUUUGAUUACCAGCAUUAUGAUAAUUUUUUUUGUCACUAAACUUAUUGCGUCUUUAGAAACUAACCACUGAACUAAAUUUUUUUUAUUUUACUCACUAAUGUUAGAUUUAGUUUUUUUUGUCACUAUAGUUAGGUUCAGAUUUGAUUAUUAGCAUUACAUUAAUUCUGUGUAGCAUUUUUAAAAUAUGGUAGUAGUCUGUGAUAUUUAGAUGAUUUGAUAUAUGUCUGUAUUUUUAUAUAUAGUAUAUUUUAUGUCCCCAAGGUCGUUUACCUUGGGUCAUAAAAAUUUUACACUCAUUUUAUGACUUUUAAAAGAUGUAGUUUCAUAAAUAAUUUUAUUUUUUUCUUUCGAAUUAAAAUUCAGCAUUUGAAUUUUACACACAAAAAAAUCGCAAGAAUAAGAUAUGAAACUAUGCUUUACAAGAGUCUUAAAAUACGUGCUAAACGGUAGAAAAAACUGUAAACUAAUGAGAGGUACAUAGGGAGUAAUAAUAACAUAAAAUGAUGCACAAUCAUCGAAUUAAGUUUUCCUCUCUCUAUAUAUUUAUUUUGUAAAUUUUAAUAAGAUAAAGUUAUUAAAAUUUAUGAUAUAAAUUUAAGAGAUAUCUUAGAUUGAGUGGCAAAAAUUUAGUUGGGUGGUAAGUUUCUAAAAACACAAUAAAUUGAGUGGGAACAAAAUCUAUUUUCCCAAUAAUGAGUGGGAAUAAAAUCUAUUUUCCCAAUAAUCAAAGUGACGAAAAAUCAAAGUCAUCUAAUAAGUCCAGAAAAAAUAUGACCAUUAGUAUAUUGAAAUAAUAUUCACGCAUUUAUAUACGAGAAUAUAUGGUCCACAAGUUAGUGCACAAUGUCCAAGAAUCUUUAUCAAAUAACACGGCAAGCAUGCAGCAUAUAAAUAAGAGUGGGCAGUAUGGUAUUGCAUUCAUAACCCACUUGAGCAGAAAUAUGGCACACUUCCUAAAGCCUUCUCACCUUCUUCUCUUUGUUUUCUUUCUCUCGUUACUUCAAUCCAUUCUACCAACAAGACCAGAGGGAGAAGCUCUUGUGAAAUGGAAGAAUAGCCUAGCCCCGUCUUCUUUUCUCGAUUCUUGGUCACUAACCAAUCUCGAUAAUCUUUGUAACUGGACUGGCAUUACUUGUAACUCUGCAGGUUCAGUCUCUGGGAUUAACCUUUAUGAGAAACAACUUGAUGGAAUGCUGUCCGAGUUUGGCUUCACUUCAUUUCCGAAUCUCAACAAUCUCACCCUCGCAUACAACUUCUUCUCGGGUCCAAUACCACCAGCCAUUGAGAAUUUAACACAGCUUCAAUAUCUUGAUUUAAGCAUCAAUAGUCUCGAUGGUCCCAUUCCUUUCCAGGUUAGCCAUCUUCAGAGGUUGCUCGUCCUAAACCUGUCACAGAAUGCAUUGCAAGCUCCAAAUUGGUCCCAUUUCUCUUCCAUGCCUUUUUUGCGCAUCCUCAAGCUCAGUAGGAAUCAUCUUGUAUCNUUUUUAUUUAAAAAGAAAAUCUUGAAAAUAAUAUUAUUAACUACCAGUCAGAUCACUUAAGUGUAUGUCCAAAAUUAAAGCGGCAUAUAAAAAAAAGGGAGGAAGCAUGUACUAACUGUUUCCAUAACAGUUUACAAGUAUAAGCUAUACCCCCUCUCUAUUUUUUUCUAUGACAGCUUUGAUUUUGGGCACACAUUCUUAAGUGUUUUGACCGGAUAGUUAAAAAUUUAUCUUCUAAAAUUUUUAAAAAAAGUAAAAUCGCAAAAAAAAUUAGAAAGCUGGUAUUUUUGAUAAAUUUCCAAAUAUGUAAUCAAGAAAAAUAACUUUUACUAUCCAAUCAACUCAUUUAAAGAUGUGUGUCAAAAAUCAAAAUAUCAUACAAAAAAUAGGUAUACAUUUUUUUAAUAGAUUAUACUCCCUCUGUUCCAAAAUAAGUGUCAGCUGGGGGUAAUAACAAGACCUUAGUCAACCCAAGCACAGCAGACAGCAGGCAUAAGGCAUCAGGAAUUUCACAGGACCAUUAUCUUUCUCUUAUUAACUGUGAAGGGAACAGCGUAUGAAGUAGCAAGAACCUUCAUAUUUACACAGCCAUUGAUCUGUCGUGCAACAAAUUUCAGGGAGAAAUUCCAAAGGUUACCGGAGAGCUUAGAUGGCUUGCAUUGCUCAAUUUAUCGCAUAAUUAAUAGUCUGACAGGACCUAUCCCAACAUUGCUGAGAAAUAUGAAAUAACUCCAUUACUCCAAUCUUAGAUUUGUCCUCAAAUCAACUGACAGGGGCUAUUCCACCUCUGUUAACUGCAUUGACAUUACUUUUCUCUUUAUAUUCUUUCCUUUUGUAUGUACCUAUGCUAAUUAUCUGAUUAUUAAAAUUAUAACAAAGCUUCAAGAUUUUUAACAGGUGAGCUUCCACUAAAAAUUUGCAAAGUCACUUCCCUUUCGCGUCUCAUUAUGUUAGAUAAUGGGUCAAGUGGUGCACUUCCACAGUGUUUGGGGAACCUUUCUUUGCUUGGUUUCAAUAAUCUUGCUAAUUAUCAAUUUCAAGGACCAAUACCAACGACUGUCCAAGACUUGUCUGUGCAUAUCUAAACAUCCAUAACAAUCACUUUGAAGGUUUGUUGCUCCAAUCUUUGGCAAACUGUAAACACUUACAAAUUCUUGAUAUUGGAAACAACGUUGGAGAGCUAGAUGUCCCAGUUAGGGCGGUAAUUCGACUAGAGCAAACCGAGUUUUGAGCGGAGCCAAAUUCGAGCCAAGUUUAAUCGAGUCGAGCCGAGUCGGCUCGUUUAGCUAAUCGAGCCUAAAACUUAGCCCGAACUCGACUCAUUUAAUUUCACGAGUCGAGUCGAGCCAACUCGUUUAGCUAAAUGAGCUGAUUUUAACAAGUCGAGCGAGCGAGCUCGUAUAAUUUUAACUUAGUCGAGCCUGAAUCUCUACCCAAACUAUUGGCUCGUGUAAUUUCGCGAGUCGAAUCGAGCCGGCUCGUUUUAUUAAACAAGCCGAAAUUUUUGCCCGAAUUUGCUCGUUUAACAAGCCGAUCUGAGCCUAGUUAAAUGAGUUCGAGUUAGUCGAGCUCGCGAGCUGCGAGCUCACCUGCCAGCUCUAGUCCUAGUCUUGCAAUCAAAUAGGUUUAACGGUAUAGAAAGUGGAAGGAGCACAAGGCAUCCAUUCCCCAAGGCUAUUUACCAAUUCAGUACUUUGAGGAUACAAAAUCAUUCUGCAGGUACUCUUGUAUCUGUACUUUCUUGUACUGUAUGCCACUUUGACAGUAGAGUAAAAUUUAUAUCGACAAACUGCAUAUGUUCUGAACUACUCCUCUAUCCCAAAUUAGAUGAGCUAGUUGACUUUGAGCACGUAACUUAAGGUACAUUGACCAACUAGUUCCGAUAUUUAUUUUUUUAAUUUUUCUUUUGUAAAUGAAAAUUUCAUAUUUAAAUUUUUAUUUGCAAAACUAAAAUUUAAAAAUAUGUAAUGUGGCUAUGCGGUCAAUGUCAACGAGCUCAUCUAAUUUGGGAUUGGGAUGCAGGGAGUAUUACGUACUAUGUUAUGCAAGCUGUUUACAACUUUCAUCAAAAUUUUCAAACAUUUCUGAAUAUGUAUUUUCAAAGAAUUCUCGGGCACUCUUAAGGCCUAUAAUUAUUGGAACUCUCACGUUAUGGACCAGAGGACCACUAUGUAUUUUACAAGCACGACGAAUCAUGUGGUCAUUAUGGACUCCCCAAGCCUUAGAGGACUCAUUCCAGGUUUUAGGAGGACCACUGCCUAGCUCACCCUUUCGGAGUGAUGUAAAUUAGUUUCCAGACACUAAAAAUAAGUAAUCAGAUUAAUCAUUACAAAAUUUUGAUAUAAAAUCAGAAUAAAUCCUAAACUUUGAUGAUACAAAAAAAAUUAUAAUUGUAAAUUAUACAAUCAAAUUAAGAUCGAAUUAACUUCCCUCACACUUAAAAUUUAUAGCGAUCAAAUCAAAAUCGAAUUAACUUUCCUAUUACUAAAAUUUAAUUACAAUAUUAUUAGAUAAAGAGAAUAUAUAAUAAUCAAGAGAAAAUAGAUUUUUUUUUGCCACUCAACUUAUUGUGUUUUAAGAAACUUACCACCCAACUAAAUUUUUUUCCUUUUGCUCACUAAUGUUAGGUUUGGAUUUGUUUUUAGCCACCAAAUAAGGUUCGGAUUUGAUUACCAGCAUUAUGAUAAUUUUUUUUGUCACUAAACUUAUUGCGUCUUUAGAAACUAACCACUGAACUAAAUUUUUUUUAUUUUACUCACUAAUGUUAGAUUUAGUUUUUUUUGUCACUAUAGUUAGGUUCAGAUUUGAUUAUUAGCAUUACAUUAAUUCUGUGUAGCAUUUUUAAAAUAUGGUAGUAGUCUGUGAUAUUUAGAUGAUUUGAUAUAUGUCUGUAUUUUUAUAUAUAGUAUAUUUUAUGUCCCCAAGGUCGUUUACCUUGGGUCAUAAAAAUUUUACACUCAUUUUAUGACUUUUAAAAGAUGUAGUUUCAUAAAUAAUUUUAUUUUUUUCUUUCGAAUUAAAAUUCAGCAUUUGAAUUUUACACACAAAAAAAUCGCAAGAAUAAGAUAUGAAACUAUGCUUUACAAGAGUCUUAAAAUACGUGCUAAACGGUAGAAAAAACUGUAAACUAAUGAGAGGUACAUAGGGAGUAAUAAUAACAUAAAAUGAUGCACAAUCAUCGAAUUAAGUUUUCCUCUCUCUAUAUAUUUAUUUUGUAAAUUUUAAUAAGAUAAAGUUAUUAAAAUUUAUGAUAUAAAUUUAAGAGAUAUCUUAGAUUGAGUGGCAAAAAUUUAGUUGGGUGGUAAGUUUCUAAAAACACAAUAAAUUGAGUGGGAACAAAAUCUAUUUUCCCAAUAAUGAGUGGGAAUAAAAUCUAUUUUCCCAAUAAUCAAAGUGACGAAAAAUCAAAGUCAUCUAAUAAGUCCAGAAAAAAUAUGACCAUUAGUAUAUUGAAAUAAUAUUCACGCAUUUAUAUACGAGAAUAUAUGGUCCACAAGUUAGUGCACAAUGUCCAAGAAUCUUUAUCAAAUAACACGGCAAGCAUGCAGCAUAUAAAUAAGAGUGGGCAGUAUGGUAUUGCAUUCAUAACCCACUUGAGCAGAAAUAUGGCACACUUCCUAAAGCCUUCUCACCUUCUUCUCUUUGUUUUCUUUCUCUCGUUACUUCAAUCCAUUCUACCAACAAGACCAGAGGGAGAAGCUCUUGUGAAAUGGAAGAAUAGCCUAGCCCCGUCUUCUUUUCUCGAUUCUUGGUCACUAACCAAUCUCGAUAAUCUUUGUAACUGGACUGGCAUUACUUGUAACUCUGCAGGUUCAGUCUCUGGGAUUAACCUUUAUGAGAAACAACUUGAUGGAAUGCUGUCCGAGUUUGGCUUCACUUCAUUUCCGAAUCUCAACAAUCUCACCCUCGCAUACAACUUCUUCUCGGGUCCAAUACCACCAGCCAUUGAGAAUUUAACACAGCUUCAAUAUCUUGAUUUAAGCAUCAAUAGUCUCGAUGGUCCCAUUCCUUUCCAGGUUAGCCAUCUUCAGAGGUUGCUCGUCCUAAACCUGUCACAGAAUGCAUUGCAAGCUCCAAAUUGGUCCCAUUUCUCUUCCAUGCCUUUUUUGCGCAUCCUCAAGCUCAGUAGGAAUCAUCUUGUAUCGAAAUUUCCAGAAUUUAUAUCCAAUUCUCAUAGCUUGGCUAUCCUUGACCUUGGCCAGAACAACUUUACAGGUGAUCUUGUGCGUGAAUUUACCAAUCUACAAAAUCUUGAAACCCUCUGGCUUUAUCGUAAUUCUUUUGAGGGGCCAUUUCCGCCGGAUAUAGUCCAGCUUUCCAAACUAAAAGAUCUUGCCCUGUCAAGUAACAAAUUUUCAGGUUCAGUUCCCAAUAACAUAAGGUUGCUUUGUGAUCUUGAAUACCUAUAUUUAGGCAACAAUUCCUUUAAGGGGCCACUUCCACCAAAUAUAUUUAAGCUUUCAAAAUUAAAACAUCUUGUUCUUUGGAGUAAUAAGUUUUCAGGUUCUGUUUCCAAUGAUAUAGGUUUGCUUCAUGAGCUUGUAACCCUCAAUCUUAACUCUAAUUUUUUUGAGGGGCCGCUUCCGCCAAAUGUAUUCAAGCUCUCCAAACUAAAGUUUUUUGCCCUUCAUGAGAAUAACUUUUCAGGUUUUAUUUCUAAGGAUAUAGGUUUGCUUUCCGAACUUGAAAUCCUCUAUUUUGGCUCUAAUUUUUUUGAGGGGCCGCUUCCUCCACAUGUAUUUAGGCUCUCCAAAUUAAGAGGUCUGGACCUCUCACACAAUAGAAAUUUAUUUGAAGGAAGUAUUCCUAUUGGACUGGGACUCUUGACUAACCUCAGGUACUUAGAUCUACAUUCCAAUAAUCUCGGUGGCUAUAUUCCAUCUGACAUUGGAAACCUGAAGCUACUAGUACUUCUUGAUCUCGGUUCUAAUCAAUUGACUGGACCGCUUUCAAAGAUCGUUUCUAAUCUCACAAAUCUUAUAUGUCUUGAUGUAAGUCAUAAUAGUCUUAGUGGAAAUAUUCAGAGUGACUUGUGGAAAUAUAACGAUCAUCCAACUUUGGAAUACAUCAAUUUAAGUGGGAACCAUUUUACGGGUAUAGUUUUUCUCUAUAGAUCUUUUCCUUUUCUCAUAUGUAACUAAGCUAGUAAUCUGAUUAUUGCAGUUUCACCAAAGUUUCAACAAUCUUGACAGGUGAGCUUCCAACAACAAUUUGCAAUGUCACUUCCCUUUCGGUUCUUGAUUUGUCAAAUAAUGAAUUAAGUGGUGCACUUCCAAACUCUUUGGGGAAUCUUGCUGAUGGAAUGCUUUACCUUAAUCUUGCUAAUAAUCAGUUUCGAGGAACAAUACCAACUACUUUCUCCAGGAGUUGUCGGUUGACAUAUCUAAACAUGGAUAAUAAUGAGUUUGAAGGAUUGUUGCCCCCAUCUUUGGCGAACUGUAAGCACUUGAAAAUUCUUGAUAUAGGCAAUAAUAAAAUAGGUGGUACAUUUCCGUCAUGGCUUUAUGCACUUGGAGAGCUAGAAGUUCUUGUCUUGCGAUCAAAUAAACUCUAUGGUACGAUAAGUGGAAGGAGCAUAGAAGAUCCCUUCCCCAAGUUGCGGAUUGUGGAUCUGUCCCACAAUCAAUUGACAGGCUAUUUGCCAAUUCAAUACUUUAAGAAUAUGAAAUCAACUGAUAAUUUGUAUCGUUAUCGGAAUUCCACAGGACCAUUAUCUUUCUCUUAUGAAGCAGCAGUCUCAUUAACUGUGAAGGGAACAGAGUACGAGGUAGCAAAGAACCUUCAUAUUUACACAGCCAUUGACCUGUCGUGCAACAAAUUUCAGGGAGAAAUUCCAAAGGUUACUGGAGAGCUUAGAUGGCUUGCAUUGCUGAAUUUAUCUCAUAAUAGUCUGACAGGACCUAUCCCAUCCUUGCUGAAAAAUAUGAAAGAACUCCAAUCUUUAGAUUUGUCCUCAAAUCAACUGACAGGGGCUAUUCCACCUCAGUUAACUGCAUUGACAUUUCUGGAGGUCUUCAACCUCUCGGGAAACCAUCUUAGUGGAGAGAUUCCUCAGAAAGGGCAGUUCAGCACAUUUAACAAUGAUUCUUAUCUAGGAAACUCCGCGUUAUGUGGAUCACCUUUGACAAAGAAAUGUGCAAACACAGCAUCACCUCCACAAGAAGUCGGAAAUGGUGAUGAAGAUGAUGCUGGUGAUGAAUGGACAUGGGAAGCAAUCGUGAUGGGAUAUGGAUGUGGACUGAUAUGUGGAUUGUCAUCUGCGUACAUUGUUCUCAAACUAGGAAAGCCUUGGUGGUUUGUGAGAUAUAUCGAAGUGCUGCAACUGAAGUUGAUGAAAAGAUAUGCUUGAAAAAUUGUACUGGCCGAUCAAGACGAACUUGAAAGUUGUUGUCCUUGUGGACAUUUCUGAACCAGUAGUGUACUAGCUGCAUAAGUAUUUGGUAUUAUGUAAUAAUCCGUUUGGUCAGGACUCAUAAUGAUUUCUCUUGCUUCAGGGGUAUUAAUAUUAACCUUGCUAGUUAAUUCAAAUUAAAACAAAUAUAAAAUCAAAAAAUUUGCAUCAAACACCUGUUAUACCAACAUCCAUUAAUUUGCUUUCAUCUCUUACGUAACAAUUUAACAGCGAUUCCACACUGUUUUAGGCAUGGAGAUUACACAAAGAAGGCAAGUCCAUGAACUAAUAUAUUAACCCGUAGUCCACAUCUAUGCUACGAACAAUUCAUAUUGGUCUUCCAUCUAUUCAACCGUCUCCCGAAGAUAGGCCAAAAAUGUCAUCUGUGGUUCUUAUCUUUGUCAGUAAAGGAGAAUCUCUGAUGCCUAUACAACCUGGUUUUCUUACAGAAAGGAAUGUAGGUGAAACCAGGGGCAUAAAAUGAAUCGGGACUAAAAUCUGCUAAAAUGAUAAUUAUUUACUCAUCAUUCGAGAUUAGUCGGGCUCAAAUGAAGAUUUAUAUGGAUUUUAAGAACAAACUAUGACUAAAUAUGAAAACUAGACAACCUGGUUUUCUUACAGAAAGGAAUGUAGGUGAAACCAGGGGCGUAAAAUGAAUCGGGACUAAAAUCUGCUAAAAUGAUAGUAAUUAUUUACUCAUCAUUCAAGAUUAGUCGGGCUCAAAUGAAGAUUUAUAUGGAUUUUUAAGAACAAACUAUGACUAAAUAUGAAAAAAAUCAUUAAUUUUUCCGACUCAAUAUUUUUUAGCCUCCCCCGGCCCUGGGUGAAACCAUAAGCUUCUCUGGUGCACAUCCAAAUCAUUCAGCUGGUUCUGCAGGUACUCUUCUAUCUGUACUUUCUUAUAUUGUUUGCCAGUACAUUUUAUAUCGACAAACUGCACAAUACACCUCGAUCUCAUACACAGGUGAACUCCUGCAUAUGCUUUGUGAUGUCAUUGAUGAUCGAUAGACUUGAAAAAAAAUUAUGACAAAGAUUCAUAAAAUAUCUACUUCCAUCCUAAUUCAGUAUUCAAUAUUAUUCAUCCCGUAUCAUCAUCCAAUCAAUUCUAAUAGUUCUUCUUUAAAUCAGUACAAAUAUUGUUAAAUACCUCGAUGAUGGUUGUCUUCCCGUGAACCAAUCAUAAAAUUACCUCUGUAUAAAUCCAUCGGAAAUAAGACAGUUAAUAUCCCAAUCGAAUACACCCCGUCAGUUGUCAAACUCCUCGAAACGUAUUAAUCACUUUAGAAAAUUUGUUCCACUGGCGCUAGUCAGUCCCAGAGUUGGUGGUGGGUGCUUCUGGGCUUUCGAAAAACACCCAUUUACUCCAUUGUUUAGAGAAGUAAAACCCCACCUUCCGCUCAUUUGAUUGAUCAGCUGAAUUAGGCAGAGUUUACAUGGUCAUGAUCAUAGUCUCCCAUUUCCCAGAUACGCGAAUUAUAGUGGAUUUAUCUUUAUCAGUAAUUUCUGUGGAGAUGCAUAAUCAUUAUAAGCUCCAAUAUAAAAAUUUAAAGUUAGUAUGGGCAUUUGUGUUGAUAAUUUGCGCAAUGUUAACAGGAUUGCUCCCAAGUCUUGGACGGACUCUUUCAAAGUCUUCUCAGGACCCAUCUGCACACUGAUUUGUCUGCCAACUAAAAAAUCAACAAUAUGUUACUCACUCCGUUUUUCUUAAACGAGGUUAAAAUUUUUGACACAAGAUGGGUUGACAGUAUAAUAAAAUUAACAUUUUUGUGAAUAAAAAUUUUGGUUGUAUUAUUUUAUUUAGAAAAAGAAAAUCUUGAAAAUAAUAUUAUUAACUACCCAGUCAAAUCACUUAAAAGUAUAUGUCCAAAAUUAAAGCGGCAUAUAAAAAAACCGAGAGAGAGUAUGUACUAACCUGUUUCCAUAACAGUUUACAAGUAUAAGUUAUACUCCCUCUCUAUUUUUUUAUAUGACGCUUUGAUUUUGGGCACAUAUUUUUAAGUGUUUUGACCGGAUAAUUAAAAAUAUUAUUUUCUAAAAUUUUUAAAAGAAAGUAAAAUUGAAAAAAAAAUAGAAAGCUGGUAUUUUUGAUAAAUUUCCAAACAUAAUCAAGAACAAUAAUUUUUACUAUCCAAUCAACUCAUUUACAGAUGUGUGUCAAAAAUCAAAAUAUCAUAUAAAAAACAACAAUAUGUUACUCCCUCCGUUUUUCUUAAACUGAGGUUAAAAUUUUUGACACAAGAUGGGUUGACAGUAUAAAAUUAAAAUUUUUGUGAAUAAAAAUUUUGGUUAUAUUUUUUAUUUAAAAAGAAAAUCUUGAAAAUAAUAUUAUUAACUACCAGUCAGAUCACUUAAGUGUAUGUCCAAAAUUAAAGCGGCAUAUAAAAAAAAGGGAGGAAGCAUGUACUAACUGUUUCCAUAACAGUUUACAAGUACAAGUUAUACUCCCUCUCUAUUUUUUCUAUGACGCUUUGAUUUUGGGCACACAUUCUUAAGUGUUUUGACCGGAUAGUUAAAAAUUUAUCUUCUAAAAUUUUUAAAAAGAAGUAAAAUCGCAAAAAAAAUUAGAAAGCUGGUAUUUUUGAUAAAUUUCCAAAUAUGUAAUCAAGAACAAUAACUUUUACUAUCCAAUCAACUCAUUUAAAGAUGUGUGUCAAAAAUCAAAAUAUCAUACAAAAAAUAGGUAUACAUUUUUUUUAAUAGAUUAUACUCCCUCUGUUCCAAAAUAAUUGUCAGCUGUGACAUUUUGCAAAAGUAGCUGGGGGGUAAUAACAAGACCUUAGUCAACCCAAGCACAGCAGACAGCAGGCAUAAGGCAUCAGGAAUUUCACAGCACCAUUAUCUUUCUCUUAUUAACUGUGAAGGGAACAGAGUAUGAAGUAGCAAGAACCUUCAUAUUUACACAGCCAUUGAUCUGUCGUGCAACGAAUUUCAGGGAGAAAUUUCAAAGGUUACUGGAGAGCUUAGAUGGCUUGCAUUGCUCAAUUUAUCUCAUAAUAGUCUCACAGGACCUAUCCCAUCAUUGCUGAGAAAAAUGAAAGAACUCCAAUCUUUAGAUUUGUCCUCAAAUCAACUGACAGGGGCUAUUCCACCUCAGUUAACUGCAUUGACAUUACUUUUCUCUUUAUAUCCUUUCCUUUUGUAUGUACCUAUGCUAAUUAUCUGAUUAUCAAAAUUAUAACAAAGCUUCAAGAUUUUUAACAGGUGAGCUUCCACUAAAAAUUUGCAAAGUCACUUCCCUUUCGCGUCUCAUUAUGUCAGAUAAUGGGUCAAGUGGUGCACAUCCACAGUGUUUGGGGAACCUUUCUUUGCUUGGUUUCAAUAAUCUUGCUAAUUAUCAAUUUCAAGGACCAAUACCAACGACUGUCCAAGACUUGUCUGUGCAUAUCUAAACAUCCAUAACAAUCACUUUGAAGGUUUGUUGCUGCAAUCUUUGACAAACUGUAAACACUUACAAAUUCUUGAUAUUGGAAACAACAAAAUAGGUGGUACAUUUCGGUCAUGGCUAUUUAUUUUGGAGAGCUAGAUGUCCUAGUUAGGGCGGUAAUUCAACUAGAGCAAACCGAGUUUUGAGCGGAGCCAAAUUCGAGCCAAGUUUAAUCGAGUCAAGCCGAGUCGGCUCGUUUAGCUAAUCGAGCCUAAAACUCUGCCCGAACUCGACUCGUUUAAUUUCACGAACGAGUCAAGCGAGUGAGCUCGUAUAAUUUUAACUUAAUCGAGCCUAAAUCUCUACCCGAACUAUUGGCUCGUGUAAUUUCGCGAGUAGAAUCGAGCCGGCUCGUUUUAUUAUAGAAGCCGAAAUUUUUGCCCGAAUUUGGCUUGUUUAACAAGCCGAUCUUUCAUCAAAAAUUUCAAACAUUUCUGAAUAUGUAUUUUCAGAGAAUUUCUCCAGCACUCUUAAGGCCUAUAAUUAUUGCAACUCUCACGUUAUGGACCACUGUGUAUUUUACAAGCACGACGAAUCAUGUUGUCAUUAUGGACUCCCCAAGCCUUAGAGGACUCAUUCCAGGUCUUAGGAGGACCACUGCCUAGCUCACCCUUUCGGAGUGAUGUAAAUUAUUUUCCAAACAUUAAAAAUAAAUAAUCAGAUUAAUCAAUACAAAAUUAAAGAUAUAAAAUCAGAAUAAAUCCUAAACUUUGAAUAUACAAAAAAAAUUAUAAUUGUAAAUUAUACAAUCAAAUUAAAAUUGAAUUAACUUCCCUCACACUUAAAAUUUAUAGCGAUCAAAUCAAAAUCGAAUUAACUUUCCUAUUACUAAAAUUUAGUUACAAUAUUAUUAGAUAAAGAGAAUAUAUAAUAAUCAAGGGAAAAUAGAUUUUUUUUUUUUGCCACUCAACUUAUUGUUUUUUAAGAAACUUACCACCCAACUAAUUAUUUUUUCCUUUUGCUCACUAAUGUUAGGUUUGGAUUUGUUUUUAGCCACCAACUAAGGUUCGGAUUUGAUUACUAGCAUUAUGAUAAUUUUUUUUGUCACUAAACUUAUUGUGUCUUUAGAAACUAACCACUCAACUAAUUUUUUUUUAAUUUACUCACUAAUGUUAGGUUCAGUUUUUUUUUGUCACUGAAGUUAGGUUCGGAUUUGAUUAUUAGCAUUACAUUAAUUCUGUGUAGCAUUUUUAAAAUAUGGCUCAUAAGAAUUUUACACGCAUUUUAUGACUUUUAAAAGAUGUAGUUUCAUUAAUAAUUUUAUUUUUUUCUUCCGAAUUAAAAUUUAGCGUUUGAAUUUUACACACAAAAAAUCGAAAGAAUAAGUUAUGAAAGUAUGCUUUAUAAGAGUCUUAAAAUACGUGCUAAACGGUAGAAAAAACUGUACACUAAUGACAGGUAAAUAGGGAGUAAUAAUAACAUAAAAUGAUGCACAAUCAUCGAAUUAAGUUUUCCUCUCUCUAUAUAUUUAUUUUGAAAAUUUUAAUAAGAUAAAGUUAUUAAAAUUUAUGAUAUAAAUUUAAGAGAUAUCUUAGAUUGAGUGGCAAAAAUUUAGUUGGGUGAUAAAUUUCUAAAAACACAAUAAAUUGAAUGGGAACAAAAUCUAUUUUCCCGAUAAUCAAAGUGACGAAAAAUCAAAGUCAUCUAAUAAGUCCAGAAAAAAUAUGACCAUUAGUAUAUCGGAAUAAUAUUCACACAUUUAUAUACGAGAAUAUAUGGUCCACAAGUUAGUGCACAAUGUCCAAGAAUCUUUAUUAAAGUAACACGGCAAGCAUGCAGCAUAUAAAUAAGAGUGGGCACUGGGCAGUAUGGUAUUGCAUUCAUAACCCACUUGAGGAGAAAUAUGGCACACUUCCUAAAGCCUUCUCACCUUCUUCUCUUUGUUUUCUUUCUCUCGUUACUUCAAUCCAUUCUACUAACAAGACCAGAGGGAGAAGCUCUUGUGAAAUGGAAGAAUAGCCUUGCCCCUUCUUCUUUUCUCGAUUCUUGGUCACUCACCAAUCUCGAUGAUCUUUGUAACUGGACUGGCAUUACUUGUAACUCUGCAGGUUCAGUCUCUGAGAUUAACCUUUAUGAGAAACAACUUGAUGGAAUGCUGUCCGAGUUUAGUUUCACUUCAUUUCCAAAUCUUAACAGUCUCACUCUCGCAUACAACUUCUUCUCGGGUCCAAUACCACCAGCCAUUGAGAAUUUAACACAGCUUCAAUAUCUUGAUUUAAGCAUCAAUAGUCUCGAUGGUCUCAUUCCGUUCCAGGUUAGCCAUCUUCAGAGGUUGCUCGUCUUAAACCUGUCACAGAAUGCAUUGCAAGCUCCAAAUUGGUCCCAAUUCUCUCCCAUGCCCUUUUUGUGCAGCCUCAACCUCAGUAGCAAUCCUCUUGCGUCGAAAUUCCCAAAUUUCAUAUCCAAUUCUCAUGGCCUGACUCACCUUAGCCUUGAUCAAAACGAGUUUACAGGUGAUUUAGCGCGUGAAUCAAUAUUUGCCAAUCUGCAUAAUCUUGAAGUCCUCAGUCUUGUUGGCAAUUCUUUUGAGGGGCCAUUUCUGCCAAAUAUAUUCAAGCUUUCCAAAUUAAAACGUCUCACCCUGUCAAGUAACAAAUUUUUAGGAUCAAUUCCCAAUGACAUAAGGUUGCUUUGUGAUCUUGAAUUCCUGUAUUUAGGAAACAAUUCUUUUGAAGGACCGCUUCCACCAAAUAUAUUCAAGCUUUCAAAAUUAAAACAUCUUGUUCUUUGGAGUAAUAAGUUUUCAGGUUCUGUUUCCAAUGAUAUAGGUUUGCUUUCUGCGCUUGAACUUUUGAAUCUUCACUCUAAUUUUUUUGAGGGGCCGCUUCCGCCAAAUGUAUUCAAGCUCUCUAAACUAAGGUUUCUUAACCUCUGGGGUAACAACUUUUCAGGUUCUGUUUCCAAUGAUAUAGGUUUGCUUCCGGAGCUAGAAAUCCUCAAUCUUCACUCUAAUUUUUUUGAGGGCCGCUUCCGCCAAAUAUAUUCAAGCUCUCUAAACUAAGGUUUCUUAACCUUUGGGGUAAUAACUUUUCAGGUUCUGUUUCCAAUGAUAUAGGUUUGCUUCCUGAGCUAGAAUUCCUCAAUCUUCACUCUAAUUUUUUUGAGGGUCCGCUUCCGCCAAAUGUAUUCAAGCUCUCUAAACUAAAGUUUCUUCAUCUUCGAGGUAAUAAGUUUUCAGGUUCUGUUUCCAAUGAUAUAGGUUUGCUUCCUGAGCUUGAAAUCCUCAAUCUUCGCUCUAAUUUUUUUGAGGGGCCGCUUCCGCCAAAUGUAUUCAAGCUCUCCAAACUAAGGUUUCUUUCCCUUAAGGAAAAUAAAUUUUCAGGUUCUGUUUCCAAUGAUAUAGGUUUCCUUUCUGAGCUUGAAUACCUAUAUCUUGACUAUAAUUUAUUUGAAGGAAGUAUUCCUAUUGGACUGGGACUCUUGACUAACCUCAGCUACUUAGAUCUAAGUUCCAAUAAUCUCAGUGGCUAUAUUCCAUCUGACAUUGGAAACCUGAAGCUACUAGUAUUUCUUGAUCUCAGUUCUAACCAAUUGACUGGACCGCUUUUAAAGAUCGUUUCUAAUCUCACAAAUCUUAUGAAUCUUGAUGUAAGUGAUAAUAGUCUUAGUGGAAAUAUUCAGAGUGACUUGUGGAAGAACUCUAUAUCCUUACGUUACAUUAAUUUUGCAAAUAAUUAUUUGUCUGGGAACAUUCCUAAGGAAUACAACGAUCAUCCAACUUUGGAAUACAUCAAUUUAAGUGGGAACCAUUUUACAGGUAUAUUUUUCUCUAUAUAUCUUUUCCUUUUCUCAUAUGUAACUAAGCUGGUAAUCUGAUUAUUGCAGUUUUACCAAAGUUUCAACAAUCUUGACAGGUGAGCUUCCAACAACAAUUUGCAAUGUCACUUCCCUUGCGGUUCUUGUUUUGUCAAAUAAUGGAUUAAGUGGAGCACUUCCAAAUUGUUUCGGGAAACUUGCUGAUAGAUUGCUUUCCAUUAAUCUUGCUAAUAAUCAGUUUCGAGGAACAAUACCAACUACUUUCUCCAGGAGUUGUCAGGUGAAAUAUCUAAACAUGGAUAAUAAUGAGUUUGAAGGAUUCUUGCCCCCAUCUUUGGCGAACUGUAAGCACUUGAAAAUUCUUGAUAUUGGCAAUAACAAAAUAGGUGGUCCAUUUCCGUCAUGGCUUUAUGUACUUGGAGAGAUAGAAGUCCUUGUCUUGCGAUUAAAUAAACUCUAUGGUACAAUAAGUGGAAGGAGCGUAAAAGAUCCCUUCCCCAAGUUGCGGAUUGUGGAUCAAUAGACAUCGGCUAAAAAGCGAUGUCUAUGUAAAAUCAGACCGAUGUCUUCGUGGGUGAUGAGAAAAGUAAGUGCAUUACACAUCGCUUUCUAGCCGAUGUCUAUAACCUAUUUACACAUCGUUUAAUAUGACAAUCUGAUGUAUUUUUUAACAGUAGAUACCUUCACUAUAAUUUCAGUUCCUCAUUCCUAUGCCCUCUAUAUCAUUUUAAACUUGUCACAUGCUUAAUAAAAUGAUACUUUAACAUCUUAAAACUUGUAAAAUAGAUGUAUAUGAUAACCUUUUACAUCAUGCUUUUAUAGGAAGUGAUGUGGUACCCUUCUUUUCUUUAAGAAAGCGAUGUCUUUGUUCUUGUUUUACAUCAGUGAUUUUUAUACUCUGAUAUCUAUUAUAUAGUUUAACAUCAGGCUUUUUCUUGUUAACUGAUAUGUAUUCAUUCUUAUGACAUCGCUUACUAAGUGAUGUAAAUGUUAGUUUUAAAUUGCCAUGAAUCCUCCUGUUUCUUAUGAAUCCCCCUGUUUCAUUUAAAUUUCCAACAAAUUCCAAAACAACACCAAAGCUAUACUAAUUAAACAACCAAUUACCAAUGUCUAGCCUACCAUAACAGAACUAAAACAAAACUAGCUAGCAAAACAAUACUUCCGCAAAAGCCAAAUAUAUUACCAUCAAUCAUUACCAAUCAAAUUACAUCCCACAAUCAAAGAAACUGCACAAAUCCUAAAUAUUAACCAAGCAACCAUAAUUUACAAGCAGUUCACCACGUACUCCAGCAACCAUAAUUUACCAACUACAUUUCCCUCCAUUUAUCAACAAAAUCUACUUAGCUAGCUAGUGUCACUGUCUUACAUAAACUGAACUAAUUAAAGGAAACCAAAGUUCUCCAAUAAACCAAAGGCCUGUUUAUAAGAAGGACUCGAUAUGGCUAAGUGUCUCAAACCGAACCUCGUCAAGCUCAGCCUUGGAACAAAUCACUUUUCGAUUCUUGGAUGCCCACUGAAAAAUGUAAAACAAUAACAUUGAAUUAUACCUAAAUUUAUAUGUACACCAUUUAAUUAUAUCAACAAUGGAUUAGGCAAAGAAAAAUACCCUUUUAAAAAAUGUCAUUUCAUUGUCCAUGACAAUCUCUUUCAUAUACCGCAUAAUAACAUAGCCGCAUUCAGUUCCACCGGGCUGUUUAGGACAUCCCUAUUUAACCAAAAAAAACUCAAAAUAGUAAGUAAAGUAAUGCCCCUGGUUCUAAGCAUCAGUAGCACAAAUUGUUAAAAAUAAAUACGAAAGCUUACUGUAAUAUAUUUGAAGCUUGGGGCUUUAUUUCCCCUUCCGGCCUGAACAUUGAAAGUAAUCACAGCCCUGUCAUCUUGGCAGUGUUAAUAAUGCACAUGCAUUUAUAUCUCCAUAAGAAAGAUAAUCAAUAAAAAAAUAAAUGAAAAUACCUUGAUAUUGCUUUUUCCAAGUUGGGGAAACUAGUUGAACGAGGCAGAGGAUUAAGUAUGAAAACCUCGCCACCCCAAAACAGAACCAAUACCCAAUGGAAACUAUUUUUAACAAAUAUUUAUGAAAAACACAAUUACUAUCAAAAUCAUAUAAAUUUUAUUUUCAGUCAUGUAAAAAACUAAAUAAAAGAGAUUUAUAAUAAAUAAGAAAACACUUAAGCUACUUACUUGCUAUUAUGCGGCAUCAAAAAGAGACGAUCAGGAUUACCCUCUUUAAAUCGAUUAACCAAGUUAUCUUCAAAAGAAUUGUUCAUCAAGUUCAGCGAGGCUCCAGGAUCACAAAAAGCAAAUUGAUCCUUAGUGCCAUUUUCACGAACCACGCAAUGCAAGUAUCUACAUUGUAAAUGAAAUGAAAUUAUAUAAAAUUACACGAAUAUGAAUUAUAACUAAACAACAGUCAUGAUCUAGAAGACAGUAAUUAAAAAAAGUUUACUCACGCCAUGUAUGCAGCAAUUGCUGCUUGGCCAAUCAUAUUAAACUCCAGCAAGGCGACUAUGUUUUCAUACAAGAUGAAGAUUCUUUUCUCGAUACCAAACACCUCAGCAUCACACGGGAUUUGAAUUGAGUCUCCGGAGGAUUGCAUAAAUGUUGUUGCAUGUUUAUACAACAACCGAAAGCGUUUUGGAACAUUUUUAUUGAUCUCCAUGUUAUGAAACAAGGACUGGACUUUAUCUAAAUCGGUUUUAGGUUCCUUUACUUUCCGUUUACCUUUCUGAAAAAUGAACAAAAUUAAUUUAAAACAAAAUAUAACAAAAUAUAGGGGUAACAUAUAAUAGUACAAUCCAGUACAACAAUUAUGUUAAAGUACACACCAUAGUAGGAAUAGUAGGAGGGGCAUUUGGGAAUAUGAUCAAGUCGCGGGGCCAUGAGACGUACGAGCCAACAGCUUGCUCUACUGUUUCAAUCUCACCUGGUACCGGUUUAGGAAUCUUGGCUUGUCCUUGAAUUGGGCCAUCCACUGAGACGCGAACACAUCCAGGCUCUAUCGGCACUCCAUGUAUAGAUUUGUUCAUGUUAUCAUCAUCAAACAACAAACCAAAUGCCACUUUAUUUUCUAUUGUGCCUACAGCCAACUCACAUUUUCGUGGACCGGCCUACACACAUAUAUUUAAACAAUUAUGACGAAUGCUUGAAAUAUGUUGAGCUAAAUUGAAUAAAUGUGCUAGUUAUUUUACCUUAUUCUCUGGUGGAUUAGGUUCCAAGUCAACUUCAAUCAUCUCUGGUUCCAGUUUUUUCACCACCUCUGUCUUAGCUUCUUUGACAGUGUUUGCCUCACAACUUGCUUUAUCAGAAGCAAUAGGAGAUGAAAUAUUUGCUUUGCUGAGCAAGGCCUUCAUUUCAGCCAUCUCCUGCCUUGUCUUCUCCAUUUCCAUGGCCAUCUCUUUCUUGGCUUUCUCCAGCUCCGCGUCCCUCUCUCGAUCCCUCUCCAACAACUCAGCUUUGGUGAUUCUAUUUCUUCUUCCUGGUGGUAUAUUAAAAAAAAUUGACGGGCUCACAAAGCCUCCAACUCCUCGAACCCUCCCCGAAUGUUCAGGAGUUUGUAGGGCCGUAGUCAACACAUCUCGACUCCCAGAAGGAGUGAAUUCCCCCUUACUUUGCUGCUCUAGUAAAAUAUUCUGACAUGAAAAAUAUGAACAUACAAAUCAUCAUCUAGUGAACCUCAUCAUCAAUAUUAACUUUAAUUUUACGAGCCUUUUAAUUAUAAAUACUCACAAUUCUUUUUCCUAUUUCAGCUAGGUCUGAAUCCUCAUCAUCAGCAUCAUCAGCCUCAUCAUCAUCAUCAACAUUAUCAUUAUCAUCAUCAAUUUUAAUUUUACGAGCCUUUUGCCACAUGAGAGCCCGAUCAGGUUCUUCAUCGGCAGCCAAAGUUCCUUUCUUGAUCUGAUUAAAAUCAAAAAAAAAUUAAAAAGGCCAAGAUAUGUAAAAUACAAUUAUUUAGGUUCAAUGCUUAAAAUACAACUAUUUUUAUACCUCUUCUUCCAAUAAUCCAAUGUAACCCUUUCUUGAUGUCCGGUGAGGAUAUUUUCGAUUACUCACCCUCAGCUUUUGUUUUUCACUAAAAGACUUCAAAUAUUUUAAAUAAUAUUAGAAUACUAUUUUUCAGAAUAUAAAAAGACAUUUAUAUCACAAUAAAGCAGAACAUAAAAUAUAUUUCAUACCAGAAAUUUCGAGGUAGUCCUCUCAGCAACAAAAUUUUUCCAAGCCUCCUUUCCAACAAAAGCAUACUUCUUUGGAGGCUUUCGUAAUUUCUUCUUCUGCCCAAGAUACGGCCUCACAUAAUCUCUUGUUAAAUUUGCUUUAAAAUUCCUCCACUUUGCUCCUGCAGACCUGAUCAACCCCUUCUCAAGUUGCUUAGGAACUUUAAAUGUCUCCUGCAACCAAUGUUAAUUGACAAAAUUUACAAAAUUAUACUCUAAAUGAGUAGAAGAAAAUGCAAAAUUUACAAAAUGCAUAGGAGAUUACUUAUUUUUAUACCUUCACAUCAAUCCAUAUUUUCUCCUUUAGUUCAUCAGGUACCUUUGACCAGUUAGGAUAAUCAAUCGGAAUCAUUGUCCUAGCCAACAUUCCAGUGUAGGAUUGUAGACUGUGCCUUGCAUCCCCUGUAGGAACUCCAUGUGCAUUACAUGAAACCUUUGUUUUCUUGCCCUGCGCCUUCCUCACCACCACUUUAUACAUAGCAGAAACCCCUCGGGCACCCCCACGCUUUUUCUUUGCUGUUUCAGAUGUUGUAACUGUUGCAUCCGUUUCCUCCACAGAAUUCACAUUUUCUCCCUGAGGUUCUGUUGUCAGCUCCAACCUUUUAUCUGAUGCCUCAUCCGACUUUUUGGAGUCUUCAUGGAAUUGUACUUUGGUUUUUUGCUUUUUAUUUGCCAUUUAUCUUCUUCAAUCUGAAAAUGAAACAUAUAUAAUCCAUUAGUCACAGGCAUAUAUACGAGCAAUUACAGGAUAAGCAGUUAUAAAGUUACAUAAGCCUACAUAAGCCGUUACAAAAUUGUAAAAAUGCAUAACUAAACAUUUACACAGAGUGAAAAUUACAGGAGUCUAAUUACACAGAGUAAAUUACAAAGUUGCAUCACAUAUAUUACAUGACUUGAAAUAAUGUUAUCACAGAGUAAAUUACAAAGUCUCAUCACAAAAUUAACUAUUACAUGACUUGAAAUAAUGUUAUCACUUCUUAACCCAAGUGCCCUUAAUAUUUUCUCUAAUACUUUUCUCAACAUCAUCACCGACAUCACAUGUAGGAAUUUGGCAGCAGAAUGGAGGAUUUUCCAUGGUUGUGUCUCCUAAAUCAUCAUCGUUAUACACCUCUUGGUAGUCUCGAGUUGUAGAGGUUAAUACGACGGACCACUUGGCAUCCACCGGAUCUUCAAUAUAAUAAACUUGCUUUACUUGAUCUAUAGACACGUAUUUAUCUCUCUUGUGGCCUUGUCGACUUAGAUCGACAAGUGUGAACCCAAGAUCAUCCACCUUAAUUCCCUUGUCAUUGUCCGCCCAAUUACAUAAAAACAGUGGGGCUUUGAAUGCAUGAUAAUCCAGCUCCCAUAUAUCUAGGAUAACACCAUAAAAUGUCAAGUCACUUUCUACGGGGUUUAAAUCUUUAGCGCUAGACACUUGGACAGUUUUAGCAACUAAAGACACUCCGCUGUUUUGAACUACCCUCACAUUGUCUCGCUGUUUUGUAAAGUAUCGGACCCCGUCUACUAGAUAAGCUUCGUAAGUCAUAACUGAAAAUGAUGGUUUUCCAGCUAUCCAUCUUACUGUCUCUGAAACUCCUCCAGGAUUCUCCACCAUUUCACUACUGACCUACACAUUUCAUAAACAGAAAUUAUCCUAAAUUACUAUAGAGAAAAUAAAUUAGGCACAAAUGAAACUAUAAAAAUACUAACUUUUUCUAGAAACCAAUCAGCAAAACUGUUAUUGUGCUCUCUCAAGAGCCAAUGAACGCUUUUCUUUUUCCCACGAUGGAUUUCCUCUAGAUACUCCUUAUGCAUUCUGCCAAAAAUUAUAUAUUCAUUAAAGAAGUAGUUUAUACAGAAUGUAUAUAUUAAUUGAACAGCCACAAAAUUAAAAAAAUCUUACAAGAUAUAUGGCUGUACUUCAAGGUUGUUUAGAAGAACGUGUAAAUGAGCUUCAUCCCUCUCUUUUUCUUCGAUUGAUUUCAUUACCGCAACAGAUAAUGGACCACUUAACUUGCCUUCAUCUUUGCGAAGACCAGCAGUGGUGCAAGUUUGCUUGACAAACUCUUGGCAGAAUUCAAUCGAUUCUUCUCCAAGAUAACAUUCUGCUAUACAACCUUCGGGGUAGUAACGAUUGCGUACGUAACUCUUCAACACCUUAUUAAACCUCUCAAAUGCAUACAUCCAUCUAUAGAAGACUGGCCCACAUAACCGUAAUUCCCGAACCAAGUGCACUAUGAGAUGUAUCAUUACAUCAAAAAAUGAUGCAGGAAAAAUUUUUUCUAGCUCGCACAAAGUUACUAUUACAUCUGAUUGCAAUUUAUCUAGUUUAGAUACGUCGACAACUUUGCUGCAUAAAGCAUUAAAGAAGAAACACAAUCUAAUUAUUGUGACCCUGACUUUUUUUGGAAGUACCGCGCGAAUUGCAAUAGGAAGUAAUUGUUGAAGUAGGAUGUGGCAAUCGUGGGACUUCAACCCAAACAUUUUUAAUUCUUCCAUGGAAACACAGUUUUUAAUGUUUGACGCGUGUCCAUAAGGAAGUUUCAUGUGCAUUAACGAUGACAACAUCUUCUUCUUUUCUGCCUUGGACAAAUUAAAAAUCGAAGGAGGUAAAUAGGUCUUUCUUUCUCCUUUUUGUGGAGCUAGAUCAGCCCUAACCCCCAUGUCAAUCAUGUCAAGACGAGAAGCUUCACUAUCUUUAGACUUAUGUUUCAUAUUCAGUAGUGUGCCAAUCAAGCUAUCACACACGUUUUUCUCCACGUGCAUAACAUCUAGACAAUGACGGACAUGGUGAAAUUUCCAAUACUCUAACUCGAAGAAAAUUGACUUUUUCUUCCAUGGACAGUCAACCUUCUUUGACUUCCUUACUUCUUUCCCAAACUGAAAUUCAAUUUUUUCUUGCUGCAAUAAAACCUCUUCUCCCGAAAGAGGUUGACGUGCCUGCCCUAAUUCUUGUUGUCCAUUAAAAGCAGCUUUUUGCUUCCUAUAUGGAUGAUUUCUAGCCAAGUAACGUCGAUGACCUUGGUAACACAUCUUCCUACUAUGGCUUAAAUACUUUGCAACAGUAUCAUCACCACAUAUUGGACAAGACAUAUAACCUUUAUUAACACAUCCGGACAGAUUUCCAUAUGCGGGAAAGUCGUUUAUUGUCCACAAUAAAAUUGCUUUUAAAGUGAAAUACGACUUAGUGUGUGCAUCAUAGACAUUUGGUUCACCUUCCUCCCACAACUUCUUUAAAUCAUCGAUUAGAGGCUGUAAAUAUACAUCAAGGUCAUUACCAGGCUCAUGAGGACCGGGAACUAAAACUGUUAGCAUCAUAAACUUCCUCUUCAUGCAUAACCACGGAGGAAGAUUAUAAGUCACUAGUACUACUGGCCAACAAGUGUAUCUAUUGGUUAGACCGUUAUUAUGCGGGUUUAUACCAUCUGCAGACAACGCCAAGCGAAUAUUUCUUGCCUCACUACCGAAGGCAGGCCACCUAUAGUCGAUAUUUCUCCAAGAAGGAGAGUCGGCUGGAUGCCGCAUCUUUCCAUCUUCUAUUCGCUGCUUUGCGUGCCAGGUAAUCAGUUCAGAUGUAGAAGGAGAUUUAAACAUUCGCUUCAAUCUCGGAAUAAUUGGAAAAUACCACAUUAUUUUAGCAGGAACAUUAAUCCUUACUUUACCAUCCUUUCCUAACUUCCAGCGAGAUAGACUACACUUAGGACACUUAGAAGCAUCAACAUAUACCCCCCGAUAUAGUAUGCAAUCGUUUGGACAUGAGUGGUACUUUAUGUAUUCUAGGCCUAAGUUGGAUAAUGUUUUCUUGGCUUCAUAUGCAUUAGGUGGCAUCACAUUUUCCUUAGGAAGGAGAGAGCCAACAGUAGACAAUAAAUCUGUAAAGGCGCUAUCACUAAUUCCAAACCUUGCUUUCCAAUUAUGCAGUUUUAGCAUCGACUCCAAUUUGGUACAUUCACUACCCUCAUACAAAGGCUGUUGAGCAUCAGCCACAAAUCUCCUAAACUGAUACGACUCAUUAUUGUACUCACUCGAAUUAUACGCAGCAUCACAAACAUUGACUGUUUGUGAUGCAUGACCAGGGGAAUGCAUCGAUGCAGGGUCAAGCGUAGGUGCAGGGCUAGGGGCAUUGUCAUGAACUGUUGAUCCAGUGAUUCCACACCCUUGUGUGUGCCAAAUCCAAUCAAGGUAUCCCAAACUAAAACCGUAUUCAUAUAAAUGUCCCCUAAUAAUCUUAACUGCAAAUUUUUUAAAGUUAACACAUCUUUUGCAGGGGCAUGGGAUUUUUUUAGUAUCACUAGCAUUUUCCUCGGCAAAUAUUAAAAACUCUUCAACCCCGAUUUCAUAGUCAAGUGUAUCCCUAUCUUUGAAAAUCCAAGACUUGUCCAUGUUAUUCUCAAACUACCUGAUUGUCAAAUAUGAUAUCAAAUUACAUGGUAACAAAGAUCCAAACACAAUAUACAAUUACAUUUACAAACUAAACAAACACAAAUAUAUUUACACAGCUGUGCAUAAAACAUAAAAAACAAAUCCCAAGCUCUAAACAUAUAUAACACAGUACAUAAAAAAGAAACCCCAAGCUCCAAACAUAUAUAAAACAUAUAUACAACUACACGUUUAAUUUUCACAUGCAUACAUAUAACUACAAAAAGUUAUACUUGCAACCGAAACAUUUAUAUAAAUAUAAAGAAGAAUAUAGAAGAAUAUAUAUACCUAAAACCCAGCAGCUUCGAAACCCAGCACCUCCAAAAUCCAGCAGCUAUCCAGCAGCUUCGAAAACCCAGCAACUACCCUAAUCUCCAAGCUUCAAAUCUCCAAGCUUCAAAGAACCCUAAUCUCCAAGCUCCACUCGACCCUAAGCUUGAAGAUCGAACCUUAAGCUUGAACACAGCAGCUUCGAAUCGCGCACAAAUCGCACCUAGGGUUUAGAAGAGAGGGAAUCAGUUAAUAGAACAUUUGAAAGGGGGUUUAGAAGAGAGGGAAUCAGUUAUUAAACCAAGAACGAGGAUUGAAGGACUGAAGGAUUGAAGAAAAUCGCAUACCUAGGUUUAGCUGUCGAGAGAAAGGGGGAAGAGCUGCUGUCUGAAAGAAAUAUGUAUAUAUGUCCCGAUUGUUUUCUUUUGAAUGCUUUUGUUUUAAUUUUGAUUUAUUUUUAAUGUUUUUUUAUUGUUUUAUACUGAGGCGGGAGUGAAUGAUAUGUUAAAGGGGGGGAAAACAGUAGGGGGAACUAAUUAAAAAAUUGACUAAGGGCGGGGGAGCGGAGGGCGCGGGCUUUAAUAUUUUUAAAAUUGAGAUUAGACAUCGCUUAAUAAACAAUGUGAUGUGAAAAAAUUUUAAAGUGAGAGCUUAGACAUCACUUAUGUUAAGGACUGAUGUAAAGAUACCAGAAAGACAUCACAUAUAAAACGAGCGAUGUAAAAAAGGCAUUUUACAUCGGUGACACUUCCGACUGAUGUCUAAUGUGCGAUGUCUAUUGACGAAUUUCUAGUAGUCUCCAAAGGAUAUUUAUCUUUCCAUCAUGAUGCAGCAGUCUCCUUAACUGUGAAGGGAACGGAGUAUGAGGUAGCAAAGAACCUUCAUAUUUACACAGCCAUUGAUCUGUCGGGCACCUAAUUUCAGGGUCGAAUUCCAAACGUCACUGGAGAGCUUAGAUGGCUUGCAUUGCUCAAUUUAUCGCAUAAUAGUUUAACAGGACCUAUCCCAUCAUUGCUGAGAAAUAUGAAAGAACUCCAAUCUUUAGAUUUGUCCUCAAAUCGACUGACAGGGGCUAUUCCACCUCAGCUAACUGCAUUGACAUUUCUAGAGGUCUUGAACCUCUCGAAAAACCAUCUUAGUGGAGAGAUUCCUCAGAAAGGACAGUUCAGCACAUUCAACAAUGAUUCUUAUCUAGGAAACUCCGCGUUAUGUGGAUCACCUUUGACGAAGAAAUGUGCAAACACAGCAUCACCUCCACAAGAAGUCGGAAAUGGUGAUGAAGAUGAUGCUGGAGAUGAAUUGACAUGGGAAGCAAUCGUGAUGGGAUAUGGAUGUGGACUGAUAUGUGGAUUGUCAUCUGCGUACAUUGUUCUCAAACUAGGAAAGCCUUGGUGGUUUGUGAGAUAUAUCGAAGUACUGCAACUGAAGUUGAUGAAAAGAUAUGCAUGAAGAAUGGUACUGCACUACAACAAAAACAGCAUCACACAACGGUUUUUGCCCGUUGUCUGAUACCCAAGAAAACCGUGGUCUAUUGCGAUGCCGUCUGAUACGCGCCUCAGACAACGUUUUAUUAGUUAAAGGCUUGUCUAUAAGGCCAUGCUACGAUGGUAACAAAAACACUUGUAUGUUAGCUUCCUGGUCACACAACACUGUAUGGAACCCUUGUUUAAACGGCUCGUAAACAACACAACAAAUAAAACACUUGUCUAAUUACAACAACGGUUUCUUGAAAUAUUGUCUGAAGUUUCUUCACACAUCGGCUCUAAAAACAGUUGUCUAACGUGCAUCAUUACACAAUAUCACAGUUAAGAUACCGUUGUCUGAUUGAAUUUACUAGACAACACUUUUUAAACCGUUGUAGGUUGUAGGUGUUGGACAAUAGUUUUUCGAGGACGAAAAUAAAGUGUUGUGUCUUUGUUUCGGCCAACACUUUUUCCAGCGUCCGUUGUCUGACUAGUGUCGUGUGAUGCCAGUUUUGUUGUAGUGCUGGUUGAUCCAGACGAACUAGAAAGUUGUUGUCCUGGUAGACAUUUCUGAACCAUUUGUGUCCUGGCUGAAUAAGUAUUUGGUAUUAUGUAAUAAUCCGUUUGGUUGGGACUCAAAAUGAUUUCUCUUGCUUCAGGGGUAUUAAUAUUAACCUUCCUAUCUUGAUCAAUGUUAAAUCAAAUUAAAUGAAUGAAAAAACAAAAAGUAUGCAUCAAAUCCGCUCCUGCUGUACCUAACAAUUUAACAGCACCCUUCCACACUGUUCAUACCUAAUUUGCGUGUAAUAUGAAAACUAAGAGGCAUGGCUUUUGUCUUUGAGAGAACUUAUUCCAAGUCUUCUUCGGAGGCCUACUGCCUCAACAACCUUUCAAAGACUAUGCAAUAAUCCACGUGACAGAAAAACCAAAGUCCAAUUAGUAUUAUAAGUUCAUAAAAAAUACUAUAGGAUCAUUAGCAUUAGCAUUACAUUAGCAUACAGCAUAUAUAUAAAUAGAAGAAUGCAGUGUGGUAUUGGAUUCAUAAUCCAAUUGAGCAGAAACAUGGCACACUUUGUAAAGCCUUAUGACCUUCUUCUCUGUGUUUUCUUUCUCUCAUCACUUGAAUCCAUUCUUGCAACAAGACGAGAAGGAGAAGCUCUUGUGAAAUGGAAGAACAGCCUAGCCCCGUCUUCUUCUCUUGAUUCUUGGUCACUCACUCAUCUCGAUAAUCUUUGUAACUGGACUGGCAUUACUUGUAACUCUGCAGGUUCAGUCUCUGACAUUAACCUUUUCAACAAACAACUCACUGGAAAGCUUUUCGAGUUUGGUUUCACUUCAUUUCCGAAUCUCAACAAUCUCACCCUCGCAGAUAACUUCUUCUCUGGUCCAAUACCAUCAGCCAUUGGGAAUUUAACACAGCUUCAAUAUCUUGAUUUGAGCAAUAAUUAUCUCAAUGGUUCCAUUCCGUACCAGGUUAGCCAUCUUUCAAAAUUACACGUCUUAAACCUGUCAGAGAAUGAACUGCAAGCUCCAAAUUGGUCCAAUUUCUCCCCCAUGCCUUAUUUGACCAUCCUCGACCUUUAUCAGAAUAAUCUUAUGUUGGAAUUUCCAGAAUUUAUAUCUAACUCGCGUAACCUGACAUACCUUGACCUUUCAUAUAACAAGUUCACAGGCGAUCUUGUGCGCGAAUCAGUAUUAGCCAAUCCAGGUGAUCUCGAAACCCUCUAUCUUAAUGAAAAUUCUUUUGGGGGGCCAUUUCCACCAGACAUAUUCAAACUUUCCAAGUUGAGAGUUCUUGCCCUGUUCAAUAAUCUUUUUGAGGGGCCGCUUCCGUCAAAUAUAUUCAAGCUCUCUAAACUAAGAUUCCUUUUACUUUGGAGUAAUAAUUUUUCAGGUACUCUUUCGAAUGAAAUAGGUUUGCUUUCUGAGCUUGAAGACCUAGAUCUUCACUCCAAUUUUUUUGUGGGGCCGCUUCCGCCAAAUAUAUUCAAGCUCUCUAAACUAAGAACCCUUUUCCUCUUGGGUAAUAACUUCUCAGGUUCUAUUUCCAACGACAUAGGUUUGCUUUCUGAGCUUGAACACCUAUAUCUCGACUCCAAUUCUUUUGAGGGACCUUUUCCAACAAAUAUUUUCAAGCUUUCCAAAUUAAUACAACUUGGUCUCGCAAACAAUACAAAUUUAUUUGAAGGAAGUAUUCCUCCAGGACUGGGGCUCUUGACUAACCUAGAGGACUUGUCUCUUGCUUACAAUAAUCUUGGUGGCUAUAUUCCGUCUUCCUUUGGAAACCUAACACUACUAGUAUAUCUUAAUCUCGCUCGUAAUCAAUUGGUUGGAACACUAUCAAAGACCAUUUCUAAUCUCACAAAUCUAUGGUUUCUUGAUGUACAUCAUAAUAGUCUCUCUGGGAAUAUUCAGAGUGACUUCUGGAAAAACUCUACAUCACUGCGUUACAUUAAUUUGGCAGACAAUAAUUUUUCUGGGAACAUUCCUAAGGAAUAUAAUGUUCUUCCAAUCCUGGAUCACAUCAAUUUUAGGGGGAACAAUUUUACAGGUAUUUUUCUUUCCAUAUUUUUUCCUUCUGUUGUAUUCAAUUAUGCUAGAAACUACAGCCUCUGUUUUUUCAAAUACAUAUCGUUUAACUUUUUGGCACAAAACUUUAUAAUAAUUCUAACUAAAAGGUCAAUGAACUCAAAAAUGUGUGUCAAAAAGUCAAACGUCAUUUAUCUGAAAUCAGAGGGAGUAUAUAUUACUGUUUUACCAAAGUUUCAACAAUCAUGACAGGUGAGCUUCCACCAACAAUUUGCGAUGCCACUUCCCUUUCGAUUCUUGAUCUGUCAAAUAAUGGAUUUAGUGGUGCAGUUCCACAUUGUUUGGGGAAUCUUGCGGAUAAAUUGAUUUCGAUUAAUCUUGCUAAUAAUCAGUUUCAAGGACCAAUACCAACAAAUUUCUCCGAGAGUUGUCGUCUGACGUAUCUUAACAUCUAUAACAAUCACUUCAAAGGUUUGGUUCCCCAAUCUUUGGCAAACUGUAAGCACUUGCAAAUUCUUGAUUUUGGAAAAAAUGAAAUAGGUGGAACACUUCCGUCAUGGUUUUUUACUCUUGGAGAGCUAGAAGUCCUGAUCCUGCGAUCAAACAGAUUUUUCGGGAGAAUAACUAGAAGGAGCAUACCACGCCCCUUUCCCAAGUUGCGGAUUUUGGAUCUAUCCAACAAUCAGUUCACCGGCUAUCUGCCAAUUUUAUACUUCAAGAAUAUGAAACCAAAUGAUAAUAAUUAUGAUUAUUUCAACAACACAAACGAAGCCUAUUACGUUUAUCAAGUUUCUAUCACAUUAAAUGUGAAAGGAAGCGAGCAUGAAGUGACAAAUAUUCUUCAUAUUUACACGGCCAUUGAUCUGUCGUGCAACAAAUUUGAAGGAAAAGUUCCAGACAUUACCGGAGAGCUUAGAUGGCUUGCAUUGCUAAAUUUAUCUCAUAAUAGUCUUUCGGGGCCUAUUCCAUCACAACUGGGAAAAAUGAAAGAGCUCCAGUCUCUAGAUUUGUCGUCAAAUCAAUUGACAGGUGUUAUUCCGGAUCAACUUACUAGUAUGACAUUUCUUGCUAGUUUGAACCUCUCAGAAAACCAUCUUUCUGGGAAAAUCCCUCGGAAAGGACAGUUCAGCACUUUUGGCGAAGAAUCUUACUUAGGUAAAUCGGCCUUGUGUGGAGUUCCUUUGACAAAGAACUGUAUAGACGAUGUGCCACCUUCACAAGUUGGAAAUGGCAAUGAUGAAAAUGUUGAUGAAGAUGAUACCGUUGAUGAAUUCAAUUGGAAAGUGAUCCUGAUGGGAUAUGCAUGUGGAUUAAUAGGCGGAUUGUCUGCAGGAUACAUUGUCUUCACAGUCGGAAAGCCUUGGUGGUUUUUGAGAUACAUUGAGACACUGCAGCAGAAGUUGAUCUGAUGCGCAACUAGAAACAACGUUAUAAUCUUAGAAUGACUUGUGUCUUUAAACAGAGUUAGGAACUUAGGAUGACUUGUGGUGCUAUAUUUUUUUUUUGAAAAAAAAAAACAUAUUUUUGUAAUUUUUUAGAUACAGAUGUUAAGAAGGUGUUGUAUAUUCAUUUUUUACCCAAAAAAAAAAAGAGGGCUUAUUUCAUGAAAAUUAGAGUUUUAUGUAUUUUCUCCAGAAAUUAGUCCUUAUUUCUGAAAAUAAGGUUAGUCAAAACGGUCACUACACGAUUGGUAGCCUUUCAGUUCUUCCUAGUGUCCACUACAGUUUCAUUCCUUACCAGUUAUUUUAUGCUCUGCACUGCAUUAUGCAGCUUUCAUAUUACUGACAGCUAAUCUCCUUCCAACACUUUGCGAUGCGAAGCAGGGACGCAUAAGUAUUUUUAUAUGUGUAUUAGUUUUGAAGAUUAAAGUUGCAUGGACAAUUGUGUUGAUAAUUUGAGCAAUGUUAACCGGGAUAGGUCUUCUUCUCUCUCCCAAGUCUUCUGAGGACUCAUCGGCUCAGAUUAGUCUAUCCAAAAAUUAUGAUCUGACGGCUAUUGGCACACUAACGAUUUACAUAUCACUUGAAUAUUACUGGAUACCCGCAUCUUGUUUUAAAUGGCGUAUAUCGGCUAAUAGUUCAACGAUGGUGACAAAUCCCGGUGAUCCAAAUAAUUGAUUGUCGCAAAAUUUUCCGCUUACAUCCAACUAACACGUAUUAGGAAAAAAAAUUAUAUAAUUAAACACGCUCAUGUAUCUAUAUCUUUUACAAGAUUGUAAGUCCCCAAUUCUAUGUGAUAUUAGCUAUAUGUGACUAGAAGGUUUAGAAAUACUAGAUUAUCAAGAUUUCUUUUUAUUCUAGCUAGUGUUGAGUUAUAUUUAUUUUCUUCAAACAAUCAAUACUUAUUUUUUAUUAAUAUGUGAAACUCCAAUAUAUAUUAUUAUACGAUAUAUUAUGAAAACACUAUAUUUUGUAAUGUUCAUCUUAUCCUACCAGCAAAAUUACAUCGCUAACAAAAUUAUAUCAAUUUUAUUUUAUAAACUCAAAUAAUUUAAUUUAUGAAACAACUCUAUGAGAUUCUUAUCAUGAGUUAGAAUUCAAAUAAAUAAAGAGUUCAUAUUGAUAAGUGGAAUUGAUGUGCAAGUAAGGGGUAUAAAAAAAUCUCAAAAUAACUCCAAAAAGCACAUGACAUGUUUGAUUUAAUAGAACUGGUACAUAAACAGGGGGACCAUUAUAUUUAUAAGCAAGUGACCAACAAUAGUUUACUACUGAUAUUUUGUGAUAUUUUUUGUGAUAUUUUUUGAGACCUUUAACAUUAUUCUGUGAAGUGGUAUACUACUGUUACUAGUUCUGAAACUUCAAACAAAGUAGGCGCAACAUUGUAAGAGUGAUUAAUAAAGUUGAGAAACAGUGUGUACAUUGAGCAGUAUGACAAUCAGGUUCAGCAUAUAAUACAAUCAGAUUCACAAUCAGGUUCACGAGAAACAUGCUGCAUUCCAAAAAGCCUUAUUAUCUUCUUCACUAAAUAACAAGGCAAAUACAGCAUAUAAAUACAAGUUAUAAGUACAAGUGUGGUAUUAGAUUCAUAACCCAGUUGAGGAGAAACAUGGCACACUUUGUAAGGCCUUCUCACCUUCUUCUCUUUGUUUUCUUUCUCUCAUCACUAGAAUCCAUUCUUGCAACAAGACGAGAGGGGGAAGCUCUUGUGAAGUGGAAGAAUAGCCUAGCCCCUUCUUCUUUUCUCCACUCUUGGUCACUCUCCAAUCUCGAAAAUCUUUGCAACUGGACUGGCAUUACUUGUAACUCUGCAGGUUCAGUCUCUGAGAUUGACCUUUGUGAGAAACAACUUGAUGGAAUGCUGUCCGAGUUUGGUCUCACUUCAUUUCCAAAUCUCAACAAUCUCACCCUCGCAGACAACUUCUUCUCAGGUCCAAUACCACCAGCCAUUGAGAAUUUAACACAGCUUCAAUAUCUUGAUUUAAGCAUGAAAAGUCUUAAUGGUCCCAUUCCGUUCCAGGUUAGCCAUCGUCAGAGCUUGCUCAUCUUAGACCUGUCACAGAAUGCAUUGCAAGCUUCAAAUUGGUCCAAUUUCUCUCCCAUGCCUCAGUUGCGCUUCCUCAAGCUCAGUAGCAAUCAUCUUGUGUCGAAAUUCCCAAAUUUUAUAUCCAGUUCUCAUAGCCUGACUUACCUCAACCUCUCAUAUAACAUUGGAAACCUCAAAAAAUAUAUAUUUAUAUAUUUAUAAUUAAAAAAUUGAAUUACUUAAUAUAUUAAAAAAUUGAAUAAAAUUUUAUAUAUUUUAUUAAAAAAUUGAAUAAAAAUUGAAUAAAAUUGAAUAAAAUUGAAGUACACGAAAAGGUACACGACACGAAAUACACGACUGAGAAGUCGUGUCGGUUUUGUGUUUACCCUUCGGGUACACGACACGAGGUACACGAAAUAAAUAAAUAAAUAUAUAUAUAUAUAUUUACCCUUCGGAUUAAGAGUUGGUCGCGGACAAAUUCAAAGUUUCCCAAUUAUCCUUUAUUUUAUGUAACUUUGCUUAUGUUUAAGCCUAAAUUUGGACAAUAUUUGUAAAAUAUUAAUAUUUCGUGUACUAAUUCGUUACCAGUUUCGUGUAUUUUUUCGUGUAUAUUUCGUGUUUUCGUGUUUUCAUGUACUAUUUCGUAUCGUGUCGUUUUCGUGUACAUGAAAAAAUUCGUGUACUACAGUUCGUGUCGUUUUUACCUGUUUCUAAAUCGUGUCGUGUUCGUGUUUACAAUCGUGUACACGAAUUGAAUUCGUGUCGUGUUCGUGUAUACCCACCAGAUACACGAAACACGAAAGUACACGACACGUUUAUACACGACACGAACGAUUUGCCAGGUCUANGAAACACGAAAGUACACGACACGUUUAUACAUGACACGAACGAUUUGCCAGGUCUAUUCAAACCUAGCAAGUAACCAAGAGGGGGCAAACUCCACCAGAGACAAAUCAAAGACCAUACCUGAGUAUUGCCAACAUAACAUUACAAACUGGCAGGUGAAAAAUAUGUGAAUAAGGUCUUCGUCACCAGAGUUACACAUGGGACAGUCAAGAGAAAGAUUUACUCCCUUAGAUUGUAAUCGACUUUUCACAGGCACAUUAUUCCUGCAAAAACGCCAUAAAAACACUUUGAUCUUAAGAGGAACCUCCAACUGCCAGAGUUUCUUCCACCCACUAGAUUGUGUAACAGUGCCAGUGCCAAUAUUUUGGGCAUGCCAAAACUGGUAACCUGUUUUCACAGAAUUUUGGCCGUUAGUAGUCUUUGACCAAGCUAGAUGAUCCACGGUCGACCUAUAGGGAACAGAAGUUUUUAAAAAUUAUGUAAUUCAUUCAAUUCCGUAUCAGACAAUACAUCUUAUCAUCGGUGAUAAUGGAAAUAGUGUAGAUGUUUGACCUAGUCCAUGUUUGACAACCAAUAUAAUAAGAAAUAAAUUCUUAUUUUUCUAAAAAAUAUAUUUUUGUAUAUAAAUGUUAAAGAGAUAUUUCUUAUUUGUUGUUUGAAAAAAGUAAAGACUUAUUUCAGAAUAAAUAAAAAUUAUUGUACAUUCUCUUUAUUUUUAAAAAUAAGUUUGGUCAAAUCGCCCAUAAUUCUCGUAAUUCAAAAGCCCAUUAUUUUUUUUUUUCUUGCUAAUUGAUCAGCACACGCACACGUUUCCAACUUCCCGCAAAGGGUACCGGAGUACCACCACACCGACGCUUUGUUGGGCCCAAUAAUUGGCUGAAGUUGAACGGGGCUUUCUGCCUCCGCUGGACCCCAGUUGGGAGGACUCUUUCCAAGUCUUUCGGAGACUCUUUCCCAUUGACUCCAACUUUCCAGGGUGUAUACAAAUUUUUUGAAAGAGGGUGUAUACAAAUUAUUCACGGCCAUCAAAUUAACCAGCGUAGCUGGUGAACAAAUAUUAUUGUUUAUUAUAAUUUUAUUUAAUUUAAAUGUGAUUAUAAAGAACAUAAGAGGACGUUUGAAAGUGUGGGUCUUAUUUCAAACAGUAGAUUUCAAAAAAUAUGAUUUCAAUUGUUAUUUAAAAUUCUUAAAUUUAUAUUAUAUUAAAAUGUUCUUAUCUAUACUAUACUAUUAAAACCGAAACAUUAAAAGUUUGGUCGGUCGGUACUUGGGCCGAUAUAUGGGCCUAUCUAUAUAACUAAUUAUUUUUUUUUAAUUUUGGGCCGAAAUACAGGCCUGUCUAUAUAAUCAAUUAUUCUUUUUAACUAAAAUAUGUUAUCUUUUUUACUAUUAAAGCCAAAACAUUAAAAAUUUGAUCGGUCGGUACUUGGGCCGAAAUAUGAGCGUAUCUAUAUAACUAAUUAUUUUUAUUUUUUUUUAUUUUUGGCCGAAAUACAGGCCUAUCUAUAAAAUCAAUUAUUCUUUUUAACUAAAAUAUGUUAAUUUUUUUUACUAUUAAAGCCGAAAUAUUGAAAGUUUGGUCGGUCGGUACUUGGGCUUCUAGGCCGAAAUAUAGGCCUAUCUAUAUCAUCAAUUAUUCUUUUAAACUAAAAUAUGUUAUCUUUUUUACUAUUAAAAUCGAAACAUUGAAAGUUUGAUCGGUCGGUACUUGAGUCGAAAUACGGGCCUAUCUAUAUAACUACUUAUUAUUUUUAACUUGGGCCGAAAUACAGGCCAAUCUAUGUAAUCAAUUACGCGGUAUUCUUUUUAACUAAAAUAUGUUAUUUUUUUAACUAUUAAAGUUGAAAUAUUGAAAGUUUAGUCGCUCGAUACUUGAGCCGAAAUACGGAUCUAUCUAAAUAACUAAUUAAUUUUUUUUAACUUUGGAUGGAAAUACAGCCCUAUCUAUAUAAACAAAUAUCUUUUUAACUAAAAUAUGUUAUCUUCUUUAUACUUUCUAACUAAAAACUCAAUCUUCUAAAUGAACAUGGAAGAAUAUAGUAAUUAUCUUUUUAACUAAAACAAAUUAUCGUCUAUUAAAUCAAAUUAUAACAAACUAUCCAUAAACAUCCUUAAUUUAUAACAAAUUAUUAAAUAUUUUUUAUCAUCUACUAAAUCAAAACAUUAAAAAUUAGAUUACCAUUAUGGAUCAGUAUUUGAAUUACGCUUCUCUUUAACUUAUAAUAUGUUUUAUACUAUAUUAUUAACUAUUAAUAACUAAAUAUUAAAACGCUGAUUGGGUUGUUUCUAUCUGGGUUUACGGGUCUCCUCAAAUUAUAAUCCCUCCGUUCUUAAAUAUCUGCCUUUUGACUUUUUGGCACGCAUGUUAAAGUGUUUUGAAUUUAUAGUAAAAAUAUUAUUUUUAAAUUUCUUUUUCUGAAUAAAAAUUUUAUAUCAAUACUUUUAUUCAUAAAAAGAAAUAUUUGAAAAUAACAUUUCUAGCUAUGUGGUCAAAAUAUCUUAAAAUGUGUGCGAAAAAGUCAAAAGGCAUAUAUUCAAGAACGGAGGGAGUAACAUGUAAAAAAAAUUAUUUUAACAUUAUCAUUAAAAAAUUAUAUAUUUGACCUAAUUAUAAAUUAACUAUUUGAAGGAAUAAACUAUUAAGAAUUUAUUUAGCUGCUAAAUAAAAGUUUUUUUAAUAACAUUAUUCUAUCACAAUUUUACUUUCAAUAAAAUUCGUUAAAUCUAAAAUAUAUGCGAUGAAAUAACAAAUAUUAAAACCGCCCGUGCAUUGCACGGGUUUUAAGCUAGUUCUAAUUAAUGAGUCACUAUUCGUAUUCUCAAGCAUGUUAGUUUGUUAAAAUUUAAAAUUUCAAAUGAAAUUAGGCUAAAAGACCAUAAUAUCAAAUCAAAAUCUCAUUAUCCAAUAUAUUGGUGGGCAAAAAUAUUAAACCUGGCUAUUCAUUAAUAUUGGUUCUUUAUUCAAAUUAUGUCAAAUUUAUAUAAAAUUUCGAAAAUUAUUUAUGAAUAAGAGUCGGCAUUCAUAUAUUUAUUAAGGAUACAAGUGAGAAAAUGUUAUUAAAUUAAUAUUUUUUAAUAUACGUAAGUUUUUUAAAAUAAAUUUGUAGCGUGGGACGGGAGUAUUAGACUGAUUCUGGCUUGGAGUGAAUCAGCCCAUAAAGUUUACAGGGUAGAUGACCAUUCUUAAAUCUUAAAGAAUCUUACGGUGACAGCUAACUGAACGACUCGGUUUCAGAAGUGCUGAAAAGUUUCGACGUAAACUACAAUUUGCCUAGCAUGUAAUUUCCAUGCAUUUUCUCGUUACGAGUAGGUUUGUCCGGAAGUACAAUUCAAAAUAGAGUGCUGUUAAAAAAAAUUGAGUUACUUAUUCAAUAACUUUUUUGAUAUUUAUAUAUUUUUAAUUAUAAUAAAGAUACUAGUGAUUAUGGUUAGCUUUUGGAGUACUUUUGGAGUACUUGGAAAUUUUCUUUUCGAGAAAAACGAGAGUACCUAUUUCAAUUUUUUACCAAAAAUUAUAAUUGAAAACAACGGACUUUUAUACUUAUCAUAACAAUUUUUAACAUCUUGUUUAGAAAUAACCUGUUGUUGUAUUAUGCAAAAGUAAUAUCACUAGUUUCUAUAUCCGUAUUCUAAUGAUAAUAAAAACAUCUCUAAUUCAUUAAAACUCUUACAUAGAAAUUGAUAAAAAAAGAAGAUAUAAAAUAAUUUAUUAAAAAUAUAUCAAAGUUUUUGCACUCGGUUAUAAUUAUUGUGUAAUUUUUUUUUUCAAUUCCAAGAUAUUGUUAUAAGAAAAUUUUACAUCAUAUAUAUAUUACAAAAAAAAUUAAUGUAUUAUAUAUAUAUAGGGUCCUACUCUGGUACAAACCUUUUUAGCGUACAAACUACAAACCAAAAUUAAAAAGUCUCUAAAUCAAAUCAGAAUAUAGCACAUAUGGUAUGGAAAUUGAUCGUUGCGAGAUGAACAAAAAUAAUGAUUAUAAAGUUUGUAUUUGAGCCAUUAUAUAUAUACUUACAAUAAAAGUAAUAAUAUAUUAUAUUCUAAAUAUAGUUAACCACUGCAGUUGGUCGCUUAUAAAUAGAAGUGUGCAUUAUAGGAUGAAACGUACAUCAAGCUGAGGAGAAACAUGGUACACUCUGCAAAGCUAUAUCAUCUUCUUUUACUUGUUUUCUUUUCCUCCUUACUUCCAUCCAUUCUAUUGGCAACAAGACGAGAAGGAGAAGCUCUUGUGAAAUGGAAGAAUAGCCUAGCCCCGUCUUCUUUUCUUGAUUCUUGGUCACUCUCCGAUCUCGAUAAUCUUUGCAACUGGACUGGCAUUACUUGUAACUCUGCAAGUUCAGUGUCUCAGAUAAAUCUUUCCCAAAAACAGCUCGAUGGAACGCUGUCCGAAUUUGGUUUCACUUCAUUUCCGAAUCUCGAAAAUUUGACUAUAAGAGACAACAGCUUCUCCGGGCUAAUACCACCAGGCAUUGCGAAUUUAACACAGCUUCAAUACCUUGAUUUAAGCUACAAUUAUUUCAGUGGUUCCAUUCCGUACGAGGUUAGCCAUCUUCAGAGAUUACGUGUUUUAGACUUGUCGUAUAAUGAAAUGCAGGCUCCAAAGUGGUCUGACUUCUCUCCCAUGCCUUUUAUGAGCAUCCUCAACCUACGGGCCAAUCAUCUUGUGUCGAAAUUCCCAGAAUUUAUAUCCAAUUCUUUUAGCCUGACUUUCCUUGACCUUGGAGACAACAAGUUCACCGCUGAUCAUCUUGUGCUCGAAUCAGAAUUUACCAAUUUGCAAAAUCUUGAAACGCUGUUUCUUGAUGGUAAUUCUUUUGAGGGGACGUUUCCACCGAAUAUAUUCAGGCUUUCUAAAUUAAAAUACCUUUCCCUAUCUGCUAAUAAGUUUUCAGGUUCUGUGCCGGAUGACAUAGGGAUGCUUCGUGAUCUUGAAUCCCUUUAUCUUGGUAACAAUUCUUUCAAAGGGAUGCUUCCACAAAAUAUUUUCAGACUUCCCAAAUUACGGGAUCUUUCCCUCUGGGGUAACAAUUUUUCAGGUCUUAUUUCAGAUGAUAUAAGGAUGCUUUCUAACCUGGAAUCUCUUGAUCUUAAUGGUAAUUCUUUUCAGGGUCCGCUUCCACCAAAUUUCUUCAAGCUUUCCAAAUUAAGACAUCUCGCCCUCUCAAAUAAUAAAAGAGUAUUUAAAGGAAGUAUUCCUCUUGGGUUGGGGCUUUUGACUAACCUUGACUACUUAUGUCUUAAUUCCAAUUAUCUCACUGGCUACAUUCCAUCUGACAUUGGAAAUCUAAAGCUACUAGAACAUCUUGAUCUCAGUUUUAAUCAAUUGACCGGACCGCUCCCAAAGAUCAUUUCUAACCUCACUAAUCUAACGCGUCUUGGUCUGAAUGAUAAUUGGUUUUCCGGCAGUAUUCCAAGUGACUUCUUGGAAAACUCUACAUUAUUAUUUUACAUUGAUCUUUCAAACAAUGAUCUGUCUGGAAGCAUUCCUAAGGAAUUCAACGUUCAUCCGACAUUGGAUUAUAUCAAUUUAAGUGGAAACCGUUUUAGAGGUCUACUUCUCUCUUUAAAUUUUUAUGUUCGUUUUGUAUAUGCUAGUAACCUGAUUAUUACACUUUUACUGAAGCUUCAACAAUUCUAACUGCAGGCAAGCUUCCAGCAACGAUUUGCAAUGCUACAUCCCUUUCGACUCUUGUUCUGUCAAAUAAUGAAUUCAGCAAUGCACUUCCACAUUGUUUGGGGAAUCUUGCUGAUCAACUUCUUUCCAUUAAUCUUGCUAAUAAUUUGUUUCGAGGACCAAUACCAACAACUUUCUCUAAGAGUUGUCGGCUGACAUAUCUAAACAUGUACAACAAUCACUUUGAAGGGUUGUUGCCGCAAUCUCUGGCAAACUGUAAGCACCUACAAAUUCUUGAUAUUGGAAACAAUGAAAUAGGUGGUAAAUUCCCGUCAUGGCUGUUUACUCUUGGAGAGCUGGAAGUCCUAGUCUUGCGAUCAAAUAGAUUCCACGGUCCAGUCAAUGGAACAAGCUCAGCAAAUUUAUUCCCCAAGUUGCGGAUUGUUGAUCUCUCCAACAAUCAAUUUACAGGCGAUUUACCAAUUCAGUAUUUUAAGAAUAUGAAACCAACAGAUAACCACUAUAGUUAUUUUUAUACAGAAAGUGGUUUUUACUAUCAUCAAGCAUCGAUCUCAUUAACUGUGAAAGGAAGAGAGUAUGAAGUGAAAAAGAUCCUUCAUAUUUAUACAGCCAUAGAUGUGUCAUGCAACAAAUUUCAGGGAGAAAUUCCCGAGGUUAUUGGAGAACUUAAAUGGCUUGCAUUGCUCAAUCUAUCACAUAAUAGUCUUAUUGGACCUAUCCCAUCACAGCUCGGAAAUAUGGAAUCACUUUUAUCUCUAGAUUUGUCUUCAAAUCAUUUGACAGGGGGUAUUCCCGAUCAGUUGAUUAGGUUGACAUUUCUAGAGGUCUUGAACCUCUCGGAAAAUCAUCUGACAGGGCCUAUCCCCCAAAAAGGACAGUUCAGCACAUUCAACAAGGAUUCUUACCUAGGUAACUUUGCCUUGUGUGGAUUACCUUUAACUAAUAACUGUACACACACUGUGUCACCACCACAAGAAGGCGGAACUGGUGACAAUGAUGCCUAUGAUGAACCCGAUUGGGAAGUGAUCCUCAUGGGAUAUGGAUGUGGACUAAUAUGCGGAUUGUCCACAGGGUACGUUGUCUUCACAUUCAGAAAGCCUCAGUGGUUUAUGAGAUACACUGAAAGCGUGCAACAGAAGUUGAUGAGAUGAUGCAUGUUGAGUACCGUUCAAUCAUGAAGCACAACUGGAAACAAUGUUAUCUUAGGAAAACAUGUGUUCUGAACCAGUAGUGUUUGCACAAAAUUUGUGGUGCUAUGUAAUACUUAUAUAAUUGUACGUAUGAUUAUUGAUUAGUCGUUGAGAAAAUGCAUUUUAUUUCAGUGUCAAUGAUAAUCUACAUGUUUUGGAUACUUCCAGCUUCUCAUACUAAUAUAGGAACCACUUGAAAAAUUUUGGACAGGCUCUGAGGAUGCUAAUGCUGCUGUUUAGUUUCUACCGCGGAAUUGACUUUAGCAUAUACUCGUAUGACAUAUUACUAGAUAUAUGGUUGUUAAAUAAAAUUAUCUUUUUGUGGAAUAAAUAGGAAAGCAAAAUCAUAGAAUAAUGUAUGUUAUAUAGGAAGGUAUUGUCCUCUUAGAUAGGUAUCAUUUAUGCCUCAUUGGCAUGUCUCAGAAAACUUUUGGGUUAACACAAUGUUUACUUAGAGCAUUGCCAUUCCUUAAAUAUAAUAUAAAAUAUUGGAUCUUAGUGACUUAAGAUGAUAAUAGCUAUUCGCACCUCCAACAAUAUUCCUUAUAUUCAUUCCUUAUAUACUAUUUUAUUAUUAAAAGUUACCAUUAUUGCAAUAGGUGAAAAGAGAGAACAUGUUUGUAUUCAAAAUUUAUUGUAAAAUAAUAUUUAGGAGAGGAGAGAGGUUACCUAAAGAUAAGGCAUGGCUAGUUAUUUAGAGAAUCACUAGGAUACUGUUGGAGUGGAUUAUUUUCCCAUAUUACUCAUAUUUUGGUUUAAGAUUCCUAAUAGGGAAGCUGCUGGAGUUGCUCUUAGAGCAUCUCCAAGAGAUUCUUCAUUUAAGCUCCUAACUUGAGAUUUGAGUAGGGAGAGGAAAAAUGUUGCUCCAAGAGACUCUUAAGUGGCUCUUAAAUCACUAAGAGCCUCUUGUUUCUCUCUCCUCUCUCCUCAAAGUUAAGAGCCACCACAUUGCUCCUAACUUAUUUUUUCACAAUAAAAAAAUCUUUUCCUCCAAUUCAGCUCCAUCUUUCCAUCUCUUUUGUUAUAGUGGAGCCCAAUAUAUGAAUAAAAUAUGAAAUAGAGAAGAGAUGUAGAGAGUAUUGUUGGAGUUUACACUCUUAACUUUGUCUUAAAUUGCUAAGAGCUAUUUUUUUAUAUUAUAUUUAGGAGCCAAUAAGGAGGCUCUUGGAGAUGCUUUUAGUACUAAUUGUUAGAAUAUGAAAAUGCAGUUAUGAACUAUUAUGCUAGAGAGAGAAAAAUUCAACAAACUUCAUUUCUGUAAACUACAACUAUUAGUCUGUUACAUUGCUGAAAGCUACAUUUAUACAUUUACAGUUUACAACAAACUAUGAAACUGAUUUUCCCGCGUCCUCCUCACUUGUCCACGUGGCCUGACUGGCUUGGUGUCCUUGACACUCUUUAUUAUUGCUAAUAUAUACUUAACACUAAUACCUCAAAGCAGGGUAUAAAUUCAAUAGCACAGCUUCUGGAUAAUGGAAAUUUAGUUAUCCAGAGGUCUUGGUUUUACAUAUCACUUGUAUAUUAUGUCUCGGUCUCAUUGAAGCAUACCAAACGAGAUUUUGGGUUUGUUAAUAUUUUUUUAGUCCAAAUUUGAAUAAUACUGUUAUGCUUAUUCACACGGUAGACGUGUUUUUAUUAAAAUACUGCAACUGAAAUUGAUGAAAACAUGCACAAAGCAUAGCAGACGAAAGACUUGAGGAGAUAUUGUCUUAGGCGAUGCAAUACGUUCUAAUAUAAUGCUAUAUUAUGCAAUCUCGUUUAAUACUUUCAUCAUUAUUCUCCAAGAUGUCUGAACAUGUAUUUUCAAAGAAUUCUCAGUUCACCUUUAGUCUUAUAGCGACAUUUUGAAGGCACUCUCAACUUACACCCUAUAUAUACACGUACGGUUCACUUCAGUACAAAGAUUUUAUGAUACAACUCUCAUAUUAUGAACUAGUUCUGUCGAAUACAUGAAUAUUGAUCAAUCAUUUGAACUCGAGUUUCCCAGCUGGCCAGAUACCCAGAUUAUUAGCCAUGCAAAACAUGCAGAACCACUAGUAAUGCAGAAAAACAAUAUAUUAGUUUUCUCCGGUGUUACAGAAAUCAGGAAUCGGACCUAAUCGGUUUAGCUACCGAUUUAGGGAUUAAUAGGAAAUAGGGGAUUAAUCGGAGUGAAAAUCGGAUUUAUUUUAAUAUUAAAAUAUUAUUUAAUAUUUAGUUAUUAUUAUAUUAGCUAUUUAGUAACUAAUAUAUUUACUAUAUUCAUAAACUCUAUAAUUAUUCGUAUUGAAAGUAAUAUAGUAUUUUAAUUUUAAUAAUUUACUAUAUAUACUUCGAUUAAGAAAUAUAUAUAUAAGGAUUAAUCGGAUUUCAAAAAUCGAAUCGGUGGCCAACCUUGCAGAGGAUUAAUCGGGGAUUAAUUGGUUGAAUCGGGGAUGUUUAGAACACUGGUUUUCUCCAAAUAUCACUACAACAAAACUGCCAUUUUACGACGGAAAUCUAAUAUUCUAAAGGGUUACGACCAAACUAUGUCGGUGGACUUUAUUUUAAUUUACCGUUUAACAGUAGUUAAUUUUGGAUAUCUACACUUGCGAUGGAAAACAUACGACAGUCUACUUCGUGAGAGAAAAUCAUUUUAUUUUAUUUUUUAGCGCCAGAAUUUUAAUACUGAAAUAUUAUAUAUAUGAAGGAAACUGAUCUCUAAUGUUUUCAGCUUGCUCAUCCAUCGUAAGUAAUCCGUCGAAAAAGUUAGUUUGUUGUGGUGGUGUCUUAUCAUGAGAGAAAAUGAUAAUAUCGCAAAAUAUUUGCAACUGAAAGAUAAAUUAUAAUUCUAGAAACCAUUUAGGUAACGAUGCACGAAGUUAUUUUCACUCACUUAGAAUUAAUGNUGAAAACAUGCACAAAGCAUAGCAGACGAAAGACUUGAGGAGAUAUUGUCUUAGGCGAUGCAAUACGUUCUAAUAUAAUGCUAUAUUAUGCAAUCUCGUUUAAUACUUUCAUCAUUAUUCUCCAAGAUGUCUGAACAUGUAUUUUCAAAGAAUUCUCAGUUCACCUUUAGUCUUAUAGCGACAUUUUGAAGGCACUCUCAACUUACACCCUAUAUAUACACGUACGGUUCACUUCAGUACAAAGAUUUUAUGAUACAACUCUCAUAUUAUGAACUAGUUCUGUCGAAUACAUGAAUAUUGAUCAAUCAUUUGAACUCGAGUUUCCCAGCUGGCCAGAUACCCAGAUUAUUAGCCAUGCAAAACAUGCAGAACCACUAGUAAUGCAGAAAAACAAUAUAUUAGUUUUCUCCGGUGUUACAGAAAUCAGGAAUCGGACCUAAUCGGUUUAGCUACCGAUUUAGGGAUUAAUAGGAAAUAGGGGAUUAAUCGGAGUGAAAAUCGGAUUUAUUUUAAUAUUAAAAUAUUAUUUAAUAUUUAGUUAUUAUUAUAUUAGCUAUUUAGUAACUAAUAUAUUUACUAUAUUCAUAAACUCUAUAAUUAUUCGUAUUGAAAGUAAUAUAGUAUUUUAAUUUUAAUAAUUUACUAUAUAUACUUCGAUUAAGAAAUAUAUAUAUAAGGAUUAAUCGGAUUUCAAAAAUCGAAUCGGUGGCCAACCUUGCAGAGGAUUAAUCGGGGAUUAAUUGGUUGAAUCGGGGAUGUUUAGAACACUGGUUUUCUCCAAAUAUCACUACAACAAAACUGCCAUUUUACGACGGAAAUCUAAUAUUCUAAAGGGUUACGACCAAACUAUGUCGGUGGACUUUAUUUUAAUUUACCGUUUAACAGUAGUUAAUUUUGGAUAUCUACACUUGCGAUGGAAAACAUACGACAGUCUACUUCGUGAGAGAAAAUCAUUUUAUUUUAUUUUUUAGCGCCAGAAUUUUAAUACUGAAAUAUUAUAUAUAUGAAGGAAACUGAUCUCUAAUGUUUUCAGUUUGCUCAUCCAUCGUAAGUAAUCCGUCGAAAAAGUUAGUUUGUUGUGGUGGUGUCUUAUCAUGAGAGAAAAUGAUAAUAUCGCAAAAUAUUUGCAACUGAAAGAUAAAUUAUAAUUCUAGAAACCAUUUUGGUAACGAUGCACGAAGUUAUUUUCACUCACUUAGAAUUAAUGCUAAAUAUUUGCAACUGAAAGAUAAAUUAUAAUUCUAGAAACCAUUUAGGUAACGAUGAGCGGAGUUAUUUUCACUCACUUAGAAUUAAUGAUAAAUAUUUGCAACUGAAAGAUACAUCAUAGUUCUAGAAAAGGAUCCACGAAGUUAUUUUCACUCACUUAGAAUUAAUUGUAAGUUAUUGUGAGUUUUUGAAUAUGAAUUAUCUCAAAUUUUAUUAAAACACAUGUUGAUUCUUAUAUACAAAUUUGCCUAUCUAAUAUUAUAAUAUUUAUGGAGAAGGUGUAUGAACAAUUGUGUAGAUAAUUAUACUUUACAAAGCAUACUUCUGCUAGCUGAAUUUUGAUUAAAAAAAUCGAAAGGGAUAGGUCUGGGUCUCUCCAAGUCUUUGAGGACUCAUUCCAAGUCUUCUGAUGAGGACAAAAUAUAUUGCUGGAAGUCUUUCAGUCCUUCCUAGAGUAUUUUGUGCUCUGCACUGCAUUAUGCAGCUCUCAUAUAACUGACCGCUAACCUCCUUCCAACACUUUGCGAUGCAAAACAGUGGCAUGUUAUAAGUAUUUCCGUAUGUGUAUUUAUUUGGAUAUUAAAGUUGCGUAACAUUUGUGUUGAUAAUUUGCGCAAUGUUGAUGAGGAUUGCUCCCAAGUCUUGGCGGACUCUUUCCAAAUCUUCUGAGGACCUAUGGGUUCAAAUUAGUCCAUUAAAAUGAAUACCAUUGUUUUGUGAUUAAGUUGUAUGGUUAAGAGCUUAUCCUCUGUCGUCCCAGGUCCUGGGUUCGACCCUGGCUCACCCCGAGAGUUUCGUAGAACAGAUACUCAUUAUAAGGCUAUAAGCCAUAUUUGUCAAAAAAAAAGUUGUAUAGGCAAUAUGCAUUGCAAAAUCAGCAACAGAAUAUAUACUAAUUAAUUACCUGAUAUCGGUUUGAACAAAUACUUUCUAUGUAGUUGUAAUAUUAGUCUUCUUUAAAAGUUAUCAUGAGGGAAGAUAUAUAUUGUGAUGCGGGGGAAAUAUUGUAACCGAAAAUAAUUAUAAUUCUAAAAAUUUCCAUUAUACACUUUUUUUAGUGUUCGUACGUGGUAAGUACUUCAGACGACAUUUCUCGCGUAUGCCUCCAAUUAAGAAUUUGAUGUUCAGCCUAGUCCUAAACUAAAAUUAUUAUAAAUGUGUAAUUCAAAAUUAUAUUGCUGGUAGGCUCUGAGAUUAACCUUAAACAAAAACAACUCAGUGGAACGCUUUCCGAGUUUGGUUUCACUUCAUUUCCAAAUCUCAACAAUCUCAACAUAGCACGAAACAACUUUUACGGUCCAAUACCACCAGCCAUUAAGAAUUCUAUUUUAAUAUGUAACAUUCUAUUUUCUAAAAUAAUAAAUAUUUUUUUUAAUAGUUGGUCAAAAAUUAGUCAAUUUGACUUCUCAAAAAGCAGAAAGGACAUGUAAAUUGAGACGGGGGAGUAUUUAACGGAAUUCAACGAAAGGUGUGCGUAUCGUUCUUGAAAUGUAAAAAUAGGUGGUGCAAUUCGAGUUUCCAAACCUAUGGGUACAAUAUCGUUUUUAAACGUAAGCUAGGGGGUCCAAAUUACAAUUACAUGUAUAUAUAGUGACUUAACGGAGUGCAUAUAGUUAACGGAAGUUAACGGCAGGGAGUGCAUCUCGGGCUUGAAUAGUAAAGAUAAAAGGUGCGAGUUGAGUUUCUCAAAGUAUGAGUACAAUAUCGUUUUUGAAUGAUAGUUAAGGGGUGCGAUAUGCAAUUACCUCAAAAAAAUAUGAUCAUUAGUAUAUUAUAUUAGUAUCCACACACUUAUAUCUCAAAAUCUAUCCUCCAAAAUUAUCAUCUAUAUAGGCUAGCCACAUAAAAUAAAAAUUUAAAGAUAUUAGAUAUUUAGUUAUUUCAAUUAUAUAAUUUUUCCACGCAAAAUAACAAAAUAUCUUUAUCAACUUAUUAUUUAUGAGUUAAAUAUUCAACUUAUAUAAUUCGGGCAUGCUGGGUAUAAAUAGAAGUGUAACGCCUAAUUUCCGGGGUCUGGGAGUAGUUAGCGGGGUAUGAGAGAGCAGGCUAUUUAGAAGUCUUGGUCAUGAAAACUUCCAAGCUAACUUCGACAACGGAAUCUUCUGAGGCUACUAUUCUAAAGCACGCAUAAUCAUUGUAUUCAUUUUCCUCUAACACUGGCAAAAAGUCUAUUUAAGCAAAUGAAAUACAAACAACUGAGUGGAAUGCUGACCGAAAGUCUUUUUGGCUGAGCUUAUGAUUUAUUAGUACAUGAUUAAUAUGAUAAGCUAAGCUGAGAGCAUAAGAUAUCGUGUGUAUAAUUUUGUGUUUAUUAAUGACUUAUAAAUUAUUAAAAAUAUAAUAAGAAAAAUAAAAAUGAUUUAUAACUAAUUUAUGUUUUAUGAGUAAUUUUUAUUAGAAAAAAGUUUUAAAAAAUUAUUUCACUGAAAAAAAAUCCUCCAACUAACUUUUGGCUCUAAGUCAGUUUUUGAUUUAUUUAUGAUUUUAAGUCGGAUUCUGAUUUUUACACAAACAGAAAAUUUCCAGCUUAAAGUUAAAAACAACUUUAAGCUCCGGUUUUAAACCUCUGAGUUUGGUUUCACUUCAUUUACAAAUCUCAACAAUUUCACCAUCAAACACAAUGACUUCUCCAAUCUCCGGUCCAGUUCACCAGCCAUUGAGAAUUUGGCACAACUUCAAUUCCAUACCAGGUUAGUCGGCUUCGGAGGUUACACGCCUUAGACCUGUCAAAUACAAAUUUCAAUCUCCAAACUGGUCCGAUUUAUCUUCUAUGCAUUUUGUUGAGUCCGGCUCAUCUAAAACCUGAAGGUGUUAGAAGAAACCCGAAUGAAUCUUAUAUAUGAAUCUUAUAUAUGCUAUAUUUAAACAAUUCUGAGCACACUCAACCUUGGUAUUAAUAAUAUCGUGUCGAUAAUUCCAGAAUUUAUAUCUAAUUCUCAUAGCCUAACUUUCCUUGACCUUUCCAUAUAACAAAUUUACAGUUAAUCCUGUGCUUGAAUCAGUAUUUGCAACCAAAAUUAUGCAAUUAUAGUGCAGGUAGUCUUCCAGUUCUUCCUACUCUAUGCUAUAAUUUCAUUUGAUACCAAUAAUUUUACGCUCUACACUCCAGGAUGAGCUCGCAUAUUAUUGACAGCAAUAAUCCUUCCAACACUUUGUGAUGCAAAGCAGGGGGGCGCCUGUAUUUUCAUAUGUCUAUAUUAUUGGAGAUUAAAGUUGUGUGGACAAUUGUGUUGAUAAUUUGCCCAAUGUUAACAGGGAUAGGUUGGCUUAAAAAUAUAUAAGGUCACUUGUGCAUCGCUGUUCACACACUUAGACCCUGUUUGUGUAAGCUUUAAGUCCGGGCUCAAGCAAUUUCGACUUAAUCACUUCCGAGGACCAAUACCAACAGCCUUCUCAAAGAGUUGCCAGCUAAGAUAUCUAAACAUGUAUGACAAUCAGUUAGAAGGACUAUUGCCCCGAUCUUUGUCAAACUGUAAGCACUUAAAAAUUCUUGACAUCGGGAACAAUAAAAUGGGUGGUACAUUCCCUUCAUGGCUAUUUAAUCUCGGAGAGCUAGAAAUCCUAGUCUUGCGAUCAAAUAGACUGUACGGUCCUGUAAGUGGAAGGAGCACAUCACAUCCAUUCCCCAAGUUGCGGAUUCUAGAUCUCUCCAACAAACAAUUCGCGGGCUAUUUGCCAAUUCUAAACUUUAAGAAUAUGAAACCAGCUGCUGAUGAUAACGCGUAUAGUUAUAAAAAUAAGUCACAAGGACUAAUUAAUUACAUCUAUGAAGCAUCUAUCUCCUUAAAUGUGAAAGGAACAGAGUAUGAAGUGAAGAACAUUCUUCAUAUUUACACAGCCAUUGAUCUAUCGUGCAACAAAUUUCACGGAGAAGUUCCAAAGAGAGCUUAAAUGGCUUGCAUUGCUCAAUCUAUCUCAUAAUAGUCUUGCCGGACAUAUGUUCUGAAUUAUUAUUAUGCUUUCAUCAAUAUUUUCAAACAUUUCUCAAUAUGUAUUUCAAAGAAUUCUCAAGCCCUGGAACAUUUGGACCGGUCCUUUCGAAGCCAAGAUGCCCAGGUUAUCAUGGCCAUGCACAAAAAUGAAUAAAUUAUUCCAAGUCUUCCAUGACUCAUUCCAAGUCUUCGGAGGAGACCCUGAGCACAAAGAUGCUCAGGGUCUCCCCAAGCCUUCCAGGACUCAUUCCAAGUCUUCGGAGCACGGCCUCGACUCGCCCUUUCAAAGAUGUGAUAGUAGCUCGAGAGUGAUAUAAAUUAUUUUCCGGACACUAAAAAUAAAUAAUCAGAUCAAAUUAAUCAAUAAUAAAUUAAGGAUGAAAUCCAAAUUAAUCCUAAAUUUUGAUAAUAUAUAAAAAUUAUAAUUAUAAAUUAUAUAACCAAAUCAGAAUUGAAUUAACUUCCUUGGCACUAAAUUGAUAAGGAAAGUAUAAUAAUUUAAAUUUAAUUGAUGAAAAGUCAAAGUCUUCUAAUAAAUCCAUAAAGAAUAUGAUAAUCAAAAUAACGAAAAUUAUAAUUGAAAAAUCAAAAUCAUUAGUGUAUUGGAAUAGUGUUCACACACUUAUAUAUCAAAAUUUGUGGUCCAAAAACUAUAGCACAAUAUCCUAAAUACACCACAUUAAAUAUUAGUUCAAAAAUAUUCUGUAAAUAAUUGUUUUCAUUCAUCAUUUUGUUAUUUAAAAAACUAAUAAUUUGGGUUGAUGUUAACCUAUAUUUUAAUAUAUAAUUAUAUUAUUUUCGUAUUAUUUUAUUUAACUAGAAACAAUAUUUUUAUCAGACAUCAAUUAUAUUAAAAGAUAUAAUUUUAUUAAAAAAAAUUGAAUUAAAUUAAUAGGAUAACUCUACGCCUCACCAAGUCUACAAGACUCAUUUCAAGUCUACCAAGGACCACUACCUCGGUCCUCAACCAUUGGGAGAUGUGAAAGUAGCUUGAGAGUGACAAAAAUUAUUUUCCUCACAAUAAAAUUUAAUAUCUGAUAUAAAUUAAUUAAAUUAGUUAAUAAUAAAUUAAAACUAAUCAUGAAUUAUGAUAAUAAUUAAAUAAAUUAUAAUUAAAUUAUAUAAAUCAACUCCAAAUGAUACAAAUGACACUAAACCUUAGUUACUUUAUUGGUAAAUAAAUAUAAUAUAAUAAUCAAAUUGAUGAAAAAUCAAAAUCAUCUAAUAAAUUCAUAAAAAAUAUAUGAUCAUUAAUAUAUAUUAUAUUAGUAUCCACACACUUAUAUUUCAAAAUCUAUCCUCCAAACUUAUCAUCUCUGUAAACUAGCCACAUAAAAUAAAAAUUUAAAGAUAUUAGAUAUUUAGUUAUUUUCAUUAUAUAAUUUUUCCACACUAAACAACAAAAUAUCUUUAUCAAAUUAGUAUUUAUGAGUUAAAUAUUCAAGUUAUAAAUCCAGCAUGCAGCGUAUAAAUAGGAGAAACAUGGCACACUCUGCAAAGCCUUCUCACCUUCUUCUCUUUGUUUUCUUUCUCUCAUCACUUGAAUCCAUUCUUGCAACAACACGAGAAGGAGAAGCUCUUGUGAAAUGGAAGAAUAGCCUAGCCCCGUCUUCUUUUCUUGAUUCUUGGUCACUCACUCAUCUCGAUAAUCUUUGUAACUGGACUGGCAUUACUUGUAACUCUGCAGGUUCAGUCUCUGAGAUUUACCUUUAUGAGAAACAACUUGAUGGAAUGUUGUCGGAGUUUGGUUUCACUUCAUUUCCAAAUCUCAACAAUCUCACCCUCGCAUACAACUUCUUCUCCGGUCCAAUACCACCAGCCAUUGAGAAUUUAACACAGCUUCAAUAUCUUGAUUUGAGAAAUAAUUAUCUAGAUGGUCCCAUUCCUUUCCAGGUUAGCCAUCUUCAGAGCUUGCUCAUCUUAAACCUGUCAGAGAAUGCAUUGCAAGCUCCAAAUUGGUCCCAUUUCUCUCCCAUGCCUUUUUUGCGCAUCCUCAACCUCAGUCACAAUCCUCUUGCGUCGAAAUUCCCAGAUUUUAUAUCCAAUUCUCAUAGCCUGACUCACCUUAGCCUUAAUUAUAACGAGUUUACUGGUGAUUUAGCACGUGAAUCAAUAUUUGCCAAUCUGCAUAAUCUUGAAGUCCUCAGUCUUAAUGGCAAUUCUUUUGAGGGGCCAUUUCCACCAGAUAUAUUCAAGCUUUCAAGAUUAAAACGUCUCUUCCUGGCAGUUAACAAAUUUUCAGGUUCAAUUCCCAAUGACAUAAGGUUACUUUGUGAUCUUGAAUACCUAUAUUUAGGCAACAAUUCUUUUGAAGGACCGCUUCCACCAAAUUUAUUCAAGCUUUCGAAAUUAAAGCGUCUUUUUCUUUGGAGUAAUAAGUUUACAGGUUCUAUUUCCAAUGAUAUAGGUUUGCUUUCUGAACUUGAAACCCUCAAUCUUCAAUUUAAUUUUUUUGAGGGGCCGCUUCCCCCACAUAUAUUUAGGCUCUCUAAGUUAACAGGUCUAGAACUCGGAGACAAUAGAAAUUUAUUUGAAGGAAGUAAUAUUCCUAUCGGACUGGGACUCUUGACUAACCUCAGGUACUUAGAUUUACAUUUCAGUAAUCUCAGUGGCUAUAUUCCAUCUGACAUUGGAAACCUGAAGCUACUAGUACUUCUUAGUCUCGGUUCUAAUCAAUUGACUGGACCGCUUUCAAAGAUCGUUUCUAAUCUCACAAAUCUUAUAUUCCUUGAUGUAAGUGAUAAUAGUCUUAGUGGAAAUAUUCAGAGUGACUUGUGGAAAUAUAACCAUCAUCCUACUUUGGAAUACAUCGAUUUUAGUGGGAACCAUUUUACAGGUAUAUUUUUUCUCUAUAGAUCUUUUCCUUUUGUCAUAUGUAACUAAGCUAGUAAUCUGAUUAUUGCAGUUUUACCGAAGUUUCAACAAUCUUGACAGGUGAGCUUCCAACAACAAUUUGCAAUGUCACUUCCCUUUCGGUUCUUGAUUUGUCAAAUAAUGAAUUAAGUGGUGCACUUCCAAACUGUUUCGGGAAUCUUGCUGAUGGAUUGCUUUACAUUAAUCUUGCUAAUAAUCAGUUUCGAGGAACAAUACCAACUACUUUCUCCAGGAGUUGUCAGCUGACAUAUCUAAACAUGGAUAAUAAUGAGUUUGAAGGAUUGUUGCCCCCAUCUUUGGCGAACUGUAAGCACUUGAAAAUUCUUGAUAUAGGCAAUAAUAAAAUAGGUGGUACAUUUCCGUCAUGGCUUUAUGCACUUGGAGAGCUAGAAGUUCUUGUCUUGCGAUCAAAUAAACUCUAUGGUACAAUAAGUGGAAGGAGCAUAGAAGAUCCCUUCCCCAAGUUGCGGAUUGUGGAUCUGUCCAACAAUCAAUUCACAGGCCAUUUGCCAAUUCAAUACUUUAAGAAUAUGAAAUCAACUGAUAAUUUGUAUCGUUAUCAGAAUUCCACAAAAGUUUUUUCUUUCCAUUAUGAAGCAUCUGUCUCAUUAACUGUGAAGGGAACAGAGUAUGAAGUGAAAAAUAUCCUUCAUAUUUACACAGCCAUUGAUCUGUCCUGCAACAAGUUUCAAGGAGAAAUUCCUGACGUUAUUGGAGAGCUUAGAUGGCUUGCAUUGCUCAACUUAUCUCAUAAUAGUCUAACAGGACCUAUCCCAUCAUUGCUGAGAAAUAUGAAAGGACUCCAAUCUUUAGAUUUGUCUUCAAAUCAACUGACAGGGGCUAUUCCACCUCAGUUAACUGCACUGACAUUUCUAGAGGUCUUAAACCUCUCGGGAAACCAUCUUAGUGGAGGGAUUCCUCAGAAAGGACAGUUCAGCACAUUCAACAAUGAUUCUUAUCUAGGAAACUCAGCGUUAUGUGGAUCACCAUUGACGAAGAAAUGUGCAAACACAGCAUCACCUCCACAAGAAGUCGGAAAUGUUGAUGAAGAUGAUGCGGGUGAUGAAUUGACAUGGGAAGCAAUCUUGAUGGGAUAUGGAUGUGGACUGAUAUGUGGAUUGUCAUCUGCGUACAUUGUUCUCAAACUAGGAAAGCCUUGGUGGUUUGUGAGAUAUAUCGAAGUACUGCAAUUGAAGUUGAUGAAAAGAUAUGCAUGAAGAAUGGUACUAGCCGAUCAAGAUGAACUCGAAAGUUGUGGUCCUUGUGGACAUUUCUGAACCAGUAGUGUUCUAUUCUCUUUGUGGCUGCAUAAGUAUUUGGUAUUGUGUAAUGUUCUGUUUGGUCUUGAAUCAUAAUAAUUUUUCUUUCUUCAGGGGUAUUUAUAAUAUAAACCUUGGUAUUGUGUACUAGCUGUAAUAUUCUGUUUGAUCAAUGUUUAUACCAGUAAUUUUAUGCUCCGCACUGCAUCAUGCAGCUCUCAUAUUAUCUUCAUAUGUGUAUUUAUUUGGAUAUUAAAAACAUAUGGGAUAUGUGUUAACAGGGACAGCUCCCAAGUCUUGGAUAGACUCUUUCCAAGUCUUCCGAGGUCCUAUAGGUUUAAAUUAGUCCAUUAUCUGCAUACUAAUUUGUCCAACUGAAAAAUCAAGGAUAUUAUGUAUUAACUGUUUUAAUAACAAUUUACAAGUAUAAAUUUCAUAUAUUUUUUCAUAGAAUAUAAAUUAGUUGACGUACUAAAAUCACUAGUCAAAUUAAUUUAAAUAAAUAUAUUGAAAAGAUGAUAAUAAAAUUAUGGUAAUUUAUCACUACAACAAUUCUGGACAUUAAUUAUAUGUAUACUUAAAUAUAUUGAAAAGAUGAUAAUAUAGUAGAAUACAAAUGGUUAUGAUUCCGUAGUAACUACACCGUCGUAAGUUCACAUAAUUAUAUAAUUAUAGUUAUUUGAAAACGAAAAAUAAAUGAGAAAAUAUAUAGUGACCAAAUAUGAAUCAAUCUAAAAUUUUCAUUAUGGAGAUCGUAAGAAACGUGAUGAAGAACUGGAAUGAGAAUUCCUUACAAAACAUUUGGGUUAUAUUAUCAAUGAUGAAUGUUGUAUAUUAUACCUAUGAUUUCAAGUCUCAUACAAAAUUAUAUUGCUCAUAGUCUUUCGAUCAGUUCUUACUAGUGUAUGCAAUAGUUUCUCAUUCCAUACCAGUUAUUUUAUGCUCUGCACUGCCUUAUGCGCGCAGCUAUCAUAUUACUGACAGCUAACCUCCUUCCAACACUUUGCCAUGCGAAGCCUGAAGAUUAAAGUUAACAGGGAUAGGUCUUCUUCUCUCCCAAGUCUUGGACGGACUCUUUCCAAGUCUUCUGAGGACCCAUCGGCUCAGAUCCGUCCAUUAAAAAUUUAUUAUUGAUUACUUAUUAUUAUUGAUUGAUCUAAGAUUCCAAAGACAUGUUCCCGUAAUUUUCAGACUUAGCCAGUUGGUGUGGGCAGAAGUUUUAGAAAUAGUAGAUUAUGGGGAUUUUAUUUAUUCUAACCAAUUUUGAGUUAUUUAUUUUCUUCAAAAAAAUCAAUACUUAUUUUUUAUUGUUAUGCGGAAUUCCAAUAAAUAUUAAAAUAUAUAAUUUUGAUUAUUAUCAUAAAUUUAUUUAUUCAAUAAAUAUUAUUAUACUAUUAUGGAAACAUUUUAUUUUGUAAUGUAUAGUACACCCUUAUCCCACCAACAAAACUACAUCACAAACAAAUUAUAUCAUAUUUAAUUUAAUAAACUCAAAUAAUUUAAUUUAUGUAACAACUCUAUAAAAUUAGAGUGAUUGAUACUUUGCACCCCUUAUGUUUAAGCGUUUUUUCAAUUUGGUUUCAAACAAUUUUUUUGGCAGUAUGCACCCCAAAAUUUGAAAAUUGCUUCGCUUUGCACCCUUUUAAUCGCUCUCCGUUUAAUUGAUAUUGACCGUUAAAGACUUAAAGUUGACAGAUAUGGGUUUACAUUUUCAACACCACAAUUUUAAUUUUUUUUCAUGGGUAUUUUGAAAUAUUCAGACGACUGGGAUGAUUCAAGUGUCUUCAUGUUAGACAGUGCGAUAGGUCGGUCGAGGGGUUUUCAGAAACUGGGACCAAAGAUUGGCGCCAUCAGAUUGGAUUUAUAUCAUUGGAAACUCUCUGUACACCUCUAUAGAAACUGGGACCAAAGACAAGAGGGAGAAGCUCUUGUGAAAUGGAAGAAUAGCCUAGCCCCGUCUUCUUCUCUCGACUCUUGGUCCCUCACCAAUCUCGAUAAUCUUUGUAACUGGACUGGCAUUAAUUGUAACUCUGCAGGUUCAGUCUCUGAGAUUAACCUUUGUGAGAAACAACUUGAUGUAAUGCUGUCUGAGUUUGGUUUCACUUCAUUUCCAAAUCUCAACAAUCUCACCCUCGCAGCUAACUACUUCUCCGGUCCAAUACCACCAGCCAUUGAGAAUUUAACACAGCUUCAAUAUCUUGAUUUGAGAAAUAAUUAUCUAGAUGGUCCAUUCCGUUCCAGGUUAGCCAUCUUCAGAGCUUGCUCAUCUUAAACCUGUCACAGAAUGCAUUGCAAGCUCCAAAUUGGUCCGAUUUCUCUCCCAUGCCUUUCUUGCGCAUCCUCAACCUCAGUAGCAAACCUCCUGCGUCGAAAUUCCCAGAUUUUAUAUCCAGUUCUAAUAGCCUGACUCACCUUAGCCUUAAUUAUAACGAGUUUACUGGUGAUUUGGUACGUGAAUCAGUAUUUGCCGAUCUGCAUAAUCUUGAAAAGCUCAGUCUUGUUGGCAAUUCUUUCGAGGGGCCAUUUCCGCCAGAUAUAUUCAGGCUUUCCAAAUUAAAACAUCUUAGCCUGUCAGAUAACAAACUUUCAGGUUCAAUUCCCAAUGACAUAGGGUUGCUUUUUGAUCUUGAAUACCUAUAUUUAGCCAACAAUUCCUUUGAAGGACCGCUUCCACCAAAAAUAUUCAAGCUUUCAAAAUUAAAAAAUCUUGUUAUUUGGGGUAAUAAGUUUUCAGGUUCUGUUUCCAACGAUAUAGGUUUGCUUUCUGAGCUUGAAAGCCUCUAUCUUGACUCCAAUUUUUUUGAGGGGCCGCUUCCGUCAAAUAUAUUCAAGCUCUCCAAAUUAAGGAUUCUUUUCCUUUGGCAUAAUAACUUUUCAGGUUCUAUUUCUAAGGAUAUAGGUUUGCUUUCUGGACUUGAAACCCUCUAUCUUGACUCUACUUUUUUUGAGGGUCCGCUUCCCCCACAUAUAUUCAAGCUUUCCAAAUUAACAAGUCUUGACCUCGCAUACAAUAGAAAUUUAUUUGAAGGAAGUAUUCCUAUUGGACUGGGACUCUUGACUAACCUCAGAUACUUGAGUCUAUCUUCCACUAAUCUCGGUGGCUAUAUUCCAUCUGAAAUUGGAAACCUGAAGCUACUAGAAGUUCUUGAACUCAGUUCUAAUCAAUUGAAUGGACCGCUUUCAAAGAUCAUUUCUAAUCUCACAAAUCUCACAGUUCUUGAUGUAAAUGAUAAUAGUCUUCGUGGAAAUAUUCAGAGUGACUUGUGGAAAUAUGACGAUCAUCCAACUUUGGAAUACAUCGAUUUAAGUGGGAACCAUUUUACGGGUAUAGUUUUUCUCUAUAGAUCUUUUCCUAAUCUCAUAUGUAACUAAGCUAGUAAUCUGAUUAUUGCAGUUUCACCAAAGUUUCAACAAUCUUGACAGGUGAGCUUCCAACAACAAUUUGCAAUGUCACUUCCCUUUUGGUUCUUGAUUUGUCAAAUAAUGAAUUAAUUAGUGGUGCACUUCCAAACUGUUUCGGGAAUCUUGCUGAUAGAUUGCUUUUCAUUAAUCUUGCUAAUAAUCAGUUUCUCCAGGAGUUGUCAGCUGACAUAUCUAAACAUGGAUAAUAAUGAGUUUGAAGGAUUGUUACCCCCAUCUUUGGCGAACUGUAAGCACUUCAAAAUUCUUGAUAUUGGCAAUAAUAAAAUAGGUGGUGCAUUUCCGUCAUGGCUUUAUGUACUUGGAGAGCUGGAAGUCCUUGUCUUGCGAUCAAAUAAACUCUAUGGUACAAUAAGUGGAAGGAGCAUAGAAGAUCCCUUCCCCAAGUUGCGGAUUGUGGAUCUGUCCAACAAUCAAUUCACAGGCCAUUUGCCAAUUCAAUACUUUAAGAAUAUGAAAUCAACUGAUAAUUUGUAUCGUUAUCAGAAUGACACAGGAGAUAUUUCUUUCCAUUAUGAAGCAUCUGUCUCAUUAACUGUGAAGGGAACAGAGUAUGAAGUGAAAAAUAUCCUUCAUAUUUACACAGCCAUUGAUCUGUCCUGCAACAAGUUUCAAGGAGAAAUUCCUGACGUUAUUGGAGAGCUUAGAUGGCUUGCAUUGCUCAACUUAUCUCAUAAUAGUCUAACAGGACCUAUCCCUUCGUUGCUGAGAAAUAUGAAAGGACUCCAAUCUUUAGAUUUGUCUUCAAAUCAACUGACAGGGGCUAUUCCACCUCAAUUAACUGCAUUGACAUUUCUAGAGGUCUUGAACCUCUCGGGAAACCAUCUUAGUGGAGAGAUUCCUCAGAAAGGGCAGUUCAGCACAUUUACAAAUGAUUCUUAUCUAGGAAACUCCGCGUUAUGUGGAUUACCUUUGACGAAGAAAUGUGCAAACACAGCAUCACCUCCACAAGAAGUCGGAAAUGGUGAUGAAGAUGAUGCUUGUGAUGAAUUGACAUGGGAAGCAAU